UUUGUUCUCAGGUCAGGUUCUAUAGCUAUGGUUCAUACUCCUUUGCUCUUGCAUCAUUGUAUUUACUCAUACCAACUAUUUUCAAAUUUGAAGGAUGGAAUUGAAACUCCAAUGGCGCAACAGGUAUGUUUUAAACUUGUUUCUUUAACUGGUUUACUGUUCUAACUUGCUCUAUGUUGAUUUCAGUUUCAAUUGAAUAAACAGUUAUGUUCUCAUGUCAUGCACAUUACAAGUGUUGUUAUUUCUCUAUAGUUUCCCACACUUAUAUUCUAUCGAUUCUGCUUUGUAUUGAACAAAUAUUAUUUGAACUGUGUCUCUAUCUUGAUUUGGCAACAAAAACUAGAAUGAUAUAGAUCAUAAAGUGACCAUGGUACAUAGAUAUAUGUUUGUUUCAUGCUAUUAUCCUGUCCACUUUACUACUGAACUGAUUUACCAAAAUGAGUUUCAUAUACAACAUGGUAAACCUGUGAUGUGUCUGCUUGUUUCUCUUUUAGAAUGCGGACAAAAUAUAGGAGAAUAGUACCCCAUUAUGCAAUGGUAAAGGAAGUAAUGCAGAUAAGGUUCAAGAUAGUGAGACAUCCCUGUUGGUCUCCAAGAAAGCUGAUAAAAACUAUCUUGACGACAGUGAGAGAACCCAAAAGUCCUGUCUUGAUGUAGUGUUCGAGGUACUGGCCACUAAUGCUGGCACAAGCUCUUCGAACUCGCUGCCUGAAUCAGUUCGUCUUCUUAAGUCUCAACUUCAAGUUGAAAGACAUCGAUCAAAUGUGCUGCGACAGGAAGCUGAAGGACUGAGGAAGUCCCUGCAGAAUUCAGAUGCAUAUAUACUUUCUGGUGCAACAGCAAGCACUGGAGGAUUUAAGUGCCAAACAAGAGAAAGUUAAUAAGCUUGCUAAGCAUCUUGCCAACAUUAUGGGUACCCAGGAUAUUGUUUCUUGGGAUCUUCUGAAGUGGUUGCAGUUCUGGACUUCUUUUGCUGUGGCAUUUAUUUGCACUGGUCGCCAACUUUGACAACCAGUGUAUAUGAUAUGUUGCUUUGUUCCCUAUAUUUGCACUAGUGGCGAACUUUGAUGCCCAAUGGAUGUAAUAUGUGUAAUAGUCGUGAGAGCCUAGCGUAAGUUGCUUGCUUAUUUAUUUCCUUGUUGUCUUGUUUAUUUGUUUGCUUGUAGUCAGUGCAGUUCUUUUUCCGCGGUUUGCUAGUGGCUGCAAUAACCUAUUUUUUAAAACUAGGCCACAAUAACCAUGGGCUACAUAUUUACUGUAGUGACACUGGGCCUCCUACGGGCCAUAGACACAAUGGGCCUCCUAUGGGUCGUAGACACAAUGGGCCUUCUAUGGGUCGUAUCAUCAAUGGGCCUGCUAUGGGCCUAUGAUCGAUUGGUCAAACAGGGGCCAAUAACAGACCGAGUUAUGGUCGUAAAUGGGCUAGAGUUGGAAUCGCCCGUUCAUGGGCCGACCAUAACGGGUUGUCGUUAAUCGGCCAUAUUUGAUGACGCUAUGAAAACGACCCAACGUAUUAACGGGCCACAAACGGGCCGAUUGUAACCACGGGCUGAAUUUGGCCCACAAGCAGAAAAUUACAGUAACGGGCCAUAAGUAACCAAAUGCUGGAAAUGAGCCCAAGAAUAAAUGGGCCCUGAGAAGGCCGAAAGAUAACACGGGCUGGAAAUGGCCCAAUGGAAUAAUGGGCCUUUAAUGGGUAUAAAGUGAUACACUGUUCAUUAUAGGCCAGUUUCACCACGGGCCGUUAAUGGGCCAAGAGUUACAAAGGGCCUCAUAUGGGCCAAAAGACGUCAUGGGCCAUACGUGGGCUAGAAGUUAAAACGGACUGGAAUCAUAUUGGAUGUCCCAAAUGAUGCUACUGGGCCUAAUUCGGAUAGGUCAUAACGGGCCCUGGGUUAGCGGGCUGUAAAUGGGCUAUAUGCGAACAGGUCGUUAACAGGCUUUUCGUGGGCCGGCCUUUUCACAGGAAUGGGCCUCUGUUGGGCCGUGCCACGUGUUGACGUAUCAUAGGCGCCUUCGGUCCAAUGAGUGGAUGACAUCUGUCCCAAUGGUGAGCCGACACGUGUUUCCUCCAGCCAAUGAUGAUUUUACACGUGGAAAAUCCCCAUUGGUCGGGGCUGUUAACGGGUUAUCAGAUCCAAAACUGGACCCGAUAGCUUAACAGCGAGCCGUUGCAGUGGAUGCCACAUGUCGGUCACCCUUGACAAAAGCACUUCUAUGACGUGCGAUUUAUCGUCAUGGAAGUGGACACUUCCGUGAUGAUAAUUUUGGUAAUGUCAUGGAACACUUCUACAAUAGCACAAGUAUGACUAUCUUGAUUCUGUCAUAAAAUUGUCAUGGAUGUACAUGCAUGACAGAAAACGUGACCUACUGUGAUAAACAUGUAUCAUCACGAAAGUGUAUUUGUUUUGUAGUGUGUCUCUAAUGCAUAACCCCAAAACGAUAGUGGUAAAUCGGUAAGAGACAUCAUAGAUCGCACCAUAUGGUAGUCAGAAUCCCGACUCGACUCCUAGGAUCCUACGACUUCAUGACCCUACGGAAGCAUGUCAAUCCAAGUCCCACUAUGAAUCCGGAUCAGAUAGAAUCCAUGUUGAGUCGCGAUCCAAAUCAUAGAAUCAUGUACAAAACUGUAGGAUCCCGACUAUGCUAUGGACUAUGUCCGAUUCUACUAAUUUAUCUAAGCCAUUUGUUUAGUUGUAGCAGAAUAGUAUGCCAUCAUCGAAACCAUUUUCACAUGCCUAAUGGACCUUUAUUCCCCUCCCAAGCCCAAACGCUCACCCGUCGACACCUUUGAUCUGGCUCUCAGAACCUAGAUCAAAAUUGAGGAUUAGACUUGUCGACAUAUGGAAUUAGCGUGGGAAGGAGGAUGCGUCAAGAUUGAUCGGAGAAGGAGAGCAAUACCCUUCAAGGUUCGGCACUGCAGGGCAGAUAUACAAGUGAUCGGCUAUUCACAUAUUCUAAAAAACCUGUAAGUAAAUUUUGUGCGUCAAAGAUUUCAAUGUUCUAUAUAUUUUCCUCUCAUAUAUGUUCCAUACAUGCAAGCUAAUAGUAGGUUAGACAUAAAAAGAAGUGGAAUAGAACUAGCAUUGAUGUGUACAUCUUUGCUCUAUAUUUAGUGUCAAAACUCUAUAGAACCCAUACGAAUUUCUCCCGUGGAUACGAAAUAUCUUAUUUGAGUAAAUCUAGUAAAAUCCUCGAUUCAACGACUUGAUACUACGACUCGAUUCUGGCUAAGGAAAAUCGAUCCGACUCCGAAUCCCAACUCUGACUACCUUGCCACCAUAUCUAAUAAAGUACGGUUAUGACGUUCGGACACACCAUUACGCUGUGAUGUUCCAGGUGGCGUGAGUUGUGAAAUAAUUCCACAUUGUUUUAAAUGAAGGCCAAACUCGUAACUCAAAUAUUCGCCUUCGCGAUCAGAUCGUAGAAACUUUAUUUUCUUGUUACGAUGAUUCUCCACUUCACUCUGAAAUUCUUUGUACUUUUCAAAUGUUUCAGACUUGUGUUUCAUUAAGUAGAUAUACCCAUAUCUUCUCAAAUCAUCUAUGAAGGUUGGAAAAUGACGAUACCUACUGCAUGCUUCAACACUCAUUGGACCGCAUACAUUGGUAUGUAUUAUUUCCAGUAAGUCAUUAGCUCGCUCCAUUGUUCUGGAAAACAGAGUUUUAGUCAAUCUGCCCAUGAGGCAUGGUUGGCAAGUAUCAAAUGAUUCAUAAUCAAGUGAUUCCGAAAGUCCAUCGUGCAUGGAAUUUCUUCAUGCGCUUUACACCAAUAUGACCUAAACGGCAGUACUACAAGUAUGUUGCACUAUCAUUAUCAACUUCGCAUCUUUUGGCUUCAAUAUUAUGAAUAUGUGUAUCACUACGAUCGAAAUUCAAUAAACCAUUUACAUUGGAUGUAUGACCAUAGAAGGUUUUAUUCAUGUAAACAGAACAACAAUUAUUCUCUGACUUAAAUGAAUAACCAUAUCGCAAUAAACAUGAUCCAAUCAUAUUCAUGUUCAACACAAACACCAAAUAACACUAAUCCUGAAGGUAGAGGGAGUGUGCGAUGGUGAUAUUAUCAACCUUCGAAUUACUUCCAACACACAUUGUCACCUCGCCCUUAACUAGUCUCUGUUCAAUUCACAAUUCCUAUUUUGAGUUAUUAAUCUUAGCAACUGAACCGAUAUCAAAUACCCAGGGGCUACUAUGAACACUAGUAAAGUACACAUCAAUAACAUGUAUAUCAAAUAUACCUUUGUUCACUUUGCCAUCCUUCUUAUCCGCCAAGUAUUUGGGGUAGUUCUGCUUCCAGUGACCAUAUCCUUUGCAGUAGAAGCACUCAGUUUCAGGCUUAGGUCUAGCUUUGGGUUUCUUCAUGGGAGUGGAAACUUAUUUCCCAUUCUUCUUGAAGUUCCCUUUCUUUCCCUUUUGCCCUUUUUCUUGAAACUAAUGGUCUUGUUAACCAUCAAUUUGAUGCUCUUUCUUGAUUUCUACCUUCGCUGAUUUCAGCAUCGCGAAGAGCUUGGGAAUCAUUUUCAUCAUCCCUUGCAUAUUAUAGUUCAUCACAAAGUUCUAUUAGCUUGGUGAUGGUGACUAGAGAACUCUGUCAAUCACUAUCUUUUCUGGAAGAUUAAUUCCCACUUGAUUCAAGCGAUUGUACUACCCAUACAUUCUGAGCAUAUGCUCACUGGCUGAGCUAUUCUCCUCCAUCCUGUAGGCAAAGUACUUGUCAGAGACACGGGCAUGAGUCUGAAAUACCAAUUUCAGCUCUUGGAACAUCUAUGAUCCAUUGCAUUCAAAACAAUUUUGGAAGUCCCGGUUCUAAGCCCUAAAGCAUGGUGCACUAAACUAUCAAGUAGUCAUCAUAUCGAGCUUGCCAAACGUUCAUAAUGUCUGCAUCUGCUCCUGCAAUAGGUCUGUCACCUAGCCGUGCAUCAAGGACAUAAUUCUUCUGUGCAGCAAUGAGGAUAAUCCUCAUAUCACAGACCUAGUCCGCAUCAUUGCUACUGUCAUAUCUCAACUUUGCUUUCUCCAGGAACAUAUCAAAAACAUAGGGGAGCUACAACGCGAGCUAUUGAUCUACAACAUAAUUUGAAAAUACUAUCAAGACUAAGUUCAUGAUAAAUUAAAGUUCAAUUAAUCAAAUUACUUGAGAACUCCCACUUAGACAGAUAUCCCUCAAGUCAUCUAAAUGAUAUGUGAUCCAAAUCAACUAAACCAUGUCCGAUCAUCACGUUGGAUGGAGUAGUCAUCAAUGGUGAACAUCUCUAUGUUGAUCAUAUCUACUAUAUGAUUCACGUUCGACCUUUCGGUCUCCAGUGUUUCGAGGCCAUGUUUGUACAUGCUAGGCUCGUCAAGUUUAACCCAAGUAUUCCGCAUGUGCAAAACUGUCUUGCACACGUUGUACGUGAAUGUAGAGCCUAUCACACCCGAUUAUCACGUGGUGUCUCAGCACGAAGAAUUGUCGCAAUGGUGCAUACUCAGGGAGAACACUUAUACCUUGAAAUUUUAGUUACGGGGUCAUCUUAUAAUGCUACCGUCGUUCUAAGCAAAAUAAGAUGCAUAAAGAUAAACAUCACAUGCAAUCAAAAUAUGUGACAUGAUAUGGCCAUCAUCAUCUUGUGCUUUUGAUCUCCAUCUCCAAAGCAUCAUCAUGAUCUCCAUCGUCCCGGCUCAACACCUUGAUCUCCAUUGUAGCGUCGUGAUCGUCUCGCCAACUAUUGCUUCUACAACUAUCGCUACCGCUUAGUGAUAAAGUAAAGCAAUUACAUGGCGUUUGCAUUUCAUACAAUAAAGUGACAACCACAAGGCUCCUACCAGUUACCGAUAACUUUUACAAAACAUGAUCAUCUCAUACAACAACGUAUAUCACAUCAUGCCUUGACCAUAUCACAUCACAACAUGCCCUGAAAAAACAAGUUAGACAUCCUCUACUUUGUUGUUGCAAGUUUUACGUGGCUGCUACGGGCUUCUAGCAAGAACCGUUCUUACCUACGGCACAAAACCACAAUGGUGAUUUAUCAAGUUUGCUAUUUUAACCUUCAACAAGGACCAGCCACAGUCAAAUUGAUUCAACUAAACUAGGAGAAACAGACACCCGCCAUCCACCUUUAUGCAAAACUAGUUGCAUGUCUGUCGGUGGAACUGGUCUCAUGAACGUGGUCAUGUAAGGUUGGUCCGGGCUGCUUCAUCCAACAAUACCGCUGAAUCAAAAUAAGACAUUGGUGGUAAGAAGUAUGACGAUCACUGCCCACAACUCUUUGUGUUCUACUCGUGCAUAUUAUCUACGCAUAGACCAGGCUCUAAUGCCACUGUUGGGGAACAUAGCAUGCAAUUUCAAAAAAAUUCCUAUGCUCACGCAAGAUCUGUCUACAAGAUGCAUAGCAAUGAGAGGGGGAGAGUGUGUCUAUGUACCCUCGUAGACCAAAAGCGGAAGCGUUUUACAAUGCAGUAGAUGUAGUCCAACUUCUUCUCAUUGAGAGCAAUCAAGUACCAAAUGUACGACACCUCUGAGUUCUGCUCACGUUCAGCGCGAUGACGUCCCUCGAACAAUUGAUCCAGCAGAGUGUCUAUGAAGUAGAUGAGUUCCGUUCGCACGACGGUGUGGUGACGGUGAUGGUGAAGUGAUCUGCGUAGGGCUUCGCCUAAGUACUACGAGAAUAUGACCGGAGGCGUAAACUGUGGAGGGGGGUGCCGCACACGGCUAACAAUAGUUGAUGUUGUGUGUUCUAGGCGCCCCCCUCCGCACAUAUAUAUAGGUGGGAGGGGAGGAUAGGCAGCCAAGGGGCACCCCAAGUAGGAUCCGAAGCCUACUUGGGGUUUCCCAAGUGGCGCCCCCCUUACCUUGUAUAAACAAGGGGGAAGGAAAGAGGGGGAGAGGGAAGGAAGGGGGAGUCCUACUCCACACUUCCCUUGCCCUCCCCUCUUUCCUUCACCUCCUCAUAGGGCUGGCCCGUAUAGGGCGCACAAGCCCCUUGUGGGCUGGUGUGUUCCCUCUCUUGGCCCAUAAGGCCCAUAUCUUUGUCGUGGGUGCCCAAAUCUCCUUUUCGGUGACCCGAUAAGUACCAAGUACCCUCCAGAACACUUAAGGUGUCCGAAUACCAUCGUCCUAUAUAUCAAUCUUCACCUCUCGACCAUUUCGAGACUCCUAGUCAUGUCUGUGAUCACAUCCGGGACUCCGAACAAAAUUCGGUCACCAAAUCACAUAACUCAUAUAAUACAAUAUCAUCAUCAAAUGUUAAGCGCGGACCCUACGGGUUCGAGAACUAUGUAGACAUGACCGAGGCACCUCUUCGGUCAAUAACCAACAGCGGAACCUAGAUGCUCAUAUUGCCUCCCACAUAUUCUACGAAGAUCUUUAUUGGUCGAAGCGUUAUGACAACAUGCGUUAUUCCCUUUGUCAUCGGUCUGUUACUUGCCCGAGAUUCGAUCGUCGGUAUCUUCAUACCUAGUUCAAUCUCAUUACCGACAAGUCUCUUUACUCAUUCUGUAAUGAAUCAUCUUGUAACUAACUCAUUAUUUACUUUGCUUGCAAGGCUUCUUAUGAUGUGCAUUACCGAGAGGGCCCAGCGAUACCUCUCCGAUACUCGGAGUGACAAAUCCUAAUCUCGACCUAUGCCAACCCAACAAACACCUUCGGAGAUACCUGUAGAGCAUCUUUGUAAUCACCCAGUUAUGUUGUGAAGUUUGAUAGCACAUAAGGCAUUCCUAUGGUAUUCGGGAGUUGCAUAAUCUCAUAGUCGAAGGAAUAUGUAUUUGACAUGAAGAAAUCAAUAGCAAUAAAACCGAACGAUCAUAACACUAAGCUAAUGAAUGUGUCUUAUCCAUCACAUCAUUCUCCUAAUGAUGUGAUCUCGUUUAUCAAAUGACAACACAUGUCUAUGGUUAGGAAACUUAACCAUCUUGGAUCAACGAGCUAGUCUAGUAGAGGCUUACUAGGGACACCGUGUUUUGUCUAUGUAUCCACACAUGUAUCAAGUUUCUGGUUAAUACAAUUCUAGCAUGAAUAAUAAACAUUUAUCAUGAAAUAAGGAAAUAUAAAAUAACAACUUUAUUAUUGCCUCUAGGGCGUAUUUCCUUCAAUGGUUGGGGUUAUGGUUAAGGUUAAGGUGAAAUUUCUAUGAAUAGAAGUUAUUUGUCCAAUGUGUGCAUAAAUUAUGUUAUUGGUCCAUUUGAAUUGGUUGGAUGACAUAUAUGGAUGACUUUAUUGUUUCCAUUUUCUUAGAUGCAUAAGCUCGUAAAUGUUCAUUAUUUGGACAAGACGACAUUUAUGCUUGGAAAUGACGAUGAAGGGUAAGAGGCUAUGGUUUUUGAAAAAGUCCAAGCUUUGAUGAUCUUGUAGUUAAAGUGAGAAGCGUCUUACAUUGGAAUGACCCAAAUGCCGAGGUUAAGCUUAUUGGGAGGUAUGACGUUGGAUUGGGAGUAAAGUCCCGAUUAAAGAGUAUGCCCAUCACCUCCCAAUUGCAUUGGAAUGUGUACAAGGACAAAGUAGACGCAUCACAAGACAAGUCUCGUGAGAUAUUUGCCACAAAGGUUGAUCCUCCUCCUACCUUGCAAAUUUAUUUGAACCGCAAUGUAUCCUCCCCAAUACAUGAUGAUAGUGCUGAGGUGUAUAUACCCAAUUGUUCUAGCCAACCACCAAGUAGCCAACCCAAUGAAGAUCAUAUCAAUUCUAGCACCAUAGUACUCUGAGUUCAUGUUAUUCCUCUUGUUCAAGAAGAUUCUAGUGGUCAUGUUGAUGAUGAUGCUAUUGUUGCUCAAGGGGAUGCUUAUGCGGAGAAUGAAGAGAUUCAUUACAAUCCCAUUGGUAACUUGGAUGUCAUUGUGCGGUAACAAGACAUGGACCGUACCCUCCCUUAUAACUGUAUGUGUGGGUAUGACUCGGAUGACGAGAGUUCGGAGGAAGAAUUGGAUGAGGAUGGGUUGGCACAAGAAAAUCAAAUCUAUAAGAAGGUGACCGGCAAGGAAAGAGGGUUGCUGUUGUUUAGGGAUGUGAGUCUUGUGGACAAGGCCAUUGUUGACGGUGGGAUGAGAUUGGGGUUGUUUGAGCCAACACCGUGCCCCAAGGUCGGUGAUCCUUGGCCACAAAAUGAGGAUGAGAAUUCUCAUAUGAAGAAAGGCAUCAAGUUUGGUUCUUUGGUGGAGUUCAAGAUAUGGUUGUGACGCCAUUAGGAACCAUAGGCCGUUUGUUGUUGGUCAUUGCAAUCAGAAUGUUCGGUACACAGUCAUAUGUGACCAAGAAGGUUGGCAUUGGAGGGUCCGUGGUAGAAAAAUCAAAGAAAUCGGUCAAUGGGUGUUGAAGAGUUCUGUUGCCACUCACACGUGCGUACCCCGGACAAGGCCGACCGAAGCAAAGGAGACCGUCAACUCACGUCUGGGUAUCUAGGCUACAAAUUGUUGAAUCAAAUAGCUCAUGAUCCAACCGUGAAGGUCAAGUUUCUCAUGACUUUGAUUGAGGAACUAUUUGGAUACCCGGUCAAGUAUGGAAAGGCAUGGAUGGCCAAGGCAAACAGUAUUAGGAUGUUGCAUGGUGAUUAUGAGGCCGCAUAUAACAUUCUCCCAAAGAUGUUGGCAGCCAUUGCUCAUCGGAACCCGGGCAUGCGCCAUCGGGUUGAUUCAAUUGAUGGAGUGUUUCGUCGUGCCUUCUGGAGCUUUGGAAAAUGCAUCGAGGCAUUCACGUAUUGGCGACUGGUCUUGUCUAUAGAUGGCACAUUCUUGACCGGCAAAUACAAGGCCACAUUGAUGGUGGCAAUGGCCCACUCGUCAAAUGAUAACGUGUUGCCGGUGGCAUUUGUCUUGGUGCCUUCAGAGCACGAUGACAAUAUGGAGUGGUUCAUGGGGCAUGUGAGGAUAAAGGUGAUUGGCAAGAGAGAGGUAUGCAUCAUAUCCAAUCGCCAUCAUGGGAUUCUCAAUGCAAUAAACAUUGAUAUUUCAGGUCUUCCAAAGCUUCAAAACCGUUGGUGCAUGAAGACACUUUGCGGCAAACUUUUACUGGGCAUGCAAGAGCAAGGAGUUUUGCAAAGACCUUACCCAUGUUUGUGUUGCAUUUAACACUGACACAUUCAAAAGCCAAUAUGAUAAACUCCUCAAGGCGUUGGAGAAGAACAAAGGGGGUAAGAAUUCUUGACUAGGCACGAGCCGAAUAAAUAAAAGUGGUCACACGCUUACGAUGAAGGAGGUAUGCGAUAUGGGGACAUUGUCACACCCUAGCUAGCCAUGCAUUAGAGUGAUGCAUCAUGUUUACUUUUUCAUCAGAAACUUGAAAUGGGGAUGACAGAACCCCCAGUCACCUCUGAAACCAAUUAGGGUUUACUAAAAACUUUUUCAAUGAACCUGAAAUGCCCUUCUAAAAUGCCCAUCAUUUUUGUCUUGGUUCAGAACCUCUGCCAAAAGUGGUGCACAUUUUCCUAGGCCAUCCUAGGGUUUUUGAUUUAAAUCAUAAGUAUUUGAAUUUGGGCAUUUAAAAUUAUAUAAAAUAUUUAAAUGCUCAAAUAACUCCAAACUAAAAUGUUUCAUGUUGGAAACAAUCCAACUAUGGACCAGGAGUAGUUUGGUGAUUUUAGGAGUAGCCUAAGUAUUUUAUUUAAUUCAACAAAGUGGCAGAAGUAUUAAUAAAAACAGAAAACAGAGAAAAAUGGGAAAAGGCUUACCUGUCGCCUAGCACCGGCCCACCUGCCGGCCCAGCCCAGCACCGCGCCAGCGAGCUGCUUGCCGGCCAGGCAGGCAGGCAGGUGCUCGACGGCGAGCACCGCAUGGGUGCCACGCACCUGCUCGCCGCCUCGCCGCCUCCCUCGCCCGGCUAACGCCGUGAAUCGGCUUCCCUCUCUCCCCCGAACCCCCCAGACACCCCCUCUCCUCUCCAGCUCCUCCCCCUCGCACGCCCCAGCCAUGGCCGACGCCAUCGCCGCCACCCCCUCGUUGUAGCCACGCCCUCCGUCCACCCCACGCCGUGCCACCGUGUCCAGGAGCUCCGCCGCUGUCCACUUCAUCGAGCUAGCCGAGCCCUGUGUGCUCGUGCGGCCCGAGACCACCGCACCGACCUCGCCCGAGCUCGCCGUCGCCGGAGAUCCCCUUCAACGCCGUCGCCGCCUCAGCUCGUCCCCGACCCCGCCGGUGGCCUCUACGGGAGCACUGUGAGCCUAGCUACCUCUCCGACCCUCUCUCUCUCAUUCCCGAGCCGUGUAGCCACCGCACGAGGAUCACACGCCCGCACGUGCUUCCGGCCACCCUCCGGCCACGAGCUGGUGUCCAUCUUACUCACCGAGCUCCGCAGCACCUAGCUAGCCACUCCCCGAGCCUCACCGACCCCUCUAGCACCAAGUUCAUCUUCGGCCGAACCCCGGUGGCCGCCAAAGUCGUCGCCGGCGCCAACUCCGGCCACCCCGACCCCAACGGACUCCACCAAGAGCUGCGGCUUGUCCUCAGCUCCACUCCGGUGGUCUCCGCGACCCAUUUGGUGGCCGAAAUGGCCAAAACCACUCCCGCCGCCGCGUCGGGCUCGCCGGCGGCUAAACGCCGGCGCCGCUGGCAUUGACUUUGACCACGGGUGGGCCCUGGUUGACUCCCCUGAGUCAAUGAAGGUGGGGCCCAGCCCUGUUAAUUAAACAGGUUUAGUUUUAAUUAAACUUUAAUUAAAAUAAUCACCCUGACAUGCGGGACCCACUGUCAGGUUUGACCCUGACGUGUUCCGUUGACCUGCUGACGUCACACUGACGUCAGGCUGACGUAAUAAUGAUUUUCUGGAAUUAUUCUAAUAUAGGAAAUUCCAGAAUAUAAUUUAAACUUCAAAAAUUCAUAACUUUUAUUCUGUAACUCCAAAUCAGACAAAUUAUAUAUGAAAAAUGAUCAGAAAAAUCCAAUCUAUCCAUAUGUACUAUUUUCAUGCAUGACUAAACAAGUUAACCUGAUGUUUAAUGCAGAACAAGAAAAAGCACCUUAAAAGGCCAUGUUUGAGUUUGAAAUUUGAAUCUUUGAUUCAAAUUGGUUCAAACCCUUCUGGUUUUAGUUGCAUUAGCCCAACACACUCAUAUUGCCAUGUUUCAUGCAUGCAUCAUAUUGUUGCACAUUGUUUGGUGAUGGUUGUGUAUCGGUGUCCCUUGCGACAGGUUCUGUCUCCGAGGAGUAUCGUGAUUACCCUAACGAAGAACCGUAUCAGUGCAUCGAACCAUCAGGCAAGCAACCAACCAUUUGAUCAUAUCGAUACAAUCCCAUGUUCUCGCUCCUGCUCUCUUUUACUGCAUUAAGACAACGCGUUUCAAACUGCUGUGUGUUACGGUAGUUGAACCCAUUUCCUCUGCAUGACCUGUCAUUGCCACAAUAACUAGAUGAAACCCACUAGCAUGUGUAGGAGUUGAUUGAGCCAUAUGUAUGUGUUGUUCCUACCUUGCUAUGCCUGCUAUGCUUAGAGUCGUGUCAGGUCUGGUUCAUCUGGGUGAUGGGCUAGAGUGAAAUGAUUAUGUCGGUAAUGAGAGUGGUGUGGUGAACACGAUUUGGUAAAGGUGUCGAUGAGAGGCCAUGUAGGAGUACAUGGUGGGUUGUUUCAUUGAAGCCGACCUUAAGCACUGAGAUCUGUAUGUGUGAUUUAAGAAUCAGCUACUACCAUGCAUUGGGCCCGAAACCAAUGGACCCUCUCGGCUUCUUAUUCACCCUAGUUCUCCGUCCAGGAGUUGCAAGUAGUUUCUGGUGUUUGUAGCCUACUGGAGGCCGUGGACAGCGCUGACCGUAGGGGUGGGCUAUGAUGCGGUAGGUACGUGGCACGGUGUACCGAAUACCCGUUAGGUAUCUCGGGAACCCUGUUCACAUCGUUCGGGGCCGUAUGGGAAACCUCGGCCGGACUCCCUGCGGAUGGAACCUGGAUAGGCGAUAAACCUGGACUGGAGGCUUAGGUGAUUAGGUAGGUCGUGGCCGACACCCACGUUGGGCUUCCGCUUGAAGGUUGCCGAGUACAUGUCGUGUAAACGGCGGUAAGUGGUGAGAGCGUGUAUGAAGAAGUACACCCCUGCAGGGUUAUCAUGAUCUAUUCGAAUAGCCGCGUCCGCGGUAAAGGACUACUGGGUUGCCUAUACAGUUCAUAGACAAGUAAAUGGAAACUACUAAAAGCCUCAAGAUAAGUGUGAGUGCCGAGGAUGGCUCUUCCGUAGGAAGACGGAGGUGGAUCCUCGGUAGUGUAUUGAAGUGGUGAGUAGUGGACUCGUGUGCGCAAAACCAUUUCAAGUUGGAGUAUCGUAGGAUAGUCUAGCCAAGAGUCAAAGCUGGCUUGCUGCAAUAACUCCACCAACCCUUCUUGAUAAUAUGCAUGUAUGUAGGAUCUGAUGUAAGUCUUGCUGAGUACCUUUGUACUCAUGUUGCUAUAAUUUACAUUUUUUUACAGAAGACGCUGCAACCCCUUCUGAUGGGUUCUAUGUAGACGUUGACAUCAACGAGUAGGCUAAAGGCCCAGGUGGUGACCCUGAGCUUGUGAAGGACCAUGUAGUAUAGCUAGGCUUUCCAAGCCUCUUUUAUUUUACUAGUUGUCUGUACUCAGACAAGUUACUUCCGCUGCUGGUUUGUAUGACUGUAUGACUUGAAUGUUGGGUCGUGAGACCCGUACCUUUGUGUAUGUUAUGUAUGGCUCCCUGAGCCUUAAAUAAAGUACUUGUGUCGUAGAGUCAUGUUGUGAUGCUUCGUUGUAUUUGCACAUAUCGAGCAUAUUGUGUGUAUGAUUGAAAUGCUUGGUAUGUGUGGGAUCUGACUAUCUAGUUGUUUAUCUUUAGUAGCCUCUCUUACCGGGAAAUGUCUCCUAGUGUUACCGCUGAGCCAUGGUAGCUUGCUACUGCUCUAGAACACUUAGGCUGGCCGGCAUGUGUCCUUCUUCGUUCCUGUGUCUGUCCCUUAGGGGAAAUGUCAUGCUUUGAGUACCGGAGUCCUGUUAGCCCGCUACAGCCCGGUUUACCGGAGUCCUGCUAGCCCAGUGCUACAGCCCGGACCCACUUGCUGAUGACCGACACGUUCGAAGCUGGGUCAUGGAUGCCUGUCCCUGUAAGUCUGUGCCACUUUGGGUUUACGACUAGUCAUGUCAGCCCGGGCUCCUUAUCAUAUGGAUGCUAGCGACACUAUCAUAUACGUGAGCCAAAAGGCGCAAACGGUCCCGGGCAAAGGUAAGGCGACACCCGUGGGGAUACCGUGCGUGAGGCCGCAAAGUGAUAUGAGGUGUUACCGGCUAGAUCGAUGUGACAUCGAGUCGGGGUCCUGACAGCGUUGGCAUCAGAGCCGGACUGCCUGUAGGUUCUCCAAGCCAAAAUGGUCGAUGUUGAGUCUAGAAAUUCUUUAGUUAUAUGUAGGGGAAUUGUUUGUGGGUUGGAACGUAAGGCUCUUUUUACUCCUUUAUCUUAUGACAUUCUGAUCUGAGUCAGUCCAUUCUUCCACCGGGGGUUAAGGAAUUAGGAUCUAUUCUCUCUAUCAGGAUCACGUGUUACUAAUCAGUAGUACCUUAUAAGUUUGAUGGAUACAAGCCUAGUUCAGUUCUACUACCACAUUAUGUUGUUAGAAUGGAUUCAGAACUUUGAUAUGAUGAUGUUGAGUGUGUACGAAAUCCUUUGUCAAAUGUCUCAAAAUCCUUCUUGAGCAUUUACAGCUGUUAUGCUGCUGAAAUUUCGCUAGAAAUUCUAAUGCCUUUGCAUUAUGAUUGUGCUUUCAGAUGGCCACUCGCGACCUCAAUCAAGUGGUUCGCCUGACUCGAUGCCUAGAUGUACCCGGCCAUACUGCCAAGUUGGUCAGGGUAAUGACUGAGGCUGGAUACCGCUGGUAUCCUGAGUACACGGUCGAAGAGCAAUUUCGGGACUUUAAUCGAAGCCAGUAUCUCUGCACUGUCAGGAUAUUUCCAUCUUAUCCUGGGUCCACCGAGCCCCUUCACUGCUCCUAUGGACUCGGGGUUACUAUUGAGAUGGCUGUGCAGGACGCCGCCUACUCUAUGAUGACCAUUAUGCGAGUCAGAUCUGGUCUAUUUCGGGACUCUGAUUUCCGGUAUAUGCCAGGAUCACUUCCGGGAGCACAAGGGUAUCUCCAGGCUAUCUAUGCUGACCCCACCCAGGAGGAUUCACGGACUCGCACUACUGCUGAGAUGCUCGAGGAUAAGGACCGUGAAAAUCGGGCCUUGAGGUUAGAGCUCUUCAAUACCCGUGCUGACCACUGGGCCACAUUGACUCGGUUUGCACCGGCGGUGCAAGCUGGAUAUUCGGAUAUGCGCGAUCUCUAUCCUGUGAGAUCUGCUCUGCCAGACGUGAUGGGUUGGCGUGAUGUAGGAGGCAUCACCCCACCUCGCGGUUCCCGCAGGCCACCGUCUGUUGGUCCAAGACCUCAUCCUAGUCCCUAUGGUCCACAAGCUCCGCGAGAUCGUCUGUUUCCGGAUGAUCAUGUUGAGCUUCCAGGCUAUGGAGGUGACUUCUACGAGGACUACUACGGAUCGGUCUGAGUUAGUGGUAGUAUCACUAGUUAGCACUAUCUGUGUCGUCUAUCGUCCCGCGUGACUCGUGGGAUAUGCCCUAGUUUGUACUCUUUCCGAAGAUGUAGAAAAAUAAUGUAUAGGAGCUUAGGAUGCCUCCGAUGAGAUGUAAUCCUAUUUUCACCGUAAUAGUACUUUGUUUGGUCUUGUACUAAACCCUGUAUGGUGUGUAUGACGAUGGAAUAAAGAAGCAGUUUCUGUAUCUACCAUGUCAUACGGAUGAUCAUCUUGCAUUCCGAGUUAUUCCUUACAUUUUGUAUCCUAUGUCGGAAUUUUAUCAUUCUGACUAAAUCAUUGUCUUGUUUACCUAGGAUGGUCAACACGCGCACUAACCCUGCUCCUCAAGAGCAGGCCGAAGGCAGUGAAGUCAGGGAUGCAAAUCUGCCUCAUCCUCCUUCCCUAGCCGAGGUUAUGAUGGAAGCUGAGAGAAACAAGCGGGAGACCAACCGUUUGUUGGAGCGUAUUGAACAGAACACAGCACACCAUCAGAGGACUAACGUGGUGUCGCUCAGUGAUUUUAUCAAAUUACAUCCACCCACGUUCCACCACUCUGUCGAGCCUCUCGACGCUGAUGACUGGCUUCGCAGUAUCUCUCACAAGCUGCGUUCCGCGCUAGUAGCUGAGGCUGACAAGGUCACCUUUGCUGCAUAUCAUCUUGAAGGCCCCGCCAGUCUAUGGUGGGAGAAUUAUGGAGCUAUGCGCCCAGCAGGCCAUGUCACUACUUGGGCCGAAUUCAGUGAGGCUUUCCGUGAACAUCACAUUUCGGAGGGUCUCAUGGACCGUAAACGUGAGGAAUUCUGCAAUUUCACCCAAGGCCGACUCUCUGUGGAUGCUUACAGCAGGGAGUUUGGUAACCUCACACAAUAUGCAACUGAGGAAGUUUCUACUGAUGCCAAGAAGCAAGCAAGGUUCCGUAAGGGACUUAGUCCUGAGCUUCGCCGCGACCUCCGUCUGCAUGAGUGCACAUCUUUUCAGAAACUUGUUAACAAAGCCAUCAGUGCUGAAACCGGUCAGACUGAUUAUGACGCAACACGCAAGCAUGGCCGUGACAUGGGUUCCUCAUCCGGUGCUGGUCCUCAGAAGCGCCGCGUGUGGGUGCCCAACACCGCCCUGCCACCCAGGUUCACACCGAGGCCAUCUUUCCAGGCGCCUCGCCCUGUUCAACAGUCUGCUCUAGCCAAGCCCUAUGGGGGUCCAACCAACAAUGCUCCUCCACGUACCAGUUCUGUGACUUGUUUCAAGUGUGGGGAAUCUGGCCACUAUAUGCGUGAGUGUCCCCAGACCAACCCCAACCAAUCUGCUAAAGCUGUUGGCCGUGGCAAGCCGACAGGGAAAGUGUUCCACGCCAAGCCGGCCACCGCCUCACGUGGCCAUGUCAACUGUAUCUCUGCCGAAGAAGCUCAAGAAGAUCCCAACGUCGUUCUCGGUACGCUCCUUGUUAAUUGCCACCCGGCAUCUGUUCUUUUCGAUACAGGAGCCUCUCAUUCAUUUAUAUCCGAGAACUACGCUCGUUUGCAUAACACCGCAUUCUGUAACAUGCCAUCCACUAUGGAAAUUUCUACUCCCGGUUCUAGAUGGCAGACCUCCAGGGUAAGUUAUGGAAAUGAAAUCCAAGUCGAUAGACUUGUUUUCCUUGCAUCUUUAAUAGCUCUCAAAUUUUCAGAUAUUAAUAUCAUUUUGGGUAUGGACUGGAUGUCAGCUCAUCAUGCCAAAAUUGAUUGCUUCUCUAGGACUGUUCAACUCACUCACCCUUCGGGCAAGAUAGUCAAUGUCUUGACCCGAUUAGCCAAGCGACAAUUAUAUUCUCUUAACGCCAGCCCUUUGCCAGACCUUGAGGACGUUCCGGUAGUCCGUGACUUUCCGGAUGUCUUCCCAGAGGAAUUGCCAGGUGUUCCACCUGAUAGGGAUGUUGAGUUCGUAAUAGACCUCAUUCCAGGAACCGUUCCGAUUGCUAGAAGACCCUAUAAGAUGGCACCACUAGAACUAGCCGAGCUUAAGAAACAACUCGAUGAGUCCUUGAAAAAGGGUUUCAUCCGACCUAGUUCAUCUCCGUGGGCUUGCCCCGUCCUCUUCGUCAAGAAGAAGGAUGGUACGGACCGGAUGGUUGUAGAUUAUCGACCUGUCAAUUUGGUCACAAUCAAGAACAAAUAUCCGCUUCCCAGGAUCAACGACCUGUAUGAUCAGCUCGCUGGAUCCUCAGUCUUCUCCAAGAUGGAUUUGAGGUUGGGCUACCAUCAAAUCAAAAUCAGAAACGGGGACAUCCCUAAAACGGCCUUUGUUACUCGUUAUGGCCAAUACGAGUACACCGUCAUGUCCUUCGGUUUAACCAACGCUCCAGCCACCUUUUCUCGGUUAAUGAACUCAAUCUUCAUGGAGUAUUUGGAUAAAUUCGUCGUAGUUUACCUCGAUGAUAUACUCAUCUACUCCAAGAACGAGGAAGAACAUGCCGAACAUUUAAGGCUAGUGUUGAAGAAACUUCGAGAGCAUCGCCUUUAUGCCAAAUUUUCUAAAUGUGAAUUCUGGUUGUCAGAAGUGACCUAUCUAGGUCAUGUAAUAUCUGGUAAAGGUAUUGCUGUUAACCCUGAGCGAGUUCAAGCCGUCCUUAAUUGGACUCCACCUGAAUCGGUCAAGCAAGUUCGGAGUUUUCUAGGCUUAGCGAGCUAUUGUCGUCGCUUUGUCGAGAACUUCUCCAAGGUUGCUAAACCUCUAACCGAACUCCUCAAGAAAGAUAAGAAGUUCGAAUGGACUCCACAGUGUGAGCACAGCUUUCAGGAACUGAAAAGACGCCUGACUUCUGCUCCCGUACUGGUACCGCCAGACUUCUCCAAGGACUUUGUUAUCUACUGCGACGCCUCGCGACAAGGACUAGGUUGCAUUCUCAUGCAAGAUCGACACGUAAUUGCCUACGCUUCACGGCAAUUGCACCCACAUGAGGAGAAUUAUCCUACUCAUGAUCUAGAGCUUGCAGCCGUAGUCUAUGCACUUAAGACCUGGCGACAUUACCUCCUCGGUAAUCGUUGCGAAAUAUUCACUGAUCACCAAAGUCUGAAGUACAUUUUCACCCAACCGGAUUUGAAUCUCAGGCAAAGACGUUGGGUUGAGUUGAUCACAGAUUUCGACUUAGGAAUAACUUACACCCCAGGGAAAGCCAACGUCAUGGCUGAUGCACUAAGUCGUAAAUCUUAUUGUAACAACCUGAUGUUACAACAAAGUCAACCGCUUCUCCAUGAGGAAUUUCGGAAGCUUAACCUUCACAUUGUUCCUCAAGGAUUUCUUUCCACCUUGGUAGCGAAACCUACUCUUACGGAUCAAAUCAUCGCUGCCCAAAAGCGAGAUAAAGGAAUAUCUAAAAUCAAGGAGAACAUUGCUAGCGGAGGUGCUAGUUGUUUCUCCACAAAUGAUCAUGGUGUUGUGUACUUCGAGAACCGUCUAGUGGUUCCCAAGAACCAGCAUCUACGGCAGUUGAUCCUUAAGGAGGCUCAUGAAUCUCCUCUCACCAUUCAUCCCGGUAGUACUAAGAUGUAUCAGGACCUACGCCAGAGGUUCUGGUGGACUAGGAUGAAGAGAGAAAUUGCUCAGUAUAUUGCUAAUUGCGACGUCUGUCGUCGUGUAAAAGCAGAGCAUCAACGGCCUGCUGGCACCCUUCAACCUUUAGCUAUUCCUGAAUGGAAAUGGGAUAAAAUUGGUAUGGAUUUCAUUACCGGUUUUCCCAGGACCAAGAGAGGGAAUAAUGCUAUCUUUGUCGUUGUCGAUCGUCUUUCCAAAGUGGCCCAUUUCUUACCUGUUCGUGAGAGUAUAACCGCUAGUCAGCUGGCAGACCUAUACAUCUCCCGAAUAGUGUCUCUCCAUGGUGUUCCUUUGGAAAUCAACUCGGAUCGAGGAAGUCUUUUCACCUCUCGAUUUUGGGAAAGUUUCCAAAAUGCUAUGGGAACCCGUCUCUCCUUUAGCACCGCUUUCCACCCUCAGUCGAGUGGUCAAGUGGAACGCGUCAACCAGAUUCUAGAAGACAUGCUUCGAGCCUCUGUUAUCUCUUUCGGAAUGGAUUGGGAGAAGUGCCUUCCAUUUGCCGAAUUCGCUUACAACAACAGCUAUCAAUCUAGCUUGGGUAAAGCCCCUUUUGAAGUUCUCUAUGGACGACGGUGUCGAACACCCCUUAACUGGUCAGAGACCGGGGAAAGACAAUUCUUUGGCCCGGAUAUGAUUCAGGAAGCAGAAGAGCAAGUUCGCAUCGUUCGUGAAAAGUUGAAAACAGCCCAAUCUCGUCAAAAGAGUCAAUAUGACCGAAAACAUAAGGCUAUGACUUUCGAGGUUGACGAGAAGGCUUAUCUUCGGGUCACCCCUCUGAAGGGAACCCAUCGUUUCGGUAUCAAAGGCAAAUUGGCUCCUCGUUACAUUGGACCUUUUCGCAUUCUCGCCAAACGACGAGAACUACCUCCGCACCUCUCCAGAGUCCACGAUGUCUUCCACGUUUCUCAACUCAGGCGUUGCUUCUCGGAUCCUAUCCGUGGAGUGGACUACGAAACGCUUGAUCUCCAAGAUAAUCUUACGUAUCGAGAGUACCCCAUUCGUAUCCUCGAUCAGGCCGAGCGUACCACUCGACGUCAUAAUAUCAAGUUUCUUAAAGUACAAUGGUCGCACCAUUCUGAGGAUGAAGCAACUUGGGAAAGGGAGGACCGUCUUCGACUUGAGUAUCCCGCCUUCUUUCCGGAGGAACCCAAAUCUCGGGACGAGAUUCUUUUCAGUGGGGGUGAGUUGUCACACCCUAGCUAGCCAUGCAUUAGAGUGAUGCAUCAUGUUUACUUUUUCAUCAGAAACUUGAAAUGGGGAUGACAGAACCCCCAGUCACCUCUGAAACCCAUUAGGGUUUACUAAAAACUUUUUCAAUGAACCUGAAAUGCCCUUCUAAAAUGCCCAUCAUUUUUGUCUUGGUUCAGAACCUCUGCCAAAAGUGGUGCACAUUUUCCUAGGCCAUCCUAGGGUUUUUGAUUUAAAUCAUAAGUAUUUGAAUUUGGGCAUUUAAAAUUAUAUAAAAUAUUUAAAUGCUCAAAUAACUCCAAACUAAAAUGUUUCAUGUUGGAAAUAAUCCAACUAUGGACCAGGAGUAGUUUGGUGAUUUUAGGAGUAGCCUAAGUAUUUUAUUUAAUUCAACAAAGUGGCAGAAGUAUUAAUAAAAACAGAAAACAGAAAAAAAUGGGAAAAGGCUUACCUGUCGCCCAGCACCGGCCCACCUGCCGGCCCAGCCCAGCACCGCGCCAGCGAGCUGCUUGCCGGCCAGGCAGGCAGGCAGGUGCUCGACGGCGAGCACCACAUGGGUGCCACGCACCUGCUCGCCGCCUCGCCGCCUCCCUCGCCCGGCUAACGCCGUGAAUCGGCUUCCCUCUCUCCCCCGAACCCCCCAGACACCCCCUCUCCUCUCCAGCUCCUCCCCCUCGCACGCCCCAGCCAUGGCCGACGCCAUCGCCGCCACCCCCUCGCUGUAGCCACGCCCUCCGUCCACCCCACGCCGUGCCACCGUGUCCAGGAGCUCCGCCGCUGUCCACUUCAUCGAGCUAGCCGAGCCCUGUGUGCUCGUGCGGCCCGAGACCACCGCACCGACCUCGCCCGAGCUCGCCGUCGCCGGAGAUCCCCUUCAACGCCGUCGCCGCCUCAGCUCGUCCCCGACCCCGCCGGUGGCCUCUACGGGAGCACUGUGAGCCUAGCUACCUCUCCGACCCUCUCUCUCUCAUUCCCGAGCCGUGUAGCCACCGCACGAGGAUCACACGCCCGCACCGCCGCGGGUCUCGUCGCCGACGUGCUUCCGGCCACCCUCCGGCCACGAGCUGGUGUCCAUCUUACUCACCGAGCUCCGCAGCACCUAGCUAGCCACUCCCCGAGCCUCACCGACCCCUCUAGCACCAAGUUCAUCUUCGGCCGAACCCCGGUGGCCACCAAAGUCGUCGCCGGCGCCAACUCCGGCCACCCCGACCCCAACGGACUCCACCAAGAGCUGCGGCUUGUCCUCAGCUCCACUCCGGUGGUCUCCGCGACCCAUUUGGUGGCUGAAAUGGCCAAAACCACUCCCGCCGCCGCGUCGGGCUCGCCGGCGGCUAAACGCCAGCGCCGCUGGCAUUGACUUUGACCACGGGUGGGCCCUGGUUGACUCCCCUGAGUCAAUGACAGGUGGGGCCCAGCCCUGUUAAUUAAACAGGUUUAGUUUUAAUUAAACUUUAAUUAAAAUAAUCACCCUGACAUGCGGGACCCACUGUCAGGUUUGACCCUGACGUGUUCCGUUGACCUGCUGACGUCACACUGACGUCAGGCUGACGUAAUAAUGAUUUUCUGGAAUUAUUCUAAUAUAGGAAAUUCCAGAAUAUAAUUUAAACUUCAAAAAUUCAUAACUUUUAUUCUGUAACUCCAAAUCAGACAAAUUAUAUAUGAAAAAUGAUCAGAAAAAUCCAAUCUAUCCAUAUGUACUAUUUUCAUGCAUGACUAAACAAGUUAACCUGAUGUUUAAUUCAGAACAAGAAAAAGCACCUUAAAAGGCCAUGUUUGAGUUUGAAAUUUGAAUCUUUGAUUCAAAUUGGUUCAAACCCUUCUGGUUUUAGUUGCAUUAGCCCAACACACUCAUAUUGCCAUGUUUCAUGCAUGCAUCAUAUUGUUGCACAUUGUUUGGUGAUGGUUGUGUAUCGGUGUCCCUUGCGACAGGUUCUGUCUCCGAGGAGUAUCGUGAUUACCCUAACGAAGAACCGUAUCAGUGCAUCGAACCAUCAGGCAAGCAACCAACCAUUUGAUCAUAUCGAUACAAUCCCAUGUUCUCGCUCCUGCUCUCUUUUACUGCAUUAAGACAACGCGUUUCAAACUGAUGUGUGUUACGGUAGUUGAACCCAUUUCCUCUGCAUGACCUGUCAUUGCCACAGUAACUAGAUGAAACCCACUAGCAUGUGUAGGAGUUGAUUGAGCCAUAUGUAUGUGUUGUUCCUACCUUGCUAUGCCUGCUAUGCUUAGAGUCGUGUCAGGUCUGGUUCAUCUGGGUGAUGGGCUAGAGUGAAAUGAUUAUGCCGGUAAUGAGAGUGGUGUGGUGAACACGAUUUGGUAAAGGUGUCGAUGAGAGGCCAUGUAGGAGUACAUGGUGGGUUGUUUCAUUGAAGCCGACCUUAAGCACUGAGAUCUGUAUGUGUGAUUUAAGAUACAGCUACUACCAUGCAUUGGGCCCUGAAAUAUGACCCCGCUCGACUUCUUAUUCACCCUAGCUCUCUGUCCAGGAGUUGCAAGUAGUUUCUGGUGUUUGUAGCCUACUGGAGGCCGUGGACAGCGCUGACCGUAGGGGUGGGCUGUGAUGCGGUAGGUACGUGGCCGGGUGUACCGAAUACCCGUUAGGUAUCUCGGAAACCCUGUUCACAUCGUUCGGGGCCGUAUGGGAAACCUCGGCCGGACUCCCUGCGGAUGGAACCUGGAUAGGCGAUAAACCUGGACUAGAGGCUUAAGUGUUUAGGUAGGUCGUGGUCUACACCCACGUCGGCUUUCGCUUGAAGUCUGCCGAGCACAUGUCGUGUGCAGACGCUAAGUGGUGGAAACAUGUAUGAAGAAGUACACCCCUGCAGGGUUAUCAUGAUCUAUUCGAAUAGCCGCGUCCACGGUAAAGGACUACUUGGUUGCCUAUACAGUUCAUAGACAAGUAAAUGGAAACUACUAAAAGCCUCAAGAUAAGUGUGAGUGCCGAGGAUGGCUCUUCCGUAGGAAGACGGAGGUGGAUCCUCGGUGGUGUAUUGAAGUGCUGAGUAGUGGACUCAUGUGCGAAAAACCAUUUCAAGUUGGAGUCUCGUAGGUUAGCCUAGCCAAGAGUCAAAGCUGGCUUGCUGCAAAAACUCCACCAACCUUUCUUGAUAAUAUGCAUGUAUGUAGGAUCUGAUGUAAGUCUUGCUGAGUACCUUUGUACUCAUGUUGCUAUAAUUUACAUUUUAUAGAAGACGAUGCAACCCCUUCUGAUGGGUUCUACGUAGACGUUGACAUCAACGAGUAGGCUAAAGGCCCAGGUGGAGAUCCUGAGCUUGUGAAGGACCAUGUAGUAUAGCUAGGCUUUCCAAGCCUCUUUUAUUUUACUAGUUGUCUGUACUCAGACAAGUUACUUCCGCUGCUGGUUUGUAUGACUGUAUGACUUGAAUGCUGGGUCACGAGACCCGUACCUUUGUGUAUGUUAUGUAUGGCUCCCUGAGCCUUAAAUAAAGUACUUGUGUCGUAGAGUCAUGUUGUGAUGCUUCGUUGUAUUUGCACAUAUCGAGCAUAUUGUGUGUAUGAUUGAAUUGCUUGGUAUGUGUGGGAUCUGACUAUCUAGUUGUUUAUCUUUAGUAGCCUCUCUUACCGGGAAAUGUCUCCUAGUGUUACUGCUGAGCCAUGGUAGCUUGCUACUGCUCUGGAACACUUAGGCUGGCCGGCAUGUGUCCUUCUUCGUUCAUGUGUCUGUCCCUUUGGGGAAAUGUCACGCAUUGAGUACCGGAGUCCUGUUAGCCCGCUACAGCCCGGUUUACCGGAGUCCUGCUAGCCCAGUGCUACAGCCCGGACCCACUUGCUGAUGACCGACACGUUCGAAGCUGGGUCAUGGAUGCCUGUCCCUGUAAGUCUGCGCCACUUUGGGUUUACGACUAGUCAUGUCAGCCCGGGCUCCUUAUCAUAUGGAUGCUAGCGACACUAUCGUAUACGUGAGCCAAAAGGCGCAAACGGUCCCGGGCAAAGGUAAGGCGACACCCGUGGGGAUACCAUGCGUGAGGCCGCAAAGUGAUAUGAGGUGUUACCGGCUAGAUCGAUGUGACAUCGAGUCGGGGUCCUGACAGACAUGACAAGCAACAUGGUGGAAUGCUUCAACAAUGUGUUGAAGGGUGUCCGUUCCUUGCUGGUCACCACAAUACUCAAGUACACUUUCAUCAAACUCAACGAGUACUUCUAAAGCAUUCCGAAAUCAUGGGCAAGUGGAUUGAUGAAAAAUUGGACUAUCCAUUCAAGGUUCAGGAUUGGUUGUUGCAUCGAGCGCGCAAGUCUUCCCACCAACAAGUGAUCAAAUACAAUGAAAAAGAAAUGAUCUAUCAAAUCGAUGAGCCGGGUGCCACAACAAGGGACGCUGUGUCCUAUGGUGGAGUUGCGUACGAGGUGCACAUCAAAAACCGGUGGUGCCAGUAUGAGAGGCCACACAAGUAUCAUUGGCCUUGCUCGCAUGUGAUGACUGCAAUACGGGCAAGAAACUUGCCUGUAUAUGAUGGUACAACGGUGCGGUUGCACGAGUUCACAUUGGAACGAACGAGGUUGACGUGGGCGCCUUGGUUUAAUCCUUUCCUUGAUCCGUCACAGUGGCCUGAGUAUGAUGGUCCUAACAUUGUGCCAGAUCCCGCACUAAUGGUGCCUAUGAGGGGAAGAAGAAGAAAGAAGAGGUUCAGGAGUGACAUGGAUGAUCUAGCUGGAUACACCAGAAUGAAGCAAUUUGGUAGUGGUCAUUUCAUGGAGGCACCGAACACCAACAAUUGUGGAGAAUGCAACGAGACGGGAUACAACGUUACAAGAUGCACGAAAAGACCCAAAACCAACACGAGCACUAGUAAAACAAGUGGCGGUAGAGGAGGUUCCGCCGGCACACGAGGAGGAAGGACAAGUCUUGGAGGGGGCCGUGGAGGAAGGACUAGUCUUGGAGGGGGCCGUGGAGGAAGGACUAGUCUUCGAGGGGGACGUGGAGGAAGGAGUAGUCUUAGAGGGGGUCGUGGAUCCAGUGGUUCAAGGACAUGUCGGAUUGACAGAGGAAGGCCUAUCGAUGUGUUCAUAAAUCCGGAUGGUUGAAAUAAUGUGAAUGGUACUAAUUGUCUCAUUUCAUGUCAAUUUGUUGAAAUAUUUGCUUAACAUCUUUAAUUGUUUGCAUCUUGAUGUCUGCUAGAACUACGUCGGUAUUUCCCCAAAGAGGAAGGGAUGAUGCAGUAUAGCGACGGUAGGUAUUUCCCUCAGUGAUGAGACCAAGGUUAUCGAACCAUUAGGAGAACCUCCUCACACCACGUAAAUAGCACCUGCACACAAAUAACAAAUACUCGCAACCCGACGUGUUAAAGGGGUUGUCAAUCCCUUUCGGGUACGGCGCCUCAAGAUAGGCAAAUAACGUGAGGUAAAAGUGGUAGAUAGGAUAAAUAGAUCAUGGGACAAAUAAAUUGCAGCAAGGUAUUUUUGUAUUUUUGGUUUAAUAGAUCUGAAAAUAAAAGCAAAGGCAAAUAUGAUGAGAAGAGACCCGGGGGUCAUAGGUUUCACUAGUGGCUUCUCUCGAGAAAAAUAGCAAAAGGUGGGACAACAAUUACUGUUGAGCAAUUGAUAGAACUUCAAAUAAUCAUGACGAUAUCCAAGCAAUUAUCAUUAUAUAGGCAUCACGUCCAAGAUUAGUAGACUGACUCCUGCCUGCAUCUACUACUAUUACUCCACACAUCGACCGCUAUCCAGCAUGCAUCUAGUGUAUUAAGUUCAUAGAAAAACGGAGUAAUGCAAUAAGAACGAUGACAUGAUGUAGACAAGAUCUAUUUAUGUAGAAAUAGACCCCAUCUUGUUAUCCUUAAUAGCAACGAUACAUACGUGUCGUUUCCCUUUCUGUCACUGGGAUCAAGCACCGUAAGAUCGAACCCAUCACAAAGCACCUCUUCCCAUUGCAAGAUAAAUAGAUCAAGAUGGCCAAACAAAACCCAAAUAUCGGAGAAGAAAUACGAGGCUAUAAUCAAUCGAGCAUAUAAGAGAUCAAAGAAGACUCAAAUAACUUUCAUGGAUAAAAACAUAGAUCUGAUCAUAAACUCAAAGUUCAUCGGAUCCCAACAAACACACCGCAAAAAGACUUGCAUCAUAUGGAUCUCCAAGAGACCAUUGUAUUGAUAAUCAAGAGAGAGAAGAAGCCAUCUAGCUACUAACUACGGACCCGUAGUUCUACAAAGAACUACUCACACAUCAUCGAAGAGGCACCAAUGGAAGUGGUGAACCCCUCCGUGAUGGUGUCUAGAUUGGAUCUGGUGUUUCUGGACUCUGCGGCGGCUAGAAUUGAUUUUCGUCGACUCUCCUAGGGUUUCUGGAAUAUUGGGGUAUUUAUAGAGCAAAGAGGCGGUUCAGGGGGCACCCGAGGUGGGCACAACCCACCUGGGCACGCUUGGGCCUCCAGGCGCGCCCUGGUGGGUUGUGCUGCCCACGGAGCACCCCCAGGUGAUUUUCCUGGCCCACUGGAUGUCUUCUGGCCCAAAAAAAUCCUCAAGAAGUUUCGCUGCAUUUGGACUCCGUUUGGUAUUGAUUUCCCGCGAUGUAAAAACAUGUAGAAAACGGCAAUUAGCACUGGGCACUAUGUCAAUAGGUUAGUACCAAAAAAUGAUAUAAAAUGAUUAUAAAAUGAUUGUAAAACAUCCAAGAAUGAUAAUAUAACAACAUGGAACAAUAAAAAAAAUAGAUACGUUGGAGACGUAUCAGCAUCCCCAAGCUUAAUUCCUGCUCGUCCUCGAGUAGGUAAAUGAUAAAAACAGAAUUUUUGAUGUGGAAUGCUGCCUAACAUGUUCAUCACAUUUAUUUUCUUAAUAGCAUGGACAUUUGGACUUUUAUAUGGUUCAAAGCAAUAGUCUAGUUUUGACAUGAAGACUUUAAUACUCAAGCAUACCAACAAGCAACCAUGUCUUUCAAAAUAUCAAUACUAAAGCAAGUUAUCCCUAGCCCAUUAUGCUCAAUCAUUGAUCCAUUCAUGAAACACACUCGAAUAUUAGCUAUACCCAAUGCUCAAAUAAGAUCAUAGUGCCCCUUAGUUGGUGCUUUAUAAGAGAAGAUGGAGACUCAAAUUCAAAAUAAAAAUUGCAUCAGUAAUAGAAAGGCCCUUCAUGGAGGGAAGUAGGGAUUUGUAGAGGUGUCAGAGCUCAAAGAUUAAACUGAGAGAUAAAAACAUUUUUGAGAGGCAUACUUUUCCCAUCAACGAAAAAGACUUAGAGCUCCAAACACUUUACAUGCUAGAUACAUCAUAGGUGGUUCCCAAACAGAAAAUAAAGUUUAUUCCUUUUUCCAUCAUUACUUUCACUUUCCAUGGCUAGCCGAAUCCACGGUUGCCCUUCAUACCAACACUUUCCAAGGAAUUUAUUAUUUGACAACAUAAAGUAAAUUCAUUUUUCAUUUCUGGACUGGGCAUCCCUAAAACCUUCGCCGUACUCUCGUGCAAUGACAACUGAAUAAACACUCAUCAUGAGAAUAACACAUCUAGCAUGGAAAAUAUUUGCCACCCCUCACCGCCUCGCGAGCAGUAGAGCACACAAAAGAGAAAUUUAUUUUGAAAAUUAGAGAUGGCACAUGAAAAUUUGUUUGGAACGGCAUGAAAAUACCGCAUAUAGGUAGGUAUAGUGGACUCAUAAGGAAAAACUGGUUUAAAGGGUUUUGGAUGCACAAGUAGUGAUCAUACUUAGUGCAAAAUGAAGGCUAGCAAAAAGAUUGAGAAGCGACUAACCAAAAAGCAAGAAAUCUCGCACCCAAGCAUUAAGCAUAAGUAUAAAUGAAUAAUGCACCACAAGUAGGAUAUAAAUUUCAUUGCAUAACUAUUGACUUUCAUGCUUGCAUAGGGAAUCACAAACCUUAACAUCAAUAUUCUUUCUAAAGCACAAUUACUCAUCAACAUGACUCACAUAUCAUAUCAUCAUAUCUCAAAACCAUUACUAAGAAUCAAGUUUAUUUUGUCCAAUGAUCUUCAUGAAAUAUUUUAUUAUAUCCUCCUUGGGUAUCUAUCACUUUGGGACUAUUUCCAUAUGUUGCUUUUGAUUAGCUCAAACAAAUAUAAGUGAAGAACAUGAGCAUAAUUUUUUUCUUUCUCUCAAAAUAAUGUAAGUGAAGCAAGAGAGAAUUUCUGAAAAUUUUACUAACAACCAAAUAAAUCUAAGUGAAGCAUGAGAGCAUUUCUCCAAAAAAUAACAAAGCACACCAUGCUCAAAAGGAUAUAAGUGAAGCACUAGAGCAAAUCCAUGGCUCUAAAAUUUUAAGUGAAGCAUAGGAGCAAGCAUAACAUAAUUUAAGGCUCUCUCAGAAAGGUGUGUUCAGCAAGGAUUCAACACUUGAGACACAAAGCAAAACAAUCAAAUACUCAUAUCAUACAAGGCGCUCCAAGCAAAACUCAUAAUAUGUGACGAAUAAAAAUAUAGCUUCAAGUAAAAUACCGAUGGUUGUUAGAAGAAAUCGGGGAUGCCACUCGGGGGAAUCCCCAAGCUUAGUUGCUUGAUAUUUCUUGAAUAUUAUCUUGGGGUGCCUAGGACAUCCCCAAGCUUAGCCUUUUGCUAAUCCUUAUUCCUUCAUCAAUCGUAAGAUCACCCAAAACUUGAAAACUUCAAUCACACAAAACUCAACAAACCUUCGUGAGGUCCGUUAGUAUAAGAAAGCAAACCACUACUAUAAGUACUGUUGCAAACCUAUUCUUAUUUUGUUUUUUCAUUAUAUCUACUGUAUUCCAACUUUUCUAUGGCAAAAACUCAUCAAAGCAAACCAUAGAAUCAUCAAAACAAGCACACAAUGCAAAGAAAACAGAAUCUGUCAAAAACAGAACAGUCUGUAGAAAUCUGAAUAUUUCGAAUACUUAUGUAACUCUAAAAAUUCUAAAAAAAAUUAGAUUAACGUGAGAAAUUUUUCUAUUAAUCUGAUUCAAAAAUAAUAAACUCAAAAGCACUCUUCUGGUAAAAAUGACAAAUAAUCUCGUGAGCACAAAAGUUUCUGUUUUUCAGCAAGAUGAAAUCAACUUUCACCCAAAUCAUCCCAAAGGCCUUGCUUGGCACAAACACUAAUUUAAACCAAAAAAAACACAUAUAACGAGAGUAUAAUUGGUUACUUUAUUAAAAACAGCAAGAAAACCGAAAAGCAAAAAAGAUACAAGUUGGGUUGCCUCCCAACAAGCGCUAUCGUUUUACGCCCCUAGCUAAACACGUAGGAUCUAAGUUGUCAUCUUUGGUUCUAGAUCCAUAGGAUGCCCUCAUGAUUUAUUCAUAUGGUGGCCUAAUUAUUGUUCUAGGGAAGUGUUCCAUACCCUUCCUUAGUGGAAAUUGAAAUUUAAUAUUACCUUAUUUCAUACCAAUCACAGCACGAAUAGUACGUAAAAACGGUCUACCAAGAAUAAUUGGACAAGACGGAUUGCAAUCCAUAUCUAGAACAAUAAAAUCUAUGGGCACAUAAUUCCUAUUUGAAAGAAUAAGAACAUCAUUAAUUCUUCCCAUAGGAUUUUUAAUAGUAGAGUCCGCCAAGUGCAAAUUUAAAGAGCAUUCUUCAAUAUCGGUAAGACCAAGCACGUCACAUAAAGAUUUCGGAAUAGUAGAAACACUAGCACCCAAGUCACAUAAGGCAAAACAUUCAUAAUUUUUAAUCUUGACUUUGAUAGUAGGUUCCCACUCAUCAUGCAAUUUUCUAGGAAUUGAAACUUCUCAUUCCAACUUGUCUUCAAAAGCUUUCAUCCGAGCAUCAAAAUAUGUUUAGUAAAAUCUUUAUUUUGUUCAUAAGCAUGGGGUGAAUUUAUCAAGGAUUGCAACAAAGGAAUACAAUCAACCAAAGAGCAACUAUCAUAAUUAAAGUCUUUGUAAUAAAAAAUAGUGGGCACAUCACUAGUUAAAGUCUUGACCUCUUCAAACCCACUUUUAUCAAUUUUCUCAACAAGAUUUUCACCCUUUGAAUCAUAGGGACGCGUUCUAACUAAAGUUGACUCUUCUCCAGUCCCUUUUUCAUCAAUCUUAAUUUUACUAAACAAAGAAUCAAUAGAAGAAACACAAAUCAUUUUAAGAUCUUCAUCACUUUUAUGAAAGUAAUCACUAGAAAAUGCUCUUUCUAAAAAUUCUCUUUUACCUCUAAGCAUAGCGGUUCUUUUCUUACUUUCAUCCAUAGAAACAUAAAGAGCUUUAAUUGAUUCUUCAACUUUAGGCACAAAAUUUUUCAUCUUGAGAGUUUCUAUAUCAUGAGAAAUUCUAUCAACACUUCUAGACAAAUCAUCAUUUUUAUUCAACUUUUCUUCUAUCGAAGUAUUGCAAGCUUUUUGAGUAUUGAUAAAUUCUUUAAUAUUGUUCACAAGAUCAGAGGUGUUUCUAUUAUUAUUAUAAGAAGGAUUACCAUAGGAGUUACCAUAAUUAUUAGAGGAAUUACUAGGAAAAGUCCUAGGAUUAAAAUUACCUCUGUAAACAUUGUUAUUGAAAUUGUUUCGCGAGACAAAUUCACAUCUAUGGCAUCACUAUUUUUCUCAAUCAAAGUAGACAAAGGCACAUUAUUAAAAUCAAUAGAAGCACUUUUAUUAGCAACCAACUUCAUAAGAGCAUCAACUUUUUUGCUCAAAGAAUUUAUUUCUUCUAUCGAAUUGACUUCUUUACUAGUAGGAGCUCUUUCGGUAUGCCAUUGUGAGUAAUUUGCCAUAAUAUUGUCUAAUAAUCUAGUAGCUUUGCUAUGUCUUGAGCUUGCGUUGGUUUUCCUUGAAGAGGAAAGGGUGAUGCAGCAAUAGUAGCGUAAGUAUUUCCCUCAGUUUUUGAGAACCAAGGUAUCAAUCCAGUAGGAGGCUCCUCAAAAGUCCCACGCACCUACACAAACAAACAAAGAACUCGCAACCAACGCAAUAAAGGGGUUGUCAAUCCCUUCAUGGCCACUUGAGAAAGUGAGAUCUAAUAGAGAUAGUAUGAUAAGAUAAAUAUAUUUUUGGUAUUUUAUAAUAUAGAUUGAAAAAGUAAAGAUGCAAAUAAAAGUAGAUUGGAAGCAAAUAUGAUAAGAGAUAGACUCGAGGGUCGUAGGUUUCACUAGUGGCUUCUCUCAAGAUAGCAUAAGUAUUACGGUGGGUGAACAAAUUACUGUCGAGCAAUUGAUAGAAAAGCGAAUAAUUACGAGAUUAUCUAGGCAUGAUCAUGUAUAUAGGCAUCACGUCCGUGACAAGUAGACCGACUCCUGCCUGCAUCUACUACUAUUACUCCACACAUCGACCGACUCCUGCCUGCAUCUAGAGUAUUAAGUUCAUAAGAAUAGAGUAACACCUUAAGCAAGAUGACAUGAUGUAGAGGGAUAAACUCAUGCAAUAUGAUAUAAACCCCAUCUUUUUAUCCUCGAUGGCAACAAUACAAUACGUGCCUUGCACCCCUUUCUGUCACUGGGUAAGGACACCGCAAGAUUGAACCCAAAGCUAAGCACUUCUCCCAUGGCAAGACAGAUCAAUCUAGUAGGCCAAACCAAACUGAUAAUUCGAAGAGACUUGCAAAGAUAACUCAAUCAUACAUAAAAGAAUUCAGAGGAGAUUCAAAUACUUCUCAUAGAUAAACUUGAUCAUAAACCCACAAUUCAUCGGAUCUCGACAAACACACCGCAAAAAGAGUUUACAUCGAAUAGAUCUCCACAAGAGAGGGGGAGAACAUUGUAUUGAGAUCCAAAAAGAGAGAAGAAGCCAUCUAGCUAAUAACUAUGGACCCGAAGGUCUGUGAUAAACUACUCACAACUCAUCGGAGGGGCUAUGAUGUUGAUGUAGAAGCCCUCCAUGGUCGAUUCCCCCUCCGACGGAGCACCGACGAAGGCUCCAAGAUGGGAUCUCGUGGAUAUAGAAGGUUAUGGUAGUGGAAAUUGUGUUUCGUUCGCUCCAUGGAUGUUUUCGGGGUACGUAGGUAUAUAUAGGAGGAAGAAGUACGUCGGUGGCCGCUCGAGGGGCCCAGGAGACAGGGGCGCGCCCAGGAAGGGUGGGCGCGCCCUCCUAUCUCCUGGCCGCCUCGUUUGCUUCUUGACUUGCACUCCAAGUUCUCCGGAUCACGUUCAUUCCAAAAAAUCAUUCUCCCGAAGGUUUCAUUCUAUUUGGACUCCGUUUGAUAUUCCUUUUCUUCGAAAUACUGAAAUAGGCAAAAAAAACAGCAAUACAGGCUGGGCCUCCGGUUAGUAGGUUAGUCCCAAAAAUGAUAUAAAUGUGUAAAAUAAAGCCCAUAAACAUCCAAAAGGGGUAAUAUAAUGGCAUGGAACAAUCAAAAAUUAUAGAUACGUUGGAGACGUAUCAAGCAUCCCCAAGCUUAAUUCCUGCUCGUCCUCGAGUAGGUAAAUGAUAAAAACAGAAUUUUUGAUGUGGAAUGCUACCUAGCAUAUUUCUCAAUGUAAUUUUCUUUAUUGUGGCAUGAAUGUUCAGAUCCAAAUGAUUCGAGAUAAAAGCUUAUAAAACAUAAAAAUAAUAAUGCUUCGAAGCAUACUAACAAAUAAUCAUGUCCUAUCAAAAUAGCAUAGCCAAAGAAAGCUUAUCCCUACAAAAUCAUAUAGUUAGGCCAUGCUUCAUUUUCAUUACACAAAAUACUCCCAUCAUGCACAACCCUGGUUUCAGCCAAGCAAUUGGUUCAUACUUUUUAACGCGCUUCACCUUUUUCAACUCUUACGCAAUAUAUGAGCGCAAGCCAUGGACAUAGCACUAUGGUGGUAUAUGGUGGUGGUUGUGAGGACAAAAAGGGAGAAGAUAGUCUCACAUCAACUAGGCGUAUUAACGGGCUAUGGAGAUGCCCAUCAAUAGAUAUCAAUGUGAGUGAGUAGGGAUUGCCAUGCAACGGAUGCACUAGAGCUAUGAAUAUAUGAAAGCUUAAUAAAAGAAACUAAGUGGGUCUGCAUCCAACUCGCUUGCUCACGAAGAACUAGGGCAUUUUGAGGAAGCCCAUCAUUGGAAUAUACAAGCCAAGUUCUAUAAUGAAAAAUACCCACUUAGUAUAUGAAAGCGACAACAUAGGAGACUCUCUAUCAUGAAGACCAUGGUGCUACUUUGAAGCACAAGUGUGGAAAAGAGAUAGUAGCAUUGUCCCUUCUCUCUUUUUCUCUCAUUUUAUUAUUUAUUAUUUUUUCUUUUUUUUUCUUUCUUUCUUUUUUUCUUUGGCCUUUCUUUUUUUUCUUUUUGGCCUUUCUCUUUUUUUUAAGUCUGAAGUCUCAUCCCGACUUGUGGGGGAAUCAUAGUCUUCAUCAUCCUUUCCUCACUGGGACAAUGCUCUAAUAAUGAAGAUCAUCACACUUUUAUUGAUUUACAACUCAAGAAUUACAACUCAAAGCUAGAACAAGAUAUGACUCUAUAUGAAUGCCACCGGCAGGGUACCGGGAUAUGCAAUGAAUCAAGAGCGACAUGUAUGAAAAUUAUGAAGGUGGCCUUGCCACAAAUACAAUGUCAACUACAUGAUCAUGCAAAGAGCAAUAUGACAAUGAUGGAAUGUGUCAUAAUAAAUGGAACGGUGGAAAGUUGCAUGGCAAUAUAUCUCGGAAUGGCUAUGGAAAUGCCAUAAUAGGUAGGUAUGGUGGCUGUUUUGAGGUAGGUAAAUAAUGGGUGCAUGAUACCGGCGAAAGUUGCGCGGUAUAAUAGAGGCUAGCAAAGUGGAAGGAUGAGUGUGCGUAUAUCCAUGGACUCACAACUCAUAUUCAUAUUGCAAAAGUCUACUUGCCUCAAAGAGAAGUACUACUACGCAUGCUCCUAGGGGAAGGGUUGGUAGGAGUUAACCAUCACGUGAUCCCGACCUCCGCUCACAAGGAAGGCAAUUAAAAGAGCACCUCAUGCAACAAAUUUGUCACACAACUUUUACCAUACGUGCAUGCUACGGGACUUGCCAACUUCAACACAAGUAUUUCUCAAUUUCAUAAUUACCCACUAGCAUGACUCUAACAUUACUACCUCUAUAUCUCAAAACAAUUAUCAAGUAUCAAAUUGAUCCUAGUGUUUUAUGCACUUUCUAUGAUAGUUUUUAUUAUACCCAACUUCUAUGCCUACCAUUCUAGGACCAAUUUUAUAACCAUAGCAAAUACCAUGCUGUUCUAAAAGACUCUCAAAAUAAUGUAAGUGAAGCAUGAGAGACUAGCAACUUCUUCAAAAUUAAGCCACCGCCGUGCUCUAAAAGAUAUAGUGAAGCACUAGAGCAAAAACUAUCAAGCUCAAAAGAUAUAAGUGAAGCACAUAGAGUAUUCUAGCAAAUUCUAAUCAAGUAGGCUUCUCCCAAAAGGUGUGUAUAGAAAGGAUGAUUGUGUUAAACUAAAAAUCAGAGACUAAUAUAAUACACAAUGCUCAAAGCAAAACACAUAUCAUGUGGCGAAUAAAAAUAUAGCUCCAAGUAAAGUUACCAAUGAACGAAGACAAAAGAGGGGAUGCCUUCCCGGGGCAUCCCCAAGCUUAGGCUUUUGGCUAUCCUUGAAUAUCUUGAGGUGCCUUGGUCAUCCCAAGCUUAGGCUCUUGCCACUCCUUAUUCCAUAGUCCAUCAAAGCUUUACCCAAAACUUGACAACUUCACAACACAAAACUCAACAGGAAAUCUUAUAAGCUCCGUUAGUGAAAGAAAACAAAUCCACCACAUAAGGUACUGUAAUGAACUCAUUAUUUAUUUAUUUUGGUGUUAAACCUACUGUAUUCUAAGUUCUCUAUGGUUUAUAAACUAUUUUACUAGCCAUAGAUGCAUCAAAAUAAGCAAACAACACAUGAAAAACAGAAUCUGUCAAAAACAGAACAGUCUGUAGAAAUCUGUAACUAAUGCAAACUUAUGCAACUUGAAAAAUCCUAUAACAAUAGGACGUCCUGGACAAUUUGUCUAUUGAUCAGAAGCAAAAAGAAUCAAUGCAAAAGCACGUUUCUGUGAUUUAACAAAACUAAAUUCGUGCGUGCAAAGUUUCUGUUUUUCAGCAGAAUCAAAUCAACUAUCAUCAUAGGUUAUCCUAUAGGUUCUACUUGGCACGAACACUAAUUAAAAGAUAAAAACACAUCUAAACAGAACGUAGAUGCAAGAUUUAUUACUAAACAUGAACAAAAACGAAAAACACAAAGAAAAUUGGGUUGCCUCCCAACUAGCGCUAUCGUUUAACGCCUCUAGCUAGGCAUAAAAGCGAAGAUAGAUCUAAGUAGUGUCAUCUUUGGCACUAAAUUCAUAAGUAGCUCACAUGAUAGAUCUAUAAGGUAAUUUGACUUUCUUUCUUGGAAAGUGCUCCAUGCCUUUCUUUAAUGGAAAUUGGAAUCUAAUAUCCCCUUCCUUCAUAUCAAUUAUUGCGCCAAUAGUUCUAAGGAAAGGUCUACCAAGAAUAAUAGGGCAUGAAAGCUUGCAAUCUAUAUCAAGAACGAUAAAAUCUACGGGCACAAAAUUUCUAUUUGCAACAAUGAGAACAUCAUUGAUCCUUCCCAUUGGCUUUUUAAUGGUGGAAUCCGCAAGGUGCAAAUUUAAAGAGCAACCAUCAAGAUGAUGGAAACCUAGAAUAUCACAUAAAGUUUUCGGAAUCGUGGAAACACUAGCACCCAAAUCACACAAAGCAAAACAGUCAUGAUCUUUAAUUCUAAUCUUUAUAGUAGGUUCCCACUCAUCAUUAAGUUUUGUAGGUAUAGAAACUUCCAAAUUAAGUUUUUCAUCAUAAGAUUGCAUCAAGGCAUCAACGAUAUGUUUGGUAAAAGCUUUAUUUUGACUAUAAGCAUGAGGAGAAUUAACAACGAAUUGCAACAAGGAAAUACAACCUUCUAAAGAACAAUUAUCAUAAUCAAAUUCCUUGAAAUCCGAGAUGGUGGGUUCAAUGCUAUUUAAAGUCAUGACCUCUCCAAUCCCACUUUUACCAAAUUUAGCAUCAAGAUCUAAAAACUCCAAAUUUUUGGGAUGCCUUCUAGGCAAAGUUGACUCAUCAUCAGUCCCAUAAUUAUCAAGAUUCAUAUUUCAAAACAAAGAUCUAAUAGGAGACGCAUCAAUAACUUUAAGAUCCUCAUCAUUAUUUUUGUGGAAACUAGAAGAACAUGCCUUUAUAAAGAUAUCUUUCUUAGCACGCAAUCUAGCGGUUCUUUCUUUGCACUCAUCAAUGGAAAUUCUCAUUGCUUUGAGAGACUCAUUGAUAUCAUGCCUAGGAGAAGAAGAUCUAAGUUUAAGAGAAUCAACAUCAAGCGAAAGUCUAUCAACGUUCCUAGCCAAAUCAUCAACUUUGAGCAAUUUUUCUUCAAGCAAGGCAUUAAAAUUCUUUUGAGAAAUCAUAAAUUUUUUCACACUAUUCUCAAAAUCAGAGGGAAUCUUAUUAAAAUUACCAUAAGAAUUAUUGUAGGAAUUUCCAUAAUUAUUAGAGGAAUUACUAGGGAACAGUCUAGCAUUAAAGUUUCCUCUAUAAGCAUUGUUUCCAAAACUAUUCCUACCAACAAAAUUCACAUCCAUAGAUUCAUUAUUAUUCUCAAUCAAAGUAGACAAAGGCAUAUCAUUGGGAUCAAGAGGAGUAUUCUUAGUAGCAAACAAUUUCAUAAGUUCAUCCAUUUUUCCACUCAAAACAUUGAUUUCUUCUAUAGCAUGCACUUUUUUACUAGAAGAUCUUUCGGUGUGCCACUGAGAAUAAUUAGCCAUAAUAUUAUCAAGAAGUUGUGUAGCAUCUCCUAAUGUGAUUUCCAUAAACAUGCCUCCCGCAGGCGAAUCUAAGAGAUUUCUAGAAGCAAAGUUCAAACCGGCAUAAAAUUUUUGUAUGAUCAUCCAUAAAUUCAAACCAUGAGUAGGGCAAUUGUGAAUCAUCAAUUUCAUUCUUUCCCAAGAUUGGGCAACAUGCUCAUGAUCAAGUUGUUUAAAAUUCAUAAUAUCGUUCCUAAGAGUGAUGAUCUUAGUGGGAGGAAAAUACUUAGAGAUAAAAGCAUCUUUGCACUUGUUCCAAGAAUCAAAACUAUUUUUAGGCAAAGACGAAAACCAAACUUUAGCACGAUCUCUAAGUGAAAAUGGAAAUAACUUCAAUUUAACAAUAUUGUUAUCCGUAUCUUUCUUCUUUUUCAUAUCACACAAAUCAAUAAAGUUGUUUAGAUGAGUAGCGGCAUCUUCACUAGGAAGGCCGACGAAUUGAUUUUUCAUAACAAGAUUCAGCAAAGCAGUAUUGAUUUCACAAGACUCAACAUCAUUAAGAUGAGCAAUCGGAGUACUAAGGAAAUCAUUAUUAUUGGUAUUCGAGAAAUCACACAAUUUGGUAUUAUCUUGCACCAUGGCAACAAGUAAUCCAACACACAAGAAAACAGAAAAAGGCAAGCGAAAGAGAGAGAGGAGGAGAUUGGGAAAUAGAGGGCGAAUAAAACGGCAAGGGUGAAGUGGGGGAGAGGAAAAUGAGAGGCAAAUGGCAAAUAAUGUAAAUGUGAGGGAGAUGGGUUUGUGAUGGGUACUUGGUAUGUCUUGACUUGAGCGAAGACCUCCCCGGCAACGGCGCCAGAAAUCCUUCUUGCUACGUCUUGAGCUUGCGUUGGUUUUCCUUGAAUAGGAAAGGGUGAUGCAGCAAUAGUAGCGUAAGUAUUUCCCUCAGUUUUUGAGAAUCAAGGUAUCAAUCCAGUAGGAGGCUCCUCAAAAGUCCCACGCACCUACACAAACAAACAAAGAACUGGCAACCAACGCAAUAAAGGGGUUGUCAAUCCCUUCACAGCCACUUGCAAAAUUGAGAUCUAAUAGAGAUAAUAUGAUAAGAUAAAUAUAUUUUUGGUAUUUUAUAAUAUAGAUGCAAAUAAAAGUAGAUUGGAAGCAAAUAUGAUAAGAGAUAGACCCGAGGGCCAUAGGUUUCACUAGUGGCUUCUCUCAAGAUAGCAUAAGUAUUAUGGUGGGUGAACAAAUUACUGUCGAGCAAUUGAUAGAAAAGCGAAUAAUUAUGAGAUUAUCUAGGCAUGAUCAUGUAUAUAGGCAUCACGUCCGUGACAAGUAGACCGACUCCUGCCUGCAUCUACUACUAUUACUCCACACAUCGACCGACUCCUGCCUGCAUCUAGAGUAUUAAGUUCAUAAGAACAGAGUAACGCCUUAAGCAAGAUGACAUGAUGUAGAGGGAUAAACUCAUGCAAUAUGAUAUAAACCCCAUCUUUUUAUCCUCGAUGGCAACAAUACAAUACGUGCCUUGCAACCCUUUCUGUCACUGGGUAAGGACACCGCAAGAUUGAACCCAAAGCUAAGCACUUCUCCCAUGGCAAGAAAGAUCAAUCUAGUAGGCCAAACCAAACUGAUAAUUCGAAGAGACUUGCAAAGAUAACUCAAUCAUACAUAAAAGAAUUCAGAGGAGAUUCAAAUACUUCUCAUAGAUAAACUUGAUCAUAAACCCACAAUUCAUCGGAUCUCGACAAACACACCACAAAAAGAGUUUACAUCGAAUAGAUCUUCACAAGAGAGGGGGAGAACAUUGUAUUGAGAUUCAAAAAGAGAGAAGAAGCCAUCUAGCUAAUAACUAUGGACCCGAAGGUCUGUGAUAAACUACUCACAACUCAUCGGAGGGGCUAUGAUGUUGAUGUAGAAGCCCUCCGUGGUCGAUUCCCCCUCCGGCGGAGCGCCGACGAAAGCUCCAAGAUGGGAUCUCGCGGAUAUAGAAGGUUAUGGCAGUGGAAAUUGUGUUUCCUUCGCUCCAUGGAUGUUUUCGGGGUAUGUAGGUAUAUAUAGGAGGAAGAAGUAUGUCGGUGGCCGCUCGAGGGGCCCAGGAGACAGGGGCGCGCCCAGGAGGGGUGGGCGCGCCCUCCUAUCUCCUGGCUGCCUCGUUUGCUUCUUGACUUGCACUCCAAGUUCUCCGGAUCACGUCCGUUCCAAAAAUUACGCUCCCAAAGGUUUCAUUUCAUUUGGACUCCAUUUGAUAUUCCUUUUCUUCGAAAUACUGAAAUAGGCAAAAAAAACUGUAAUACGGGCUGGGCCUCUGGUUAGUAGGUUAGUCCCAAAAAUGAUAUAAAUGUGUAAAAUAAAGCCCAUAAACAUCCAAAAGGGGUAAUAUAAUAUCAUGGAACAAUCAAAAAUUAUAGAUACAUUGAAGACGUAUCAAGCUUCACCAAAAGUAAUUUCCAUAAAAGUACCCCCCGCAGCGGAAUCUAAAUGGUUACGAGAAACAAAAUUCAAUCCCGCAUAAAAUUUUUGUAUGCUCAUCCAAAGAUUUAACCCAUGAGUUGGGCAAUUCCUUAGCAUCAAUUUCAUCCUUUCCCAAGAUUGUGCAACAUGCUCAUGUUCAAGUUGCUUGAAAUUCAUGAUCUGGGUUCUGAGGGAAAUAAUUUUAGUGGGCGGAAAAUACUUAGUAAUAAAAGCAUCCUUGCACUUGUUCCAAGAAUCAAUACUAUUGCGAGGCAAAGAAGACAACCAAAUUUUGGCACGAUCUCGCAAAGAAAACAGAAAUAAUUUCAACUUCACAACAUCAUUGUCCACAUCUUUUUUCUUUUGCAUAUCGCAUAAUUCCACAAAUGUGUUAAGAUGGGAUGCGACAUCCUCAUUAGUAGUACCGGCAAAUUGAUCUUUCAUAACAAGAUUCAGGAAAGCAGUAUUAAUAUCACAAAGACUCCACGCUAGUGGCGGGAGGAGCAAUCGGAGUGCUAAUAAAAUCAUUGUUGUUGGUAUUUGAGAAAUCGUACAACUUGGUGUUCUAUUGAGUCAUGAUGACUUCACAACAAGAUUGCACUCAAAAACAAAUCUGACGAGAAAAUGGCGAACGGAAAAGAGGGCGAAUAAAAUAGCCAAUUUUUGUGAAGUGGGCGAGGGGAAAACGAUAGGCAAAUGGCAAAUAAUGUAAAUUGCGAGGAGAUGAGAUUUGUGAUUAGGAACCUGGUUGAUGUUGAAGAUCCUCCCCGGCAACGGUGCCAGAAAUUCCUUUUGAUGUCUGCUGGAACUACGUCGGUAUUUCCCUAGGAAGGGAUGAUGAAGUAUAGCAACGGUAGGUAUUUCCCUUAGUGAUGAGACCAAGGUUAUCGAACCAGUAGAAGAACCUACUCACACCACGUAAACAACACCUGCACACAAAUAACAAAUACUCGCAACCCGACGUGUUAAAGGGGUUGUCAAUCCCUUUCGGGUACGGCGCCUCAAGAUAGGCAAAUAACGUGAGGUAAAUGUGGUAGAUAGGAUAAAUAGAUCGCGGAACAAAUAAAUUGCAGCAAUGUAUUUUUGUAUUUUUGGUUUAAUAGAUCUGAAAAUAAAAGCAAAGGAAAAUAGAUCGCAAAGGCAAAUAUGAUGAGAAGAAACGCGGGGGCGGUAGGUUUCACUAGUGGCUUCUCUCGAGAAAAAUAGCAAACGGUGGGAAAACAAUUACUAUUGGGCAAUUGAUAGAACUUCAAAUAAUCAUGACGAUAUCCAGGCAAUGAUCAUUAUGUAGGCAUCACGUCCAAGAUUAGUAGACCGACUCCUGCCUGCAUCUACUACUAUUACUCCACACAUCGACCGCUAUCCAACAUGCAUCUAGUGUAUUAAGUUCAUGGAGAAACGGAGUAAUGCAAUAAGAACGAUGACAUGAUGUAGACAAGAUCUAUUUAUGUAGAAAUAGACCCCAUCUUGUUAUCCUUAAUAGCAACGAUACAUACGUGUUGUUUCCCUUUCUGUCACUGAGACCAAGCACCGUAAGAUUGAACCCAUCACAAAGCACCUCUUCCCAUUGCAAGAUAAAUAGAUCAAGUUGGCCAAAAAAACCAAAUAUCAGAGAAGAAAUAUGAGGCUAUAAUCAAUCACGCAUAUAAGAGAUCAAAGAAGACUCAAAUAACUUUUAUGGAUAAGAACAUAGAUCUGAUCAUAAACUCAAAGUUCAUCGGAUCCCAACAAACAUAUAGCAAAAAGACUUACAUCAUAUGGAUCUCCAAGAGACCAUUGUAUUGAUAAUCAAGAGAGAGAGAGAGAGGAAGCCAUCUAGCUACUAACUACGGACCCAUAGGUCUACAAAGAACUACUCACACAUCAUCGGAGAGGCACCAAUGGAAGUGGUGAACCCCUUCGUGAUGGUGUCUAGAUUGGAUCUGCUGUUUCUGGACUCUGUGGCGGCUGGAAUUUAUUUUCGUCGACUCUCCUAGGGUUUCUGGAAUAUUGAGGUAUUUAUAGAGCAAAGAGGCGGUUCAAGGGGCACCCGAGGUGGGCACAACCCAGCUGGGCGCACCUGGGCCUCCAGGCGCGCCCUGGUGGGUUGUGCUCCCCUUGGAGCAGCCCCAGGUGCUUUCCUGGCCCAUGUCUCCUGGCCCAAAAAAAUCCUCAAGAAGCUUCGCUGCGUUUGGACUCUGUUUGAUAUUGAUUUCCCGCGAUGUAAAAAACAUGCAGAAAACAGCAACUGGCACUGGGCACUAUAUCAAUAGGUUAGUACCAAAAAAUGAUAUAAAAUGACUAUAAAAUGAUUGUAAAACAUCCAAGAAUGAUAAUAUAGCAGCAUGGAACAAUAAAAAAUUAUAGAUACGUUGGAGACGUAUCACUUCUUUACAUGUCAAUGUGUUCAUAUGUUUGACUUAUCAUCUUUAAUUAUUGUAGGCAUGGCUUCAUCCGGUUCCAUGAUGAGGCCACCAUGUGCUAACUAAGAAGACACGCCGAACAAGUGGGACAACGCAUCUUUGGACAAGGUGAAAGAGAAAGAUGUGAAAAUCCCACCAUGUUGGUGUGGAGAUGUUUGCAAUGUGAAGGUUUCCACCAACCGAAAGAAGUCAUGGACGGAGGGAAGGAGAUAUUUUGUAUGCCCCAACUAUGCCCAUGAUCGUGCGCUUCCAACUAACCCCUAUGAUGUACCGCCGGUAUGUCUUAAAAGUAACAUGUUAUUUUCAAAUUUGUGUGAGCACUAACGAAUUUUGUGUAUGCAGUCACCGCCUCCUCUAUGCAAGUACUUCACAUGGAUAGAUCAUGAAGUGAUAGAAGAUGUCCAAAAGGACCAAUAUCAAUAUUGUCUUAGGCGCCAAUGCAGGUUCAAAGAAUCGUUUUGAAGAGGUUUGGAGGAGGAGCAUCGUCAGAAGGAGAGGUUGGAGCGAAAGAAACAAGAGGAGGAGAGGGCACGCCAAGUGAAGCUUGCUUGUGAGGAGGAGAGGGCAAGAAAGCUUGCAAAGGCUCGUGAGGUGCAAGAGGAGGAUGAGGCACGUGACAAGAAGGGGAAAUGGCAUCAUAUGACUCAGUAGGCCUUCGCUUCGGUGGACUCGUCAUGUAACCGGAUGAAGCCAUGCCACAUUUAUCAUGCACUAUGUACUACUAAGGAAAGAAGCCAUGCCACAUUUGUAGUGAAUUUGUUGUCAGAACUAUCUCGUAGACCCAAGUUUGUCUGGAAUAUCUUUGUUAUUUAUCAGUCAUUUCUGUCAUAAACUGUUUGUGCCCCGUGUGAAAACAACAAAGAACAAAAAACAGAGUGGUUGCUUUGUUUUUCAACCUACCGCCAAAGGCCCUGGCGGUAGGAUGUAGGAGCCUACCACCAGGGGGUCUGGCAUUAGGUUGUGGAUCCCCUCCCAAACUUGUUGUGAUCGAGCUUGCGUUUUUUUGGCGGUAGGGUUGGCUACCCUGCCACCGGGGGGUCUGGCGGUAGGGUGUUGAACCCCCCAAAAACUUGUUGUGGCCGGGUUUGCAUUUUUAUUGGUUGUAGGGUUGGCUACCCUACCGCCAGGGGGUCUAGCGGUAGGGUGCAGACCCCCUCCCAAGCUUGUUGUGGUCGAGCUUGCAUUUUUUGGCGGUAGGGUUGGCUACCCUACCGCCAGAGUGUCUGGUGGUAGGGUGCCACCCCCCCUCGGAUGCUUUUGUGACCGUUCUUGGGGCUUUUUUGGCGGUAGGGUUGGCCACCUUACCGCUAGACCCCUUGGCAGUAGGGUGUGCUACUUCUUGAGCUUGUGUUGGAUUUUCCCUUGAAGAGGAAAGGGUGAUGCGGCAAAGUAGAGUAAGUAUUUCCCUCAGUUUUAGAACCAAGGUAUCAAUCCAGUAGGAGACAACACACAAGUCACUGAAUACCUGCACAAACAAUCAACAAACUUGCACCCAACGUGAUAAAGGGGUUGUCAAUCCCUUCAUGGUUACUUGCAAAAGUGAGAUCUGAUAGAGAUAGAUAAACGGUAAAGUAAAUAUUUUGGGUAUUUUUGGUUUAUAGAUUGGAAAGUAAAAGAUUGCAAAAUAGUACAUAGGAAACUAGUAUGAUGGAAAAGAGAACUUAUAUGAUGGAAAAGAGACCCGUGGGCCAUAGGUUUCACUAGUGGCUUCUCUCAAGAUAGAAAAUAAUACGGUGGGUGAACAAAUUACUACUGAGCAAUUGAUAGAAGAGCGCAUAGUUAUGAUGAUAUCUAAGGCAAUGAUCAUGAACAUAGGCAUCACAUCUAUGUCAAGUAGACCGAAAUGAUUCUAAAUCUACUACUAUUACUCCAGACAUCGACCGACUCCUUCCUGGAUCUAGAGUAUUAAGUUAAUAAAGAACAGAGUAAUGCAUUAAGUAAGAUGACAUGAUGUAGAGGAAUUAACUCAAGCAAUAUGAUGAAAACCCCAUAUUUUUAUCCUCGUGUCAACAAUACAAUACGUGCCUUGCUGCCCCUACUGUCACUGGGAAAGGACACCGCAAGAUUGAACCCAAAGCUAAGCACUUCUCCCAUUGCAAGAAAAACCAAUCUAGUAGGCCAAACUAAACCGAUAAUUCGAAGAGACUUGCAAAGAUAUCAAAUCGUGCAUAUUAGAAUUCAGAGAAGACUUGUUGGGGAUAUGACUAUUGGGUAUGACCCACCCUUGAGGGGCCGGGUUAUACCUACGGCGGUUCAUCAAUACAAAGCCCAUGAGGAUGUCGAAGAUGGCAGUUCAUGAAGCAAGGGCCUAAAGCCCAAGGGCGACUUAGGUCCCAUAGGGGUAAACCGCCAUAUGUGUAUGACUGGCAAGGAUAUUUAGUCACCGAGCCGAACACGUUGUCUAUGAGCCAGGCGGGACUCCGUGAGCCGCUGGGCGUCAGCCUGUGUAUAUAAAGGGACGACCCAGCGACGGUUCAGGGCAAGAAACAAGGGAUCGAAAGCUAGGUCAAGCGUAUUCGCUCCCUAGUAAUCGAGACAUAAGCAAUACCACCUCAAACUAGAUUAGGCCUUUACCUUCACCGCAAGGGGCCAAACCAGUAUAAACUCUCUGUGUCCUUUGUCCCGUUUAACCCCUUUAAGCUCACCUAGUUGUGAUGGCUCCAUGACUAUGUCUUCACACUAGGACAUCUGUCGUGACAACUCCACGAUAGUUGGCACCCACCGUGGGGCCAGCGCAUGAUGGUUUUGAGUUCUUGAAGGGCAGCUUCGAAGGGAUCAAGGGAUACACUAUGGGCCGGAUGACCAAGAGUUGUCGCGGCAAGCUCUACAUCGAUGAUGCAGGAUGGGGCCCUAAGGCCGGCUCAAUUGAGUACGGGUACCGGGUCCCUUUCGGCAGAGUUCACGUCUUCAUUGGAAAGAUCGGCGAGCCGGGCCCUGAGCCGAACAUCUGCACCGACAUCAUCGAGAUGGCUCAGCAUGCCCGACCCGCCCGAGUUCAGCCCGCCAUGAAACGUGCCUUCGUGGGAUUCAUCCAUGGGGCGGAAUUUGAGGAAGGAUCCAUGUCUGGCGAUGAGACGGCCAUCUAUUCUGAUGGAGAGUCGUCCACGGGCGCGACUACUUCAUUGUAUCAACUGCAAGACGGCAGGCCUGGGGGCUGUUCCGAUGGUGACAGUAUUCCGGACCCCUAUGAGUCGCCGAAUAGGGUCGCAAUCUUCAUGGCCAGUACACAGCCUGUGCAGAAUUCUUCGACUGCGGUAGCAAUGGUCUCCGGGUCAACAACGGCGAUGGCAGCUGGGGCAGGAGGCCCUGCGUGCCCGUCGGCUCAGGUUUUGACUGAUUUGCUAGAUAAUCUGACAGCCUUGUUAACAGCAGAAGUUAACCCAGCAAAUCAAGUUCAGCAUAAUGUGGAAGUUGAAAAACUACAUGACGAGAUAGCGCGAGCCAAGGAAGACUUGGCGGUGGAGAAUGCUAGGAUGACUGCAGAGCGAGCUGUUUUGGAUGCUCAGGCACAACGGAUCCGGGCUAAUUCCUUUCAGCUCUCGUUGGAUCAGAAUGCUUCGAACGAAAUCAUGAGAAGAAGGCACCGGAGUCGUCUACCGCCGGUUUAUGAGGCAAGGAACCUCUUCUGCACGCCUGGGGCGGGGACCAGUAACCAACUAGAGAUAAACUGGGUUGAAGCACCUGGGGCUGGAGCGCCGGCUCAACCAUGCACGACGGAGCCGCCUCGUCUGAAUAAUACUCCGCCUCAGUAUGUGCCGACACCACCAGAUCAUUAUUCCAACCCUUUGGAUAAUAUGAUUGUUGCGGCGACAUGACUGGUGGCUCUCCCAGUUCAAGGUGAUUCUCCAGCUGCGGUUGAGAUGUGGAGGGCUAGAGAGCUUCUUCAAACAGCAUUGGUACAGCAGGAGGCAUAUUCUUAUAGUCAAGAGAGGAUUCAUUUGACCCCUCGCCCAAGCUGGAGUUAUAGCAGACACAUGGACUCAUCGGCUGUUUCAAGCAAUGACAGGCGUCGUAACCAGCCGCGUGGGCAUGACCCGGUGCGUGAUGGUGCUCAGGAUUUGGUGGAUCAGGGCAGGACACGUCGACAAGUGGAGCAGGUGGCUCAACAACAUCUUCCGGUUUAUCCGACGACUUCGGUGGAGGCAGGCUUGACCUCUAGAACCACGGGUAUACCAUGUUUAGUGUUGGCUCUGCGGAAUGAGUGUCUGCCCAAGGAUUUCAAAGGACCUCAUAAGGUGCCUAACUACAUAGCCGACUUACCCCCUGAGGCAUGGAUUGAGAGUUACGAGAUGAGCAUGGAACUGUUGGAGGUCAGCGAUGUUGCAUGUGCCAAAUACUUCACCAUGAUGCUAGAUGGGAUAGCCCGUACUUGGUUGAAAGGGCUACCUGCCAAUUCAUUGGGUCAUGGGAUGAGCUAAAAGCCCAGUUUAUCCAGAACUUUAAAGAUACGUGCAAACAGCCCAUGUCGAUUGUGGAUUUGGAUGCUUGCGCCCAAGAAGAGGGCGAGUCAAUGACCCAUUGGGUGCGCCGGGACAAGGCUAUCCUGCACUCAUUCGAUAACAUCAAUGUUGGCUCUGCAGUCCUAAUGUUAGAGAAGAAUUGUCGUUUUGCCUCUUAAACAGAAGCUAGGGCGGCUCAAGCGCCAUUGCAAUGAUAUGUGGGAGCUGAUGGUGGCUCUAAUUAAACAUGUCGACUCUGAUAGUACCAAGGACCCCUAGUCUGAUGAUGAAAAGCUGGGAAAGGGAAAGAAGAGUGGUAACACCAAGGGUCAGUAGCAUAACCCGGCGAGUCAAGGGGGCAAUGGUAAGCGCAAGGCUGAUAGUAAUUCAGAUUUUGUAGCCAAUACCAAUACAUAGAACAAUGGUCAGUGUCGUAAGGGGAAGCCACCUCCUCGGGCAGGCGGAUCAGGUCUCAAUCUUGAGCAGAUGCUGAAUCAGCCCUGCCAAAAGCAUGGUACAUGGGAAAGACCAUCCAAUCAUCUUUGGAAGGACUGUCAAAUUAUGAAGGAGUUCAAAAAUUCUAAUUUGUUCCAGAACAAUCAUGGGCCGGGCGGCGACUCAGGUUCUGGUGGUGGCGGUUCUCAUGGCCCGGGUUACGGUGGUGGCGGCUCCAGUUCCGGUUUUCAGGGUCACCAAAACCAUCAAGGUAAUCAGGGUGGCUACAAUCUACAAUCCGGUCAGGGGGGGUCAGCAGCAGCAGUCUAGAUAUCAAAGUAGUCCGAAGUAGUUGAAUAGCGGGCAGUACCACGUCUUCACCAUAAGUUUAUGCAAGCGGGACCAGAAGCUCCAUAAAAGGGUUGUGAACGCCGUUGAGCCGGCAGUUCCCCAUUACUUGUGAUGGUCCGAGCAACCCAUUAUGUGGAGUCAAGAGGAUCACCCGCCCCGGGUUGAUAAUUCGUGUCGCUUGGCUUUGGUGGUGGCGCCUCAAGUUGGUGGAUACAAAUUCACUAAGGUACUCAUGGAUGGGGGUAGCAGCAUUAAUAUCCUUUACUAUGAUAUUUUCCGUCGCAUGGGGUUGACUGACAAAAGUCUUAAACCGUCCAAUACUAUUUUCCAUGCGGUAGUGCCUGGUAAGUCGGCAUAUCCUGUAGGAAAGAUUGAUCUGGAAGUAGCCUUUGGGGAUGAACAAGAUUCCAUGGCUGAGAGACUAACCUUUGAAGUGGUCGAGAUUAAUUAGAAGCCCGUAUCACGCUCUGUUUGGACGGCCGGCUUAUGCCAAGUUCAUGGCACGACCUUGUUAUGUCUAUCUGCAGCUCAAGAUGUCGGGUUACAAGGGGACCAUUACAGUGCAUGGAAGUCGGAAAAUAGAUUUGGAGUGUGAAGAAGGUGAUGUUGCUUAUGCUGAAUCUGUCUGUGCAAUAGAGGAAUUGAAGUUCUACAAAGACAAUGUUGAUCCGGCGGAUAUGACAUCCUUGAAAAAGCCAACCAUAGAGCAUGAUUCGGUAUUGAAGUUUAAGUCGGCCGAUGACACUAAGCUAGUUGACUUUGUUCCUGGUGAUUCAUCCAGGCAGUUCAGUAUUAGUGCUAACCUGGAUCCAAAAUAGGAAAGCGCGCUCAUCGAGUUCAUCCAUGAGAACCGAGACAUCUUUGCAUGGAAACCUUAUGAUAUGCCAGGUGUACCGAGGGAACUCGCUGAGCACACUCUUAAUAUUGAUCCAAAGUUUAAGCCAGUCAAGCAAUUCCUUCGUCGCUUCAAUGAGGAGAGGCGUAAGGCCAUUGGUGAAGAAGUGGCCCGGCUCUUUGCGGCUGGGUUCAUUAUUGAAGUCUUUCAACCUGAGUGGUUGGCUAAUUCGGUGCUGGUACUUAAGAAGAAUGGCACUUGGUGUAAGUGUGUGAACUACACGAACUUAAACAAAGCUUGCCCGGCUGAUCUUUUUGCUCUCCCUCGUAUUGAUCAAAUCAUUGAUGCUACGGCGGGUUGUGAGCAUUUGAGUUUUUUGGAUGCUUAUUCUGGUUAUCAUCAUAUCAAGAUGACAGUUAAAGACCAGGAGAUGAUAGCUUUUAUUACUCCCUUUCGAACCUUCUGCUAUGUGUCUAUGCCUUUUGGGCUCAAGAGUGCCCAGGCAACUUACCAGCGAUGUGUGCAGAAUUGCCUUCACAGUUAGAUUGGGCGCAAUGUUCAUGCUUAUGUGGAUGAUAUUAUGGUGAAAUCCAUAGAGAAGGAAACUUUGAUAGAUGAUUUGAAGGAGACCUUCAACAAUCUCCGGGUCUACAAGAUGAUGCUUAACCCGGCCAAGUGCAUUUUUUGUGUGCCAGCAGGCAAGCUCUUGGGUUUUCUGGUUUCUAACAGAGGCAUUGAACCUAACCCAGAGAAGAUCAAGGCCAUUACCUCCUUGGCAAAGCCGGCGUGUAUCAAUGGUGUUCAAUGUCUGGCAGGUCGUAUUGAUGCCUUAAGCCAGUUGGGUGAGAAGGCUAUACUAGUGUACCAGAUGAUGAAGAAAACAUAUCACUUUUGUCUGGAAUGAUGUUGCUAAGGACGCGUUUGAAGCUUUGAAGAAACAGCUAGCUGAGCCGCCAGUCCUUGCUUCUCCUAUUGAUAAGGAGCCGUUGUUAUUACAUGUGGCUGCUAAUGCCCGGGCUGUUACUGUAGCUAUUGUGGUGGAACAGAAGGAAGUAGGCAAGGAAUAUCCGGUUCAACGGCCGGUUUACUAUAUAAGUGAAGUGCUUAUUGAGUCCAAGCAGAGGUAUCCGCACUGGCAGAAGCUCGUAUAUGGGGUGUUCAUGGCCAGUCGGAAGCUUAAGCAAUAUUUUUUGGGUCAUCCCAUCACUGUGUUUAGUUCUGCUCCCUUAGGGGAUAUUUUUCAAAACAGAGAAGCCACAGGUCGGGUAGCCAAGUGGGCCAUUGAGCUUGGACCUCAUGGUUUGAAGUAUAAGCCUCGCAUGGCCAUCAAGUAUCAAACACUUGUGGAUUUCAUCAAUGAUUAUACAGAGCUACAGAUGCCUGAAGAGAAGCCAGAUAACACAUAUUGGACUAUUCACUUUGAUGAGUCCAGGCAAUUGGAGGGCUCGGGGGCUGGAGUUGUCUUAGCUUCCCCUCGAGGUGACAAGUUUUGUUAUGUUUUAAGGUUGAUGUUUCCUUGUGCUAACAAUGCAGCUGAGUAUGAAGCCUUGCUCCAUGGUCUUCGGAUGGCUAAGGAGAUGAAUUUAAGCUGGGUGAGAUGUUUCGGCGACUGAGACUUGGUGGCUCAGCAAGUUUCAGGCAAAUGGGAUUCUAAGGAUCCACUCAUGGCAGCUUAUCACCGCGAGGUUGACGCUAUUGCUGGGCACUUCAAGGGUUAUCAAGUGGAACACAUUGAUUGCAGGAAAAAUGAGGCGGUUGAUGCCUUAAGCCGGUUAGGGUCCUAGCGUAAGCCGGUGCCACCUAACACUUUCUUGGAUAUUCUGCAUAACCCUUCUGUCAAAUUGUCUACAGAGGAAGAUUUGGCUAUUCCUGACCCGGAAGCACAAUUGGUCGCGGCUCUUCACGCUAUUCCUGAUUGGACAGUUCCAUAUUUGGCUUAUAUGACCUAGGGCGAGUUACUUGAGGAUGAAACUUUGGCCAGACAUAUAACUCGGCGGUCUAAGUCAAUGACAAUUAUUAACGGAGAGCUGCACCAUUGCAGUGUUACUGGGGCGUUUCAACAUUGUGUCUCUCCUGAAGAGGGCCAUGAAAUUCUUCGUGAGAUUCAUGAGGGAGAUUGCGGUCAUCAUGCUGUUCAAAGUCUCUUGUGGCUAAAGCCUUCCGUCAUGGGUUUUACUGGCUGACGGCUCACGCUAAUGCAGAGGAUUUGGUCAGUAAAUGUGAUGGUUGUCAAAAAAAUUCACGACGAGCUCACGUGUCGGCUCAAGAAUUGAGGAUGAUUCCAAUUACUUGGUUGUUUGCAGUUUGGGGGCUUGAUAUGGUUAGGCCUUUUAAAAGGUCCAAGAAUAAAAAGACCCACCUUUUGGUGGCGGUUGACAAAUUCACAAAGUGGGUCGAAGCAGAACCGGUCAGUAAGUGUGACAUGGCAACAACGGUUCAAUUCAUCAAGAAGGUGAUUGUUCGCUUUGGUUUUCUCCACAACAUUAUAACUGAUAAUGGCACUAACCUGUCCAAAGGUGCUAUGAAAGAGUUUUGUUAAUGUGAGCAUAUUCGACUUGAUGUGUCAUCAGUAGCUCACCCCAAUCCAAUGGUCAAGCUGAAAGAGCCAAUCAAGAAAUUUUGAGAGGCAUCAAGCCCCGGCUUAUGGUUCCUAUGCAGAGGACGCCAGGUUGUUGGGUGGAGGAGUUACCUUCAGUGCUAUGGAGUAUCAAUACUACCCCCAACAGAUCUACGGGUUACACGCCUUUCUUCAUGGUUUACGAAGUAGAGGCGGUUCUCCCUAGUGACAUCUGUCACGACUCGCCCCGCGUGGCGGCUUAUGUUGAAGCUAAUAAUGAAAAAGCACGUCGGGAUGCACUUGACUUGUUAGAUGAGGAGCGUGACCUUGCGGCGGCUCGCUCGGAAAUUUACCAACAAGAUCUACGCCGUUAUCACAGCCGUCGGGUUAAGACCAGAACCUUUCAAGAAGGUGACUUGGUGCUCCAGCUUAUCCAGGAUCAAACUGAUAUGCACAAGCUAUCCCCACCUUGGGAAGGACCCUUUGUGGUCAGCAAGAAUUUGAACAAUGUGUCAUACUACCUUAUCGAUAUUCAAGACCACAAGGAUUCACGUAAGUUGGAGGAGGAGACCCGCCGGCCAUGGAAUAUUGCUCAUCUUCGGCCUUACUACACUUGGGCCACCGACUCUUAUGAUGUACAUAUUUUGACAAUGUAUAUAUUAUGAUGAUUAUAAUAAAGUCGGCAUCCCUGAUAAAGCAGGGCCUAUGUCAUUUCAUCUCCAAGAAUAAUGAGUCUUUUUCAUCACAAAAAGGUUGUUUGGGGGCUUCCUGUUCAAACAUAGGUGUAUUCACCAAAGAGAACAUAGCUGUGAAUAUCCCUCUUGAUUGGUGCAAUGCCAUAAUUUCAAAGGUCACUUGGGGGCUUCCUGUUCAAACAUAGGUGUAUUCACCAAAGAGAACAAAGCUGUGAAUAUCCCUCGUGGUCGGCUCAAUGCCACAAGUCACUUGGGGGCUUCCUGCUCAUUGAGCAUAGCUGUGAAUAUCCCUCUUGAUCGGCUCAAUGCCACAAGCACUUGGGGGCUUCCUGUUCAAACAUACGUGUAUUCACCAAAGAGAACAUAGCGUUACUACCCUUUUAAGCUGGUUUGGAACACCAGGUGUAUUCACCAAAACCUUCCGAGUUCUCCUGCUUUGUAGAAACUGCCACUCCGCCCGGGUAAUCCUAGAAUGACAAGCCGUACUCUUGACAGUCAAUCUUACAUAUACCUUGAACUUGUCAAGGUUAAAACAGCGGUCAUGUGAGGCCGGUUUCACAAAGUGUAAAAGGUUAACUCAGUGCCUUGGCAGCCCAUGAAAGCCUCGGAGCUUUAGGCUUGGCGGCCUACGAAAGCCUCGUUUUCUUGCUUCGGUUGGUUUUUUGAACAUUUUUUGGAUUCAUCUUGGUACCAUAUUGACAUAUGGUUUAAAGUGAUUCAGGCCAUGUAGCCUCAAUUCUGACGGCUCAUAUUUGAGUGUAUCUGUGGUUUCUGAUAAUCUGACUUGGCUUCGGACGAUAUAUCGCCAGCAUAUGAUGAUAUUAAAUACUUAGAAGUUUUGUCUUCUAAGUUUUGGGUUAUCACCCUUACUGCAUGGAUUUCAUAAGUUGGAACUACGAUUCAAUAUCACACGUAUGAUAUUUUUUUGUUAUGAUUAUAUCUAAUUAUGAUUAAACCGGCCCUGCCUAUAAACUGUUUUAAUCAUCAGUGGUUUUAUAUGGGAUAUUAUGACCUGCCCUGCGGUAAACCGCUAGGGCUCUUGUGAUCUACUUCUGUGCAGGAUAGUACUAAAUCUCAUCUGCAUAAAUCAAUGUCAUCAUAAGUAUAAGAUGGUAGUUUUCAAGUGGCGAAUCAAACAGUGUUGGGCAAAACACAAACAUGCACGAUGGCAUGACAAAGCAAAGUUUCGCUAGCCUAUUACAUGACUCAGUGAGCCAAAAAGAUCAAGUGUUUUCAAAUGAUCACAUAUUUUAACCCGCCUGGCAGAUUACUCUUCUUGGCCUGGACGACUUCAGGCUUUUGGAUCAGCCUUCUCCGGUUCUUUGUCCUCCUCCGCUGUCUGGAAAUUUGGUGAUGACCAAUCGAUGCCACACAAGGCUUGGAAUCCAGCUUCAUCCUCUAUAAGUUCGGAUGGUUCAACUUCAGGAGCGAAAUUAUGCUUACGGAUUGGUGGAAUUAGAUCCAUCACUUUAUAAGCCGGCGUGGGCAUCUUCUGAUUCUCCAUGUCAUAAGCCGAUUGGUAUCUUGAAAGAUCCGUUUCACUUGCAAUCAGGCUGGCCAGGGGACAUAUCUCCUUCAUGCAGGCAGCGAAGUCUUUCUUCUCAAAGGGAGUGUCAUCUUCUUUUAAGCUUAGAUACCUAGUAGCUAUAUCAGCCGGGUCUAGCUUUGCUAGCCAUGCCUUGGCCCGGCUUAAAGCUAUCACAACACCGGCUCUUGCAGAUGAUCGCUUCAUCUCGUUAAUCCUAGCAGGCAGAACAGAAAGCUUUUUCAAGACAUCACUCAAGAGAGUAGGUGUUUGAUUAGUUGGAGAAAUUGUGGCCAGUGCGCGCUGAGUUCCAGUAUAUAGGUGUUCAACAAGUGUAUAAACAACCUUGAGCUUCACAAGCAUCUCUUGACUAAGAUUGUUGCUCCUGGGACCUGAAUAAUAAUCAUGGAUUGGUUAGAGGCGGUUUAUACCAUCAAGGAAGAGAUUCAAAUUUGAUACUAGCAAGGCGACUCACCAAAGACAGUAGAAACCAUCUGGGAUACAUGGUGUUUUAAACCGGUAAGCUCAGUGGUCACCUCCUGAGGAGCUGCCUCCACCUUUUCAGCCCGCUGUGUCAAGGCAGUUUCUCUUCAGCCCAGGCGGUUCUUUUAGCCUCAAAACUAGUCUUCAGUUUUUCCGUUUCAGCCAAGCUAAAUUGGAAUUUUGAGUCCGCUUUCCGGGUCUCACAUUCUUGGUGCUCCAGUCGGGUUUUUAGGUCAGUCAAUUGCGAUUGAAGUUGAGCAGUGGUGUCAUGUACAUACACCGGUUCAAAAUCAUGUUCAUAUUUGUGUUACAGAAAAUGAAGUCCCAAGCCUUUUGCAAGCAACAACACUUGGCACUUGGGGGCUAAUGCCUACCGAAAAGAUUAUUCAUACAUCAGCUUAUGUGAAUAAGUCACAAGCACUUUGCAAGCAAGAGUACUUGGCACUUGGGGGCUAAUGCAUAUUGCUUGUGUCUUCUUACUACUUUAUGAUGACCCGUUCGUGCCGCAAACAAUCACAGCCGGCUCAUGGGGGCUACACAAGUAAGCUUUGAUUUAUAAACAAUGAUGAAGAGGACCGGCUCAUUCAUGUUAAUUAAAUCGGCCCUUGGGGGCUACGGAUGCAGUGUUAAUCAUUAAAGAUAUGCUUUAACUCGGAUAGGUAAGCUGGAUUUUGAAAAGUUUCUAUCAAGGGCACUAUUUAUACUCAUGGUUAUUCUAAGUCUACAGCAUAUUCAAUCCUAUCAUACACAAUAGACUUGGGGGCUAACAGGAUAUGCAUAACUCAGUAAAGAAGGAGUUCAUACCUCAUAUUUUUGAUGCAUCUGCUUCACCAUAUCAACUUCAAGGUCUCGGCUGGUGUGCACUUGAUUGAGAUAACCAGAGAAUACUUCACUAACGCUCAGUUGAGAAUAGUUGGCAAUGUCAAAUCUCACUUUUCGUUUCUCAAUAUGCUCUUCUUUGGCGGAGUGUUUGGCCAAGACAGUAGGUCUUCCCGACUCUCUAAAGCCGGUGCUAGUGAUCAUCACAUCAUCGGUAUAUGUCUCAGCCGGUUUAAUUGGGCUUGAUGAUUCAGUAUUCAAAGGAUUGUUGUUUGUCUGGUCAACGGAAGGGUCAGGAAUUUCUGGUGGAACAUCAUGAAUAGGUUCUUCUGAUUGUGGCGCGGAGGUGUCGGACGCUGGAACUGGUUGUUCCGGCUCAGGAGCUUUGGGAUCUUCAGCCGGCUCGAUCACCUUUGCCUUCUUGCUAGGCUUGGCCUUUCCACUACAUGGGUCAUGUGAGGUGAGUGCAAAUCUAAAGGAGCAUAACAAAGCAAAUAAUAAGUAAUUGUUAUUACCCAAGAGUAGUUUUGAAAGACAGCAGUUGGGACUGUGAUGAGUCACCAGAAGAGGAGCGAGAAGUCUCCUGAUAAUUUGAGUUAGAAGAAUUAAGUGGUUGGCGAAGGAGACUCGCCAAAGGAUGAAAAGAGUUUAAAUUUGGGAUGACCUCAUUUCGACGCUUCCUUGGAGCUGGAGUAUUUGGUAAACCGGAAGAUAAUUCUUCACCUCCGUUGGUCUGAGUCUGUCGUUGGCUCUCGUGCUGCUGUUGCUUCAAAAUAAAGUGAGGAUCCAGAUAAGCUAAGGGGUGUGAAAAGCUUACUUUCCGGGUUACUCUUCGAAUUUUUUGUCUUGGCAAAGACUCGAAGUCAGAGGAAAUGAUAGUUACCUCUUCCUUAUGAUCACUUGACUGGCCCCCGUGUCAUCCUGAUGAUAAUCACUGUCAAUAAGAUAGUUGAAAAAGGAGCCAAGGGAAUCAAGAGCUACCUCCGACUUAGAGCCGUCAUCCAGUUCAAACAGCUUGGAAGUACUUGAUUUCUUCUUAUUCUUCUUGGCGGCUUUCUUGGCAACCCUGGCCUUUUUGGCAGCUUCAUGGUUAUAUUUCUUUUUCCAAAAAUCAGAGUCAGCCUGUGAAAGUCAUCAAAGUUGAGUUAAUAGAAUAUUUGAAUGAUGAAGGUAAAAGUAAGUAAUUUAAAGACUCACAUCUGGUGGCGGGUUAAGUUUGCAGAAAGGGUUCAGACCCACUUUGCUGCAGUCUUCCGGAUCUUCAUUCAGAAGGGUCUUUGUCAUUUCAUUGAUCGUCUCAGCAUUUAAAUGCACGGAGCUAUGGCAUAGUGGGUCCUUUAUACCACCCGUGUAAGUACACAUUAAGCCGGAUCAGCGACUCAAGGAUAUGAUUCGCCAAGAAACCCAGCACCGAACCAAGUCAAUGCCAGUUAAACCAUUUCCCAGCAGAGCUUUGACCUUUGCAAUGGUGGGGGCAAGUUUUGCACGUUCAGUAGGGGUAACCUUAUCAGGAAGACAAUGUUUGGGGUCAAGAUGCUGGGCACAAUAGCCUGACAGUGGAUUCUUGUCAGUCGGAGAGGUAUCUUUGCAAUAAAACCAUGUUUGGUUCCAAUCUUUAGGGUGACUCGGCAAGCAAGCAUAGGGGAAGAUAGCAUCUCUUCUUCGUUGAAUUGAGAUUCUGCCAAGUUCCAAGCUAGGUCCGUUCGUAAACUCGUUUUGGCGGUUCAAAUAAAAAUAUUCCCUAAACAGUUCAACACUGGGCUCCUCUUGAAGGUAUACUUCACAGAAAACUUGAAAGUUGUAGAUGUUUGACACGGAAUUGGGUCUGAUGUCUUGAGGAUGAAGCUGAAAGAAGUGCAGAACAUCUCAGAAAAAUUUAGAACCGGGCGGUGAGAAGCCCCGAUUCAUGUGAUCAGUAAAAACAAUGACCUCAUCAUCCUUGGCCGAGGUCUCUCUUCUUCUGGAUUGGGGGCUCAAUAAUGCAUGACAUUUUUUGCUGGUAAAUAGCCAGUUUUGACAAAGUCUUUGAGUGUGUUCUCAGUGACAAUGGAGGGAACCCAAUUACAUGAAGUGACUGUCUUCAAUGGCAUUGUGAAGAAAGAAGCCUAAAAGAAAGAACAAUUUUGCCGGUUUAAGUUGAUUCAUUAAACCGGAAGUAAAACGCUAUAGUAUAUAUUCAAAGUGGCGGCUUAAAAGGGGCGUAAUGAUAUAUGGCUAGUGAUAACCGGUGAUGUAAGCCGCCAUGACCAGAUUGAUAUUUAUCAAGAGUGAAAUCUGCUAAGUGUUGAAUAGACAGGUUUUACAGACUGGAGCAGGUGAUUUGGAUCUAGCAUUGUGUGAAAAAGAAAAUAAAUCAAAACCUAAAUAUUGCAGUAACAGAGGAACUAGCACAUGGGCGAGAUUUCUGCAUCUAUAAGGUAUGUUCAGUGCUUAAGAUGAAGGAUAGAAAAAGGUUCUGCAUCUUUUAAAGGUCAUUUUUCGAUCAAAGUAAGUAUUAACAGAAGCAUGACAAAGAACGAUGAUGAACUCGUAAGAACUGUAGAAACCCAAAUGGAAAUCUAUGGUGGAGAAGGUGAGAUGCUUACUGGAUCUGAUGAGCAAUGAAGAGGCACCGCAGUUUCUCUGGUCCCAUUCAGGUCGAUGCUGCGGCCGAUGUCGAGGAAGACGAUGAGCUUUGCAGCGGCGGUAGUGCUCAGGCAUGCAGAUGCACCACGGAGAGAGGUGGAAGACGAGAAGGAAAAGAGGGGAAAAUGAAAGAAGGGCUACUUGACCCUAUUUAUAAGGAGAAGGGUAACCGGUGGGCGCGAAAAAUGAGGAGGCCAAAGAAUGAUUAUCCGGCCGCUCGGAUGCCUCUAUUUUCGGGAUGGUUAUUAAAGAUAAGGAUCUGUAAGAUAUAUAGGGUAUUGUGUAAUAUUAAUGACAGGUGACGUCAUGGCAGGUUUCCACAAUCACAAGAGAUAACAUCAUGGCGGGUUAUGAGAUCUCGCAUGAAUAAAGAAGGAAGGAUUUUUCUAAGUGUUGAAGAUUGACAUGAACGAGUUCAAAUCAAUCUGGGGCCUAAUGUUGGGGAUAUGACUAUUGGGUAUGACCCGCCCAGGAGGGGCCGGGUUAUACCUACGGCGGUUCAUCAAUACAAAGCCCAUGAGGAUGUCGAAGAUGGCGGUUCAUGAAGCAAGGGCCUAAAGCCCAAGGGCGACUUAGGGCCCAUAGGGGUAAACCGCCAUAUGUGUAUGAGUUAUAUUGUAAGGCAAGUAUAUUUAGUCACCGAGCCGGACACAUUGUCUAUGAGCCGGCCGGGACUCCAUGAGCUGUUGGGCGUCAACCUGUGUAUAUAAAGGGACGACCCGACGGCGGUUCAGGGCAAGAAACAAGAGAUCAAAAGCUAGGUCAAGCGUAUUCGCUCCCUCGUAAUCGAGACAUAAGCAAUACCACCUCAAACUAGAUUAGGCCUUUACCUUCACCGCAAGGGGCCGAACAAGUAUAAACUCUCUGUGUCCUUUGUCCCGUUUAACCCCUUUAAGCUAACCUAGUUGCGAUGGCUCCACGACUAAGUCCUCACACUAGGACAUCUGCAGUGACAAUUCCACUACAAGACUCAAAUAAUAUUCAUAGAUAAUCUGAUCAUAAAUCCACAAUUCAUCGGAUCUCGGCAAACACACCGCAAAAGAGUAUUACAUCGAAUAGAUCUCCAAGAACAUCAAGGAGAACAUGGUAUUGAGAAUCAAAGAGAGAGAAGAAGCCAUCUAGCUACUAGCUAUGGACCCGUAGGUCUGUGGUAAACUACUCACGCUUCAUCAGAAGGGUAAUGGUGUUGAUGUAGAAUCCAUCCGUGAUCGAAUCCCCCUCCGGCAGGAUGCCGGAAAAGGCCCCUAGAUGGGAUCUCAUGUGUACAAAAGGUUGCGGUGGUGGAGAAGUAUUUUUGUGGCUCCCUUGAUGUUUUUGGGGUAUAAGAGUAUAUAUAGGCGAAAGAAUUAGGUCAGGAGAGCUCCAAGGGGCCCAUGAGGUAGGGGCGUGCCCUACCCCCCUGGGCACGCCCUCCACCCUCAUGGCCGCCUCUUUGAGUCUCCGACUUCAUCUCCAAGUCUCCUGGUUUGCUUCUGGUCCAAGAAAGAUCAUCGCGAAAGUUUCAUUCCAUUUGGACUCUGUUUGGUAUUCCUUUUCUGCGAAACUCUAAAACAGGCAAAAAACAGAAACUGACACUCGGCUCUAGGUUAAUAGGUUAGUCCCAAAAAUAAUAUAAAAUAUCAUAUUAAUGCAUAUAAAACAUCCAAAACAGAUAAUAUAAUAGCAUGGAACAAUAAAAAAUUAUAGAUACGUUGGAGACGUAUCAGGGUGCCAACCCCUCAAAAUAGACUUGUUUCACCCCUUUCUUACAAACUUCUAUGAACUAAAGACAUCCAAAAGACAUCCAGAUAUGAUCAAGGCACAUAAGACAUGCAGAAAUGAUCAAGUAGCAAGGACAUACAUAACUCACAAUAGUUCAUUACAUCCACAAAUGACACUUGUUCAAAUGACUUAAAGAAUCUACUGAUUCAAAUGACAUGAGUUCAAACUACAAGCUCAAGCUCGAGCAAUACAUUUUCUACACCGGAAAAUUUUCUCUAAAAUGUAUAAGAUGUUCAAUUUGUUUAGCACGCUCACAAUUAGGCUUCAAUUGAUAACCUGAGGAUCCCGCCCAAUUCUUCAACACACCUUUUGUUUCACGGAACCAUCCACAUCGAGCACGGCGUUCCGGAAUCUCUGACAUGCCUUGUGUGAUUGCCCAUCCAAUGACAUGUCCGGGUUUUGUCAAGUCCAGCUCCAGUAAUUCUUCUUUGCUGACAGAAAACCCAAUCUCCAUUGCCAAAGCGUGUUUGCAAGCAUAUUACAUCUCAUGGAGCUCAUUAAGUAUCUUCUGUUUUUCUUUCACAAGCCUCCAGAAAACUUUUCUCUCCUUAAGAUCACAAGGUUCCUCCAUAAAAGGAUACUUGUUGAAAUCCAUCAUGGUCGCAUUUGCCUCAUCACAACUCUUGAACCAUGCUUCAAGCUCCCUCUUCAUACCACGUUGUCGCUUCACUACAACCUUCUCACAUGCUACCGCCAGACUCAUAGCUGCAAUGUCCAUGCUACAUGAAUAUAUGGGUUUAAGAUGACAAUCAACAAAAUAAAUCAAAUAGAGCACAACACUUCGUUACAAUUAAGCUGAUCUUGAUCUUAAUUAUUUUCUUAAGCCUAACCCUAACCCCAAAGAUGACCACUAAUCAUAGCACUAGAUCUAGAUACAGAAACAAUUCUACAAACAAUUCUACGCACAUAAUACAUAAAGAAAUAACAAACAUCGCCCUAAAUGCAUCAUACUAAUUGAUUUGACCACACCAAAAUGAUGAACUAGGAUUUGCAAUAAAAUGAGCUAAAGCACACAAAACCAAGAUUUCAACCAAUCAAAAUGAGGGGAAGUGAGAGAGGUACCUUGGGUGAUGAAAGUGCUACGAAUCCACUGGCCAAAUGUCAACCAAAUGAGAGAGAUUUGAGAGGAUCUUGUGGUAGAAAAAGAGAGGGGAGGGGGCUUGAGCUCGGGGAAGAGGUGAGGUGUGAGGUGUGGGGGCUGAAAGAAUGAGUGUGGGGGACCUCCCUCCCAACCUUAUCCAUCCCAGGACCCUACCGCCAUGGUCCUUGGCGGUAGGUGAUACGUCUCCAACGUAUCUAUAAUUUUUUAUUGUUCCAUGUUUUUAUAUUAUCAUUCUUGGAUGUUUUACAAUCAUUUUAUGCCCAUUUUAUAUCAUUUUUUGGUACUAACCUAUUGACAUAGUGCCCAAUGCCAGUUGUUCUUUUCUGCAUGUUUUUUACAUCGCAGGAAAUCAGUAUAAAACGGAGUACAAACGCAACGUAACUCCUGGAGGAUUUUUUUGGGCCAGAAGAAAGCCAGUGGGCCAAGGAAGCACCUGCGGGGCUCCUCAAGGGGAGCAGCACCCACCAGGGCAUGCCCUAGUGGGUGCUGCCCACCUCGGGUGCCCCUUGAACUGCCUCUUUGCUCUAUAAAUACCCAAAUACUUCAGAAACCCUAGGGGAGUCAAUGAAAAUCAAUUCUAGUCGUCGCAGAGUCCAGAACCACCAGAUCCAAUCUAGACACGGUCAUGAAGGGGUUCAACACUUCCAUUGGUGCCUCUCCUAUGAUGUGUGAGUAGUUCUUUGUAGACCUACGGGUCCGUAGUUAGUAGCUGGUUUCCUCUCUCUCUCUCUCUCUCUCUCUCUCUCUCUUGAUUAUCAAUACAAUGGUCUCUUGGAGAUCCAUAUGAUGUAAGUCUUUUGCGGUGUGUUUGUUUGGAUCCGAUGAACUUUGAGUUUAUGAUCAGAUCUAUGUUUUUAUCCAUGGAAGUUAUUUGAGUCUUCUUGAUCUCUUAUAUGCAUGAUUGCUUAUAGCCUCGUAUUUCUUCUCCGAUAUUUGGGUUUUGUUUGGCCAACUUGAUCUAUUAUCUUGCAAUGGUAAGAGGUGCUUUGUAGUGGGCUCGAUCUUACGGUGCUUGAUCCCAGUGACAGAAGGGGAACCGACACGUAUGUAUCGUUGCACUAAGGAUAACAAGAUGAGAUCUAUAUCUCCGUAAUAGAUAAACGGAUCUCGUCUACAUCAUGUCAUCGUUCUUAUGCAUUACUCUGUUUUAUCAUGAACUUAAUACACUAGAUGCAUGCUGGAUAGCGGUCGAUGUGUGGAGCAAUAGUAGUAGAUGCAGGCAGGAGUCGGUCUACUAAUCUUGGACGUGAUGCCUAUAUAAUGAUCAUUGCCUGGAUAUCGUCAUGAUUAUUUGAAGUUCUAUCAAUUGCCCAACAAUAAUUGUUUUCCCACCGUUUGUUAUUUUUCUCGACAGAAGCCACUAUUGAAACCUACGGCCCCCGGGUCUCUUUUCAUCAUAUUUGCCUUUGCGAUCUAUUUUCCCUUGCAUUUCUUUUCAGAUCUAUUAAACCAAAAAUACAAAAUACCUUGCUGCAAUUUGUUUGUUCAGCAAUCUAUUUAUCCUAUCUACCACUUUUACCUCACGUUUUUUGCCUAUCUUGAGGCGUCGUACCCGAAAGGGAUUGACAACCCCUUUAACACGUCGUGUUGCUAGUAUUUGUUAUUUGUGUGCAGGUGUUGUUUACGUGGUGUGAGGAGGUUCUCCUACUGGUUCGAUAACCUUGGUCUCAUCACUUAGGGAAAUAUCUACCAUCGCUAUACUGCAUCAUCCCUUCCUCUUUAGGGAAAUACCGACAUAGUUCUAGCAGACAUCAGUAGGUUUUAUAAGCCUACCACUGGGAUGUCUGGUGGUAGGGUCCUUUUCCACGUCAGCACGAGCUGACGGCCGUUUGUCGCCAUCUCGACACCUACCACCACGGUCAACGACUGUAGGCUGUGGAGACCUACCGCCAAUGUCCCUGGCGGUAGGUAAAAGGGUCAGAUUUAAAAAAACAAACCUGGGUCAGAUCCCAAAAUAAGAUAGGAAAAGGGUCAAAACACGAAAUUUGGCCUAGUAGAGAGUAACGUCGAGAGCUGUAGCGCGGUUGCGCCGCUAGAGAACGCGGCACUAGCGAGAGUUGUUGGUCUCACGAACACCUCUACACCGGUGAUGGCUUUGCACCCUCCGCCGUAAAAAUUAGGUGCUAGUAACAAAAAAUGAUACAUCAACCGAACCUAGACCAAAUUGUAUUCCGAGCACGAUGAUUUUUGCACUUAGGGCAUCUCCAACUAUGUAGAUCAAACCACUGGUAAACUUCCGAAUCGUGCGGUCUAGACACUUUGGGCACUCCAACGUCUGUAGACCUAUCCGGGUGUCUAAAUUAUCACAAAUGUAAUCAAGGGCAAGGGCAAGGCGUCGGGCGUGCCAUCGGGGCCAACUCUUCCACUUCAAAGGAAGCCAAGCAGCUGCGCCACCAGCGGCAAGCGGUUUUCGUGACCCGUAUGUGACCUUCCGCCACUGGAAGGACAACGUUGACGAUGUCGAUGGCGGCGGAGGUGCCGCUGGGCCAUGGAGGUCAUUGUUCGGUACCUCACGUAGUUUACUUUGAUUUAGUUAAGUUAAAAUUUUAGUUUGAACUUGUCUGAUUCAUUUGGUUUGCAUGUGAUAUAUCAAAGUUGUGUUUAGUUAUUUGGAAUGAACGCAAGCAAAGAACUUUUCACAAAAAAGAUUGACACCAAGACUGUUGAUGACACAAAUUAACGAUGAAGCAGCAUACUAGAAGCCGGCUGGCAGCCAAUCCCUAUCAGUACAGAUACUAAGCUCCCAGAAAAUCAUGCGCUCUCAAUGAUUUGGGGUGUAUAUGAUGUGUUGUCUGCUACGUCUUGAGCUUGCGUUGGUUUUCCUCGAAGAGGAGAGGGUGAUGCAGCAAAGUGUAGCGUAAGUAUUUCCCUCAGUUUUAAGAACCAAGGUAUCAAUCCAGUAGGAGGCUCCUCAAAAGUCCCACGCACCUACACAAACAAACUGAGAACUCGCAACCAACGCAAUAAAGGGGUUGUCAAUCCCUUCACGGCCACUUGCGAAAGUGAGAUCUAAUAAAGAUAGUAUGAUAAGAUAAAUAUAUUUUUGGUAUUUUAUAAUAUGGAUGCAAAAAGUAAAGAUGCAAAUAAAGUAGAUUGAAAGCAAAUAUGAUAAGAGAUAGACCCGGGGGCCAUAGGUUUCACUAGAGGCUUCUUUCAAGAUGGCAUAAGUAUUACAGUGGGUGAACAAAUUACUGUCGAGCAAUUGAUAGAAAAGCGCAUAGUUAUGAGAUUAUCUAGGCAUGAUCAUGUAUAUAGGCAUCACGUCCAUAACAAGUAGACCGACUCCUGCCUGCAUCUAGAGUAUUAAGUUCAUAAGAACAGAGUAACGCAUUAAGCAAGAUGACAUGAUGUAGAGGGAUAAACACAUGCAAUAUGAUAUAAAUCCCAUCUUGUUAUCCUCGAUGGCAACAAUACAAUAUGUGCCUUGCAACCCUUUAUGUCACUGGGUAAGGACACCGCAAGAUUGAACCCAAAGCUAAGCACUUCUCCCAUGGCAAGAAAGACCAAUCUAGUAGGCCAAACCAAACUGAUAAUUCGAAGAGACUUGCAAAGAUAACUCAAUCAUACAUAAAAGAAUUCGGAGAAGAUUCAAAUAUUAUUCAUAGAUAAACUUGAUCGUAAACCUACAAUUCAUCGGAUCUCGACAAACACACCGCAAAAAAGAGUUUACAUCGAAUAGAUCUCCACAAGAGAGGGGGAGAACAUUGUAUUGAGAUCCAAAAAGAGAGAAGAAGCCAUCUAGCUAAUAACUAUGGACCCGUAGGUCUGUGGUAAGCUACUCACAACUCAUCGGAGGGGCAAGGAUGUUGAUGUAGAGGCCCUUCAUGGUUGAUUCCCCCUCCGGCAGAGUGCCGGCGAAGGCUCCAAUAUGGGAUCUCGCGGAUACAAAAGGUUAUGACGGUGGAAAUUGUGUUUCGUGGUGCUCCUGGAUGUUUUCGGGGUACGUAGGUAUAUAUAGGAGGAAGAAGUACGUCGGUGGCCGCCCGAGGGGCCCACGAGAUAGGGGGCGCGCCCUACAGGGGGGCGGCCCCCUAUCUCCUGUGGCCCUCGGAAGCUUCUUGACUUGCACUCCAAGCUCUCCGGAUCAUGAUCGUUCCAAAAAUAAUGCUCCCGAAGGUUUCAUUCCAUUUGGAUUCCGUUUGAUAUUCCCUUUCCUCGAAAUACUGAAAUAGGCAAAAAAAAACAGCAAUAUGGGCUGGGCCUCCGGUUAUUAGGUUAGUCCCAAAAAUGAUAUAAAUGUGUAAAAUAAAGCCCAUAAACAUCCAAAAGAGGCAAUAUAAUAGCAUGGAACAAUUAAAAAUUAUAGAUACGUUAAAGACGUAUCAUUGUUCAUGAUUAUUUGUUGGGUCAAUGCCAUUUCUCGCACGGGCAUGCGUCCGCGUGUCCUUUCGUUCGAAGCUUCAAGGCCGAAACUCAGUGCCUGUGCAUCGAUGGGUGGCCCAGAAAAUAAUUUUUUUAACUUGACGAUGACUAUCGACAUCUUCCUCCAACCCAAUCUCUCUUUCCCCUCGCUUUGCCUCCGUCCCAAGCAUGACAUGCUAGGGUUCUUGUCUCUGCCGCUGCUCUCCCGUUGUCGCCCCUUACAGCUUCUCCUCGGACCCUCUCAUCCCAUGUGCGAGACUGCCUGGUGAAGCACGAUGCAGGUCAGCGCUAGUCGCGGGGGAGCUCACAAGGACAGGCACGUUGGAGCCGGUGUCUGUAACCGGAGGAGGAGGCGAUUGCGAGACGGAGGUCGGGAAUUGGGGCAGGGAGUGCAUAGGUGGGUGGGUUGUAGAGAGAGAGGGAGGGAGGGAGGGAGAAGGGUAUGCAAGGGGCAACAGCGGUGGGAAGCUGGCGGCAGCGGCGAGGGAGAGCACGCGGAUGUGGGAAAUUUGGGUGGCACUCAUACAGUUGAUGUGCGAGAACACAGUUCUGUGUAGUUUGAAUAAUACUUGGGUUAGACUGGAACAUUUUAAUUUCAGCAUUAGGAAACACCAUCUACUACCCUUCAAGAAAUUGUUCUCCGGAGUUGUUUGCUACUUAUGUGAGAAUCGUGUCUUUUAGCCAUGUGCAUACUCAGUCUGAUUGAGACAUUGUUAAUCAUUAAAUUCCCGGUGCUUGUGACUCAACUUAUUUACAGUCUUCAGUUCGCAUAAUCUUCAGGACCUUUCUGUCUCUGUUAAUAUAUGUAUUGGGUUUCUGCAUCAACUGUUUGUUUUUUUAUGUCUAGAUUAUUGUUCUGCACAGUACUAUUUCAAGAAAUAGUUGUUCCCAGUUUUACCUAUAGUUAUUGUUGCUUUCUGGUAAAAAUGGACAAAACAGUAUUUCAACAUGACAUGAUGUCGCCACAUCAAUGAGAUCCUCUGGAUCUCACUAUGCUUAAAACAUCUGGUUGUUCAGGAUCUUAUCUUUAUUUUUCAUUUUUUUCCCAGCCAUGUGGAGGAAAUUUGUUCUACAACAGUGUAUCCAAUUGAGUUCUAGAGUUUUGAGGUGUGCUUUUUUUGUUCACAUGACAAUUACGAAGACCUGACGAAUGAUCAAGAUUUUUCUUUGUAACUAUAUGUCCAAGUAAUUGGGAUGAAUUCCUAAAAAAAGUAAAUGUGACGAAUAUAAGGUUGCUUCCAUCCUUUUCUACUAUAACAUCGCGUAGGUUGUUCUCAUAGUAAUGCAGCAUAACAAGAAGUUAUGUGGUUGCAAUUCAUUUAUGAGAACAUUGGCGGUGGACCUUCAAAGUAGUGAAGGUAGAAAACUUUGCAUCUUCAUAUAGUUGUAGUGAUGUAACAAAGAAUUCGGCCUCUAUUUCUCCCGAUUGUAACUUGUGAUUGUACCGCUUCAAUAAUGUUCAUUGUAUAUAUAUGGAACUAAUGUUAAGUUUAUUUCUGGUGGCCUCUUUGAGUUACCUUGAGUUUUAUGUUCCGAUUAUAGCUUUUGUCUUCGUAUACUACGUUUUAUGUUCCGUCUAUACAAAAUGACUAAAAAGCCACAUACGUCAGCGAAAAUAGGCACAACGAAGCGCGCGUUAGCUUCUAAUAGUAUUGACGCUGGUUGGGGGAGGAAGAUAGCCAAGGGCUAUGCUCCAAAGUAGAGGCGCAUGCUGGUUGAUUUACGCUGGUUAUUUUUUAUUGGGGCCGGUGUUUUAUGUUCCGUCUAUACAAAAUGACUAAAAAGCCACAUACGUCAGCGAAAAUAGGCAUAGCGUGAGCUAGAUGAUCUAAUGCGAAGCCCGCCGACUGCUGAAGUGCGGAUGAAGCAGAAAGAGCUUGCAUUAUUCAUUGAAAACCUAGUUGAACAUGAUGAAAUUUAUUGGGCCCAAAGAGGUAAAGUAAGCUGGAUGAGACGUGGCGACCGCAAUACAACAUAUUCCCAUCAGUUUGCAUCUACUAGGAGAAGGCGGAAUCUAAUAAAGAAGCUAAAGAAUGAUGCGAAUGGAUGGGUAGAAGGCAAUGAAGAUUUAAAACCAUUGAUUGGUGGCUAUUUUAGUAAGCUAUUUUCUUCCGAGGUAGAGGAGAUUGAUCCCUCCUUGCUUAAUUCUGUAAAGACCCUUCUUACCAACGACAUGAAUAAUAUGCUUAUUGCGGAGUACACCAGGGAGAGGUGCGUAAAGCACUGUUCCAAAUAGGCAAUAUGAAGGCAUCCGGCCCGGAUGGCCUCCAUGUUGUUUUUUUCAAGCGAUUCUGGCAUAUAUUAGGGGGAGAGCUAACUGAUGAGGUUCUUGAUGCAAUUAACAACCGAAAAAUCCCCUCGGGUUGGAAUUCAACAAAGACUGUGCUUCUCCCAAAGGUUGAGAGCCCAGAGGUAAUCACUCAAUACAGGCCCAUCGGUCUUUGUAAUGUUGUUUACAAGAUUAUAUCAAAGAUGCUUGCUAAUAGAUUGAAAAGAAUACUCCCAGAAGUCAUUUCCCCAACACAGAGCGCAUUUGUGCCUGGGAGGUUGAUCACAGAUAAUGUGUUGGUGGUGUAUGAGUGCUUUCAUGCAAUAAAGAAAAGGACCAAUGGGUCUACUGGAUUUUGUGCUAUUAAACUGGAUAUGAAUAAGGCCUAUGAUCCUGUUGAGUGGCGUUUCCCGGAGAAAAUGAUGCUUAAGAUGGGAUUUCAUGUGUAGUUGGUACAAUUGAUUAUGGAUUGUGUGUCUUCUGUCACCUACAGAGUGCGCUUUAAUAAUACAGAGACAGAUGAAUUUAUACCCACCAGGGGCCUAAGACAUGGAGACCCCUUAUCUCCCUAUUUAUUUUUGUUAUGCUUGGAAGGCCUAUCUAGCAUGUUAGCCAAUGAGGAGGAAACUAGAGGGCUGGAGGGGAUUAAGGGUGUGCUGCAGUGCACCUUCUAUUUCACACCUAUUAUUUGCUGAUGACUCAUUAGUACUGAUGAAAGCGGAUGCCCAUAAUUCAAGCACUCUUAAGAAGGUGUUGGAUGUUUAUUGUGGUAGUUCUGCACAGUUAGUAAGUACUGCAAAAUCAAGUAUAUUUUUCAGCCCGAAUACUAAUGUCGAUGUGAGGGAACAUAUUUGGGGGAGCUGAAUAUUGUGACUGAGGCUCUAUCAGAUACUUAUCUGGGCCUCCCUACAACGGUGGGUGUGGACAGAAGUGAUAGCUUCCAGCAUUUGAUUAAUAGAGUUUGCCAGAGGCUGAAAGGAUGGAAAGAAAAAAAACUAUCCAUACAAGGUAAAGAGAUCCUUGUUGGAAAUAUGCCCUAGAGGCAAUAAUAAAUUAGUUAUUAUUAUAUUUCCUUGUUCAUGAUAAUCGUUUAUUACCCAUGCUAUAAUUGUAUUGAUAGGAAACUCAGAUACAUGUGUGGGUACAUAGACAACACCAUGUCCCUAGUAAGCCUAGUUGACUAGCUCGUUGAUCAACAGAUGGUUACGGUUUCCUGACCAUGGACAUUGGAUGUCAUUGACAACGGGAUCACAUCAUUAGAAGAAUGAUGUGAUGGACAAGACCCAAUCCUAAGCCUAGCACAAAGAUCGUGUAGUUCAUAUGCUAAAGCUUUUCUAAUGUCAAGUAUCAUUUCCUUAGACCAUGAGAUUGUGCGACUCCCGGAUACCGUAGGAAUGCUUUGGGUGUACCAAACGUCACAACAUAACUGGGUGGCUAUAAAGGUGCACUACAGGUAUCUCCGAAAGUGUCUGUUGGGUUGGCACGAAUCGAGACUGGGAUUUGUCACUCCGUGUAACGGAGAGGUAUCUCUGGGCCCACUCGGUAGGACAUCAUCAUAAUGUGCACAAUGUGACCAAGGGGUUGAUCACGGGAUGAUGUGUUACGAAACGAGUAAAGAGACUUGUCGGUAACGAGAUUGAACAAGGUAUCGGCAUACCGACGAUCGAAUCUCGGGCAAGUACAAUACCGCUAGACAAAGGGAAUUGAAUACGGGAUUGAUUGAGUCCUUGACAUCGUGGUUCAUCCGAUAAGAUCAUCAUGGAACAUGUGGGAGCCAACAUGGGUAUCCAGAUCCCGCUGUUGGUUAUUGACCGGAGAACGUCUCGGUCAUGUCUGCAUGGUUCCCGAACCCGUAGGGUCUACACACUUAAGGUUCGAUGACGCUAGGGUUAUAAAGGAAGUUUGUAUGUGGUUACCGAAUGUUGUUCGGAGUCCCGGAUAAGAUCCCGGACGUCAUGAGGAGUUCCGGAAUGGUCCGGAGGUAAAGAUUUAUAUAUGGGAAGUCCUGUUUUGGUCACCGGAAAAGUUUCAGGUACUAUCGGUAACAUACCGGGACCACCGGGAGGGUCCCGGGGGUCCACCAGGUGGGGCCACCGGCCCCAGAGGGCUGCAUGGGCCAAGUGUGGGAGGGUACCAGCCCCAGGUGGGCUGGUGCGCCCCCCACCAAGGCCCAAGGCACCUAGGGCUUGGGGGAAACCCUAAAGGGGGCGCCCCCCUUGCCUUGGGGGGCAAGGCAACCCCCCUGGCCGCCGCCCCCUCCUCAGAUUGGAUCUGAGGGGGACGGCCCCCCUCUCCUUUGCCCCUAUAUAUAUGUGGGGGGUGGGAGGGCAGCCGCACCCCAGGUUCUGGCGCAGCCCUCCCCCUCUCCCAAGUACUCCUCCUCUCCCGUGGUGCUUGGCGAAGCCCUGCAGGAUUGCCACGCUCCUCCACCACCACCACACCGUCGUGCUGCUGCUGGACGGAGUCUUCCCCAACCUCUCCCUCUCUCCUUGCUGGAUCAAGGCAUGGGAGACGUCACCGGGCUAUACGUGUGUUGAACGCGGAGGUGCCGUCCGUUCGGCACUAGGAUCUCCGGUGAUUUGGAUCACGACGAGUAUGACUCCUUCAACCCCGUUAUCUUGAAUACUUCCGCUUAGCGAUCUACAAGGGUAUGUAGAUGCACUCUCCUUCCCCUCGUUGCUGGUUUCUCCAUAGAUAGAUCUUGGUGACACAUAGGAAAAUUUUGAGUUUCUGCUACGUUCCCCAACAGUGGCAUCAUGAGCUAGGUCUAUUGCGUAGAUUCUUUGCACGAGUAGAACACAAAGUAGUUGUGGGCGUUGAUUUUGUUCAAUAAGCUUACCGUUACUAGUCCAAUCUUGUUUCGACGGUAUUAUAGGAUGAAGUGUCUCGGACCGACCUUACACGUACUCUUACGUGAGACAGGUUCCACCGAAUGCCAUGCACUUGGUGCAUAAGGUGUCUAGCGGGUGCCAGUCUCUCCCACUUUAGUCGGAAUGGAUUCGAUGAAAAGGGUCCUUAUUAAGGGUAAAUAGCAAUUGGCAUAUCACGUUGUGGUUUGCGUAGGUAAGAAACGUUCUUGCUAGAAACCCAUAGCAGCCACGUAAAACAUGCAAACAACAAUUACAGGACGUCUAACUUGUUUUUGCAGGGUAUGCUAUGUGAUGUGAUAUGGCCAAGAAGAAUGUAAUGAAAUAUAUGUGAUGUAUGAGAUUGAUCAUGUUCUUGUAAUAGGAAUCACGACUUGCAUGUCGAUGAGUAUGACAACCGGCAGGAGCCAUAGGAGUUGUCUUUAUUUAUUGUAUGACCUGCGUGUCAUUAAAUAACGCCAUGUAAUUACUUUACUUUAUUGCUAACCGGUAGCCAUAGUAGUAGAAGUAAUAAGUUGGCGAGACAACUUCAUGGAGACACGAUGAUGGAGAUCAUGAUGAUGGAGAUCAUGGUGUCAUGCCGGUGACGAUGAUGAUCAUGGAGCCUCGAAGAUGGAGAUCAAAAGGAGCAAUAUGAUAUUGGCCAUAUCAUGUCACUAUUUGAUUGCAUGUGAUGUUUAUCAUGUUUAUGCAUCUUAUUUGCUUAGAACGACGGUAGUAAAUAAGAUGAUCCCUCAUUAAAAUUUCAAGAAAGUGUUCCCCCUAACUGUGCACCGUUGCGAAAGUUCGUCGUUUCAAAGCACCACGUGAUGAUCGGGUGUGAUAGAUUCUUACGUUCACAUACAACGGGUGUAAGCCAGAUUUACACACGCGAAACACUUAGAUUGACUUGACGAGCCUAGCAUGUACAGACAUGGCCUCGGAACACAAGAGAACGAAAGGUCGAGCAUGAGUCGUAUAGUAGAUAUGAUCAACAUGAAGAUUUUCACCGAUGAUGACUAGUCUGUCUCACGUGAUGAUCGGACACGGCCUAGUUGACUCGGAUCAUGUAAUCACUUAGAUGACUAGAGGGAUGUCUAUCUGAGUGGGAGUUCAUAAGAUGAACUUAAUUAUCCUGAACAUAGUCAAAAGAUCUUUGCAAAUCAUGUCGUAAGCUCGCGCUUUAGUUCUACUGUUUAGAUAUGUUCCUAGAGAAAAUAUAGUUGAAAGUUGAUAGUAGCGAUUAUGCCAUCAGUAGAAAGCUUAUUUCCUUAAUGCACCGCUCAGUGUGCAGAACCCCAAACAUCGUCUGUGGAUGUUGCGAACAUCGGACAUACACGUUUUGAUAACUACGUGAUAGUUCAGUUAAACGGUUUAGAGUUGAGGCACCAAAGACGUUUUCGAAACAUCACGGAACAUAUGAGAUGUUUCAAGGGCUGAAAUUGGGAUUUCAGGCUCGUGCCCACAUCAAGAGGUAUAAGACCUUCGACGAUUUUCUUAGCCUGCAAACUAAGGGAGAAAAGCUCAAUCAUUGAGCUUGUGCUCAGAUUGUCUGAGUGCAACAAUCACUUGAAUCGAGUGGGAGUUGAUCUUCCAGAUGAAAUAGUGAUGUUUCUCCAAAGUCAUUGCCACCAAGCUACUAGAGCUUCGUGAUGAACUAUAACAUAUCACGGAUAGAUAUGAUGAUCCUUGAGGUAUUCGCGAUGUUUGACACCGCGAAAGUAGAAAUCAAGAAGGAGCAUCAAUUGUUGAUGGUUGGUGAAACCACUAGUUUCAAGAAGGGCAAAGGCAAGAAGGGAUACUUCAUGAAAUGGCAAAUCAGCUGCUGCUCUAGUGAAGAAACCCAAGGUUGAACCCAAACCCGAGACUAAGUGCUUCUGUAAUAAGGGGAACAACCACUGGAGCAGAAUUACCCUAGAUACUUGGUAGAUGAGAAGGCUGGCAAGGUCGAUAGAAGUAUAUUGGAUAUACAUUAAGUUAUUGUGUACUUUACUAGUACUCCUAGUAGCACCAGAGUAUUUGAUACCGGUUCAGUUGCUAAGUGUUAGUAACUCGAAAUAAAAGGCUACGGAAUAAACGGAGACUAGCUAAAGGUGAGCUGACGAUAUGUGUUGGAAGUGUUUCUAAGUUUGAUAUGAUCAAACAUUGCACGCUCCCUCUACCAUCAAGAUUAGUAUUAAACCUGAAUAAUUGUCAUUUGGUGUUUGCGUUGAGCAUAGACAUGAUUGGAUUAUGUCUAUCGCAAUACGGUUAUUCAUUUAAGGAGAAUAAUGGUUACUCUAUUUAUUUGAAUAAUACCUUCAAUGGUCUUGCACCUAAAGGAAUGGUUUAUUGAAUCUCGAUCAUAGUAAUACACAUUUUCAUGCCAAAAUAUAUAAGAUAGUAAUGAUGGUACCACUUACUUGUGGCACUGCCAUGUAAGUCAUAUUAGUAUAAAACGCAUGAAGAAGCUCCAUGUUGAUGGAUCUUUGGACUCACUCACUUUUGAAAAGUUUGAGACAUGCGAACCAUGUCUAUUGGUGUAUACACAUGAAGAAACUCCAUGCAAAUGGAUCGUUUGGACUCACUUGAUUUUGAAUCACUUGAGAUAUGCAAAUCAUACCACAUGGGCAAAAUGACUGAAAAGCCUCGGUUUCAAUAAGAUGGAACGAGAUAGCAACUUGUUGGAAGUAACACAUUUUGAUGUGUGCAGUCCAAUGAGUGCUGAAUAUCGUUAUGUUCUUACUUCACGGAUGAUUUGAGUAGAUACUGAGUGUAUUUACUUGAUGAAACACAAGUCUGAAUUAUUGAAUGGUUCAAGUAAUUUCAGAGUGAAGUUGAAGAUCAUCGUGACAAGAGGAUAAAAUGUCUAUGAUAUGAUCAUAGAGAUGAGUAUCUGAGUUACGAGCUUUGGCACACAAUUAAGACAUUGUGGAAAUUGUUUCACAACUAAUACCGCCUGGAACACCAUAGUGUGAUGGUGUGUCCGAACAUCAUAGUUGCACCCUACUGGAUAUGGUGCGUACCAUGGUGUCUCUUAUCGAAUUACCACUAUCGUUCAUGGGUUAGGCAUUAGAGACAACCGCACUCACUUUAAUAGGGCACCACGUAAUUCCGUUGAGACGACACCGUUUGAACUAUGGUUUGGAGAAACCUAAGUUGUCGUUUCUUAAAAGUUUGGGGCUGCGACGCUUAUGUGAAAAAGUUUCAUCGUGAUAAGCUCGAACCCAAAAUGGAUAAAUGCAUCUUCAUAGGAUACCCAAAAUGGUUGGGUAUACCUCCUAAUUCAUAUCCGAAAGCAAUAGGGAUUGUUUCUUGAAUCGGGUCCUUUCUCGAGGAAAGGUUUGUCUCGAGAAUUGAGUGGGAGGAUGGUGGAGACUUGAUGAGGUUAUUGAACCAUCACUUCAACUAGUGUGUAGCAGGGCACAGGAAGUUGUUCUUGUGGCGCCUACACCAAUUGAAGUAGAAGCUUAUGAUAGUGAUCAUGAAGUUUUGGAUCAAGUCACUGCCGUACCUCGUAGGGUGACAAGGAUGCGUACUACUUCAGAGUGGUACAGUAAUCCUGUCUUGAAGGUCAUGUUGCUAGACAACAAUGAACCUACGAGCUAUGGAGAAGCAAUGGUGGGCCCAUAUUCCAACAAAUGGUUAGAAGCCAUGAAAUCCGAGAUAGGAUCCAUGUAUCAGAACAAAGCAUGGACUUUUGUGGACUUGCCCGAUGAUCGGCAAGCCAUUGAGAUAAAUGGAUCUUUAAGAAGAAGAUGAACGUGGACGGUAAUGUCACCGUCUAUGAAGCUCGACUUGUGGCGAAGAGUUUUUCACAAGUUCAAGGAGUUGACUACGAUGAGAUUUUCUCAUCGUAGCGAUGCUUAAGUCCGUCGGAAUCAUGUUAGCAUUAGCUACAUUUAUGAAAUCUGGCAGAUGGAUGUCAAAACGAGUUUCCUUACCAGUCUUCGCAAGGAAAGGUUGUAUGUGAUACAAUCAGGAGGUUUCUGUCGAUCCUAAGGAUGCUAAAAGGUAUGCUAGCUCCAGCUAUCCUUCUAAGGACUGGAGUAAGCAUCUCGGAGUUGGAAUGUACGCUUUGAUGAGAUGAUCAAAUAUUUUUGGUUUAUACAAAGUUUAUGAGAAAUUUGUAUUUCCAAAGAAGUGAGUGGGAGCACUAUAGAAUUUCUGAUGAGUAUAUGUUGUUGACAUAUUGAUGAUCAGAAAUGACGUAGAAUUUUCUGUAAAGCAUAUAGGGUUAUUUGAAAAGUGUUUUUCAAGUGAAAACCUGGAUUAAGCUACUUGAACAUUGAGUAUCAUGAUCUUUGAGGAUAGAUCAAAAACCGCUUAAUGGUACUUUCAAAUAAGCAUAUACCUUGACAUGAUCUUGAAGGUGUUCAAGAUGGAUCAGUCAAAGAAGGAGUUCUUGCCUGAGUUGCAAGGUAUGAAGUUAAGACUUAAAGCUCGACCACGGCAGAAGAGAGAGAAAGGAUGAAUGUCGUCCCCUAUGCUUCAGACGUAGGCUCUACAGUAUGCUAUGCUGAGUACCGCACCUGAUGUGUGCCUUGCCACAUGUCUGGCAAGAGGGUACAAAGGUGAUCAAGGAGUGGAUCACCAGAUAGCGGUCAAAAUUAUCCUUAGAGGAAUAAGGAUAUGUUUCUCGAUUAUGAAGGUGAUAAAGAGUUCAACGUAAAGGGUUACGUCGAUGCAAGCUUUAACACCUAUCCGAAUGACUCUGAGUAGCAAACCGGAUACGUAUAGUGGAGCAACCAUUUGGAAUAGCUCCAAGUGGAGCGUGGAAGCAGCAUUUACAAUAUGACCUAGAAAUUUGCGAAGUACAUACGGAUCUGAAUGUUGCAGACCCAUUGACUAAAACCUCUCUCACGAGCAAAACAUGAUCAAACCCCAGAACUCAUUGAGUCUUAAUCACAUGAUGAUGUGAACUAGUUUAGACACUAGUAAACUCUUUGGAUGUUGGUCACAUGGCCAUGUGACCUGUGAGUGUUAAUCACAUGGCGAUGUGAACUAGAUUAUUGACUCUAGUGCAAGUGGGAGACUGUUGGAAAUAUGCCCUAGAGGCAAUAAUAAAUUAGUUAUUAUUAUAUUUCCUUGUUCAUGAUAAUCGUUUAUUACCCAUGCUAUAAUUGUAUUGAUAGGAAACUCAGAUACAUGUGUGGGUACAUAGACAACACCAUGUCCCUAGUAAGCCUCUAGUUGACUAGCUCGUUGAUCAACAGAUGGUUACGGUUUCCUGACCAUGGACAUUGGAUGUCAUUGAUAACGGGAUCACAUCAUUAGAAGAAUGAUGUGAUGGACAAGACCCAAUCCUAAGCCUAGCACAAAGAUCAUGUAGUUCAUAUGCUAAAGCUUUUCUAAUGUCAAGUAUCAUUUCCUUAGACCAUGAGAUUGUGCGACUCCCGGAUACCGUAUGAAUGCUUUGGGUGUACCAAACGUCACAACGUAACUGGGUGGCUAUAAAGGUACACUAUAGGUAUCUCGGAAAGUGUCUGUUGGGUUGGCACGAAUCGAGACUGGGAUUUGUCACUCCGUGUAACGAAGAGGUAUCUCUGGGCCCACUCGGUAGGACAUCAUCAUAAUGUGCACAAUGUGACCAAGGGGUUGAUCACGGGAUGAUGUGUUAAGGAACGAGUAAAGAGACUUGUCGGUAACGAGAUUGAACAAGGUAUCGGCAUACCGACGAUCGAAUCUCGGGCAAGUACAAUACCGCUAGACAAAGGGAAUUGAAUACGGGAUUGAUUGAGUCCUUGACAUCGUGGUUCAUCCGAUGAGAUCAUCGUGGAACAUGUGGGAGCCAACAUGGGUAUCUAGAUCCCGCUGUUGGUUAUUGACCGGAGAACGUCUCGGUCAUGUCUGCAUGGUUCCCGAACCCGUAGGGUCUACACACUUAAGGUUCGAUGACACUAGGGUUAUAAAGGAAGUUUGUAUGUGGUUACCGAAUGUUGUUCGGAGUCCCGGAUAAGAUCUCGGACGUCACGAGGAGUUCCGAAAUGGUCCGGAGGUAAAGAUUUAUAUAUGGGAAGUCCUGUUUUGGUCACCGGAAAAGUUUCGGGUACUAUCGGUAACAUACCGAGACCAUUGGGAGGGUCCCGGGGGUCCACCAGGUGGGGCCACCGGCCCCAGAGGACUGCAUGGGCCAAGAGUUGGAGGGGACCAGCCCCAGGUGGGCUGGUGCACCCCCCACCAAGGCCCAAGGCGCCUAGGGCUUGGGGGAAACCCUAAAGGGGGGCGCCCCCCUUGCCUUGGGGGGCAAGGCAACCCCCUGGCCGCCGCCCCCUCCUCAGAUUGGAUUUGAGGGGGCCGGCCCCCCUCUCCUUUGCCCCUAUAUAUAUGUGGGGGGUGGGAGGGUAGCCGCACCCCAGGUUCUGGCGCAGCCCUCCCCCUCUCCCAAGUACUCCUCCUCUCCCGCGGUGCUUGGCGAAGCCCUGCAGGAUUGCCACGCUCCUCCACCACCACCACGCCGCCGUGCUGCUGUUGGACGGAGUCUUCCCCAACCUCUCCCUCUCUCCUUGCUGGAUCAAGGCAUGGGAGACGUCACUGGGCUGUACGUGUGUUGAAUGCGGAGGUGUCGUCCGUUCGACACUAGGAUCUCCGGUGAUUUGGAUCACGACGAGUACGACUCCUUCAACCCCGUUCUCUUGAACGCUUCCGCUUAGCGAUCUACAAGGGUAUGUAGAUGCACUCUCCUUCCCCUCGUUGCUGGUUUCUCCAUAGAUAGAUCUUGGUGACACGUAGGAAAUUUUUGAAUUUCUGCUACGUUCCCCAACAAUCCUAGUGAAAUUAGUAGCACAAGCAAUUCCAUCAUAUGCUAUGUCUGUUUUUAAAUUGCCAAAGGGAGUUUGCAAGGCUAUCACAUAUGAAGUUUCUAGUUUUUGGUGGGGAGACAAUGAGGAGAAAAGAAAAAUGCAUUGGUUUGCAUGGUGGAAGUUGUGCAAUCCAAAGAAAAAGGGGGGAUUGGGCUUUAGGGACCUUCACAGCUUUAAUCUUGCUAUGUUAGCAAAGCAAUGUUGGCGACUAAUCCAGAACCCUGAUUCUUUGUGCGCGUAAGUUCUGAGUGCAAAGUAUAAUCCUCAUGGUGAUGUUUUAAAAGCAGGUCCUAAGAAGGGCUCGUCCUAUACGUGGCAAAGUAUUGUUGCAGGCAUACAAACCUUUCAGAGGGGGUGUAUUUCACGUAUUGGAACGGGUUCCAAAGUGAACAUUUGGCAAGAUCCAUGGAUUCCUUCAAGUCCAUCACGACGAGUUAUCUCUCUGAGAGGAGGAACCAUGUUGUCAAAAGUUGAAGACUUCAUUGAUCCGCAUACUGGACAGUGGGAUGAGAAUUUAUACGUGAUGUGUUCUCUCCUGUGGAUGUUGAAAGAAUUCUUAGAAUACCACUAAAUGUUCAGAUGGGCGAGGAUUUCAUCGGUUGGAACUAUACCCGGUCAGGUACUUUCUCUGUGAGAUCGACAUACCACAGAGAGUUUGAGCAUCAAUUCAGCUCUAAAUGGACAAGAGCAGAUGGGCAAGGCAGUGUUCAUAUCAACCUUGUUUGGAAGGAUGUGUGGCGGCUACGGAUUCCAAGGAAAGUGAAGCACUUUGUAUGGAAGGUAUUACAUGGCGUUCUUUCCUGUUUUUGUGUGCUUGCUGGACGUCAUAUCCCCUGUUCACCUCAAUGCCCAGUGUGUUUAGUGGGGGUUGAGGAUAUACAACACUGUUUGUUUCAUUGUCAUCGAGUGAAAGAAAUUUGGAUGCAGCUUGGCCUAAAGGAAGCAAUACAGAGGGCAGUAGUUGAUGAUAGAUCCGGAUCAAUUACCAUGGAAAUGCUGAUGAAAUUACCGGAUGGAUCAGCUGAAAUCCCAAAUGCCGAGUUGGUAGCCGUCGCUGCAUGGUACAUCUGGUGGCAACGCCCUCAACGUGUAAAGGGUAUUGAGGUUCAAACACUAGAAAGGACAGCUUUGUCGAUCAGGGUCCUAGCGACUAAUUAUAUGAGGUCGGUAUCACCUAAAAUGCCAAGCAGAAAGGAUGGUUGCAUGUGGAAGAAGCCAAGUCACGGUGUGGUAAAAACAAAUGUGGACGCAUCGUUUCAUGGAGAUACUUUGUCAGGUGCUUCUGAAGCUAUAGCUCGUGAUGAUAAAGGAUAUUUUAUUGCUGCUGCAAAUUGGUUUAUCCCACAUAUACAAGACGUUGAUGUUGCUGAACUUACUGCUAUCAGGAACGGUCUUUUUCUAGCGGCUAGCGUCGGGUGCAAUUUAGUCAAAGUUGAACCAGAUUGCUUAUUUGCUGUGGACACCUUGAACUCCAUGGAUUAUUUGGGUCCUCAUGUGGCAAUAGUGGUUGAUUGCAAUCAGCUAGCGAUGGAGUUCAGAGGCAUUUCUUUCAAGCAUUUGCUACCGUGAGGCAAAUCAAGUGGCGGAUGAGUUAGCCAAGAAUUCUUUUGUUAGUAGAUCCUCUAAUUCUUGGGAAUCUGUGAUUCCAGGUUUUAUUUCUCAUUCUCUUGUAAAUGACAUGUCUAUUAUUUGAGAAGUAAAGUGUUUUACCCGUAAAAAAAAGCCUCAUCUAACUUCUACACUAUUUGAUUAACCAAAUAAAAAAUAAAAUAAAAAUGUUUUUUUAUACCUUCAGUUUUUUUUCUGUCUAUCUUUUUCAUGUUUCUGGCCAUCGGCCUCUUCUCCAAUCAAUGAAAUCUUAGCAGCUCUCCUGCUGAUUUUUUUUUAAAAAGGAAAAAGAUGACAACAAAACUGAGCUGUCAAAAAUGUCCGCGGAUAUUUUCAAAAAAAAAUGUCCGCGGAUCCGCGUGACCCAGCCGAGCCCUACGGCCCGCCCGACCCAACGUCCGACACCCGCCGCCGGGAACGCGCAUGCGCAUCCGCCGCCCGUUCUCCGCUGACCGCGCCCACCUUCCCCGCCGGCCGAGUCAACCCACCCGCCCAGCACGAAACCAUCCCAAUUCCCCUCCAUUUCCGCCCAAAAUCGUCCGGCAACAGCAAGGCUCACCAGAAUGCGGCCUCUCCUCAGCGCCGCCGCCGCCGCCCUCCUCCUCCUCCUCCUCCCCCUCGCGGCCGGCCAGCGACUCCGCGGCUUCUCCUACCAACUCGACUGCGGCGCCGCGAGCUCCUCCACCGACAGCCGCGGCCUCCGCUGGGACCCCGACGGCCCCUACGUCUCCGCCGGCUCCGCCCGCCCGCUCUCGGCCCAGGGCCUCCUCGACCCCACCCUCGCCUCCCUCCGCGUAUUCCCGUACCGCCCCGCCGCUAAGUUCUGCUACGCGCUCCCCGUCGACCCCAAUCGCCACUACCUGCUCCGCCCCACCUUCUUCUACGGCCCCACCUCGACGGCCCCGCCCGUGUUCGACCUCAUCGUCGACGGCACCUUCUGGACCGCCGUCGACACCGCCGAUGACAUCCUGGCCGGCAGCGCCUCGCACUACGAGGCCGUGUUCCCGGCCAGGGGCAGGAACUUGACCUUCUGCAUCGGCGUCAACCCCGACUACACCAACUCCGGCCCGUUCAUCAACGCGCUGCAGGUCAUCCAGCUCCAUGAUUCGGUGUACAACGCCACCGAUUUCACGGGCAGCGCCAUGGGCCUCAUUGCGCGCACCAAGUUUGGCUCGACUGGCGACGUCGAGAGGUGAGUGCCGACUUCUCUGGCCUUGAUUUCAGUGCCCUUUUAGUGAUGAAGUGCUAGAUGUUCUGUGAUUUCCCAUAAUUUGAGUAGGUUUAGGAAUUAGGACUGCAGAACUGACUCAUUGUCGAUAUGGCUGAGAAUGCUGUCGAUCAGGCAUAUACAGUACCAGUUUUUAUCUUAAGAUAGUACCAGUUGGGUCAGUUCUUUGUGAAGUGAAUAGCUCUAGGUUUCAGCUGUUUCUGAUCUGAGGUUUAGUUUGUCAUGUAAAGUAACUCUGGAUGUGGUUCACAACAUUUAUUCAGUAGAUGUAGGUUGAUUUGGUAGUUUUCUUUCUUUAGAACUCUUCUAAUUUUUAUGGUCAUGUUGCGGCUGUUGCUUCUUUGGCUCCUAUAGCAUGUUGAGCAAUGAACAUGAUCCCCCAAUAUCAAAGAAGCAGAAUUCACCAUAUCGAAUCCCUAAUUCUUAAGCAAAAAUACCAAAAGUUCCUGAACCUCUUUCUCGUUACUUUUUUGAGGAAACAUGUGCAUGCACUAGUGAUUAGAACUUUACAAGUGUAUUCCAAGGAACAAAUAGGUACUUGUUAAAAAGAUGCUCACUAAAUGAAGUACAAAAAGGAAAGAAGCGUGUCGGCCUAUAUCAUAUAUGUUUUUAUUUUCUUUCGUUCUCCCUUUUCUAGAGGACUACAAAUUACAAGCUUUAUGUAGAUUUUCUUGUGAGGAAGUUCUGUAGAUCCCUGACUUCAUUUUCUUCAUUACAUUCAAACUUAGGUACCCUGAUGACAGUUUUGACCGCUAUUGGCAGCCAUUUCCAGACAGCAAACAUGCAGUCAGUAGUACCCACAACGUUACAUCAGCCGAUUUCUGGAAUCUUCCUCCUCCUGACGUAUUUAAUACAGCUUUGGUAGCAGAACAAAAUGCACCCUUGGUGUUGCAAUGGCCGCCGAUAUCUCUUCAGAAUGGCAGCUAUUAUGUUUCUCUUUAUUUUGCUGAUACAUUGGCUAAUAGUUCGAGGACCUUGGAUGUGAAUAUUAAUGAUUACCAGUUUUACCAAGGGACUGUAACAUCAGCUGGUCUUUCUGUCUUUGCAACUCAAUGGAUUCUCUCAGGCCUAACCAGAGUUAUAUUGACUUCUAAGUCUGUUCUUCCACCACUUAUCAAUGCUGGCGAAGUCUUUGGAAUUUUUCCCAUCGGAAGACUGACAAUUACACGUGAUGGUACAUCAUUUGCUGCAUUUAUUCCUUUAUUAUCAAUUGUUUCCCCCUGAGUUGACAGUGCAUGCAAACAGGCAAUGAAACAUUUCCUGUUCAGCCUGAUGCAAUGCACAUUAUGUAUGUAAAUGUGUAAUGAUUCUGGUAGCACUGAUUCAAUUAUUUGUAUGGUAGGUUGUAUGUUUAUGUACUGUGUUAGCAACAUGUCAUCAAAAUGUGCCUUGGGUGAAUUUGCGUAUACAUGACCAUUUGACAUCUCUCCCAAUUUUAGCAUCACGUUGAGUCGUACUUGUAUUGUUCAGAUAUUUUAUCAAGUGUGCACAUUGACUUUAGGUUGUGUGAGUGUCCUUUAAAUAUUGUUGUGGGCGUAUUACAUGAUGUUCUUGCAAUGCAGCAAGUUGCUCUAACUUGCGCCUGUCUCUUUUAUGAAAUUGACCUAGUACUUUCAUUUCUUUACAGCGCUUGCUAUGGAGAGUAUGAAGAGAAGCCUCCAAAACAUACCUGAUGAUUGGAUUGGAGAUCCAUGUAUGCCUCAUGGAUAUGCUUGGACUGGAGUUACAUGUCAGGAAGGACAAAAUGAAAAUAUACGUGUCAUUUCAUUGUGAGUUCAACUCAUGAUCCUUCCAUCUAUACGAUGCAAUUCUUUUAUCCUUUGCAAGUUUGCAGUAACAAUUCUUUGUAUUGGUCCACACCAGGAACUUUUCAGGUAUGGGUAUCUCCGGAUCUCUGUCGCCUGACAUUGCAAAUCUGACUGCUCUUAUUGAUAUGUAAGUUCUAUUUAUAACCGAUCAAAGGGAAUGAAAAUAUAAGCUAGCAAAAUGACACUAUUACCAUUGGCAGAUCUUUUGCAAACAAUAGCUUGUCUGGAACUAUUCCUGAUCUCAUCAAUCUGGGACAACUCCAACGACUGUAAGCUAACCCUUCGGCUUUUGUAAUUUAGUUCAAAAAUUGUUUAUACAAUCAUACUAUUUAUACGUUACUGCGAAAAUUGGUUUGUCUUUACUCUUUAGGCACCUGAAUGAUAACAAGUUGAAUGGAACAAUAGCUGAGACGUUGGGGACAAUUCAGCCCUUGCGUGAACUGUGAGUUGAUUUGUGUCAAUAUUUUUACUUACUGGUUAUUGUUCCAGUUUCAGAAUAUUUGCCUGCAUUACUUCUCAUGUCGGAGUAUUCAAAGAACAGAAAGCAUAAAACACGAAAAGCAUAGCAACCAUUUUAGAAACAUUUGCCAGGCCCCCGGGUUGCCCUUUCAGGCAGCACUUAGAUCAUAGGACUGACGGCAGCAUGGCUUCUUCCCGCUCGUCCAUUGCCAAUGGUGUUGGAGGAGGAUGGUUACUAUGCGCUGUUCAGAUCUUUCCAGUCGUGUUCGGUUCCAGAGAUGCUUUGCUCGAUUGACGCAGUGGCUGUGAUGGUAAAUGUGGCAGCUCUGGCGGUCAUGGAGGCUCAGAUCUGGAAGCUGAAGCGGCUCCUUGGCCAUAAGUGAAACUGAUCCCUUAUGCACAGUAUUUUGCCAUGAGUGCAACUGGUAGGACUAGGGUUCCUACCGGCUCUACUCCGUAGGUUAUACGGGCAGAACAGCGAGGGUUGGGGGCGAGGGCGGGGGCUCCGGCGUGUUGGCGCCGUCGCGAGGGAGAAGAAGGGCGGCGACGGCUAGGGCAAGGUGCGGCUAGGGUUUCCGGCUCCUCUGGAGUCGGGCAAUAUGAUAGAACUAUCUUUAUUGCUUGAUCUCAAACGAUGUCUUACAACUAGUAUUUAUAACUUUAGCCUAAGAUAACUUGCCUAAACUAACUUGCCUAAGAUAACUUGUGGGUCAAGCCCCUAAUACUAAUGCCCGGUGGGCCUCUUCCUUGUAUAGACCAAACCGGUCAUAACAUCUCUCCCCGCCUGCGCAAACAACCCGUCCUCGAGCUGAAAGUCUGGAUAGUGUUGGCGGAAUUCUUCACGCUGCUCCCAAGUAGCCUCCUCCUCCGGAAGGUCUGCCCACUGAACGAGGAUGAACCAGACGCCACGACGGAGCUGCGCCUGCAAUACCUUUGCCGGCUCUGGAAGAAUGCGACCAUUGGCGAUGGGAGGAAGCGCCGGUGGAGCCGCCGGUGGCUCGCCACGGAAAGGCUUGAGCAGCCCCACAUGGAAAACGUCGUGGAUGCGAGUGCGGGCUGGAAGCUGAAGACGAUAGGCCACCUUUCCAAUGCGCUCCAAGAUAGGGAAGGGCCCGGCGUAGCGAGGACCGAGCUUGCGCUUCGCGCGCGGGUCGAGGGACUGCGUAGAGCGAUGGAGAAGACGCAGCCACACCCAAUCACCCACCGCGAACUCCGCCUCGCGAUGAUGAUCGUCGUAGUAGUGCUUGGCCAGCUGCUGGGCCUGAAGGAGACGCUGACGAACCUCAGCAAGCAUCUCGUCACGAGUGCGGAUGAGGUCACCCGCAACCUCCGUCCGAGCUAUCUCCGGAUCCACUGGAAGUAUAGGCGGGGGUGGUCGACCAUAGACCACCUCAAAUGGCGUAGCGCGCAGGGCGGAGUGAUAAGAGGUGUUGUAGCAGUACUCCGCCCAAGAGAGCCAGUCCACCCAAGCGCGAGGCCGAUCACCUGUCACACAACGCAAAUACAUGGCAAUGACCUUGUUAACCACCUCGGACUGACCGUCCGUCUGAGGAUGGAACGCCGUACUCAGGCGGAGCUGGACACCCGCCAUCCUGAAGAGGUCGCGCCAGACAUGGCCCGUGAACACGGGGUCUCGAUCACUGACGAUCGAAGCAGGGAACCCGUGUAGACGGACGAUGCCGUCGAAGAAGGCCCGGGCCACGGACGCCGCCGUGUAUGGAUGGCCGAGCGCUAUGAAGUGGCCGUACUUGGAGAAGCGGUCGACCAUCGUGAGGAUGACCGACUUGCCGCCCACCUUGGGAAGGCCCUCAAUGAAGUCCAUGGAGAUGUCCGCCCAGACCUGAGAUGGCACCUCCAAGGGCUGGAGUAACCCGGCCGGCCUGAGAGUCUCUGUCUUGUUGCGCUGGCAUGUCUGACAAGACCGAACCCAGUCGCGGACCAGGGCGCGAUCGCCAGGGAUGUAGAAGUCGGCGCGAAGACGAUGGAGGGUUUUCUGCAUACCCUCAUGACCUGCCGAGUGGGCGAGCUGUAACACCUGGUGACGGAGAUCAUCCUGCGCCGGAACAAAGACCCGGCGCCCAUGGAGGAGCAGUCCGUCAGAAAAGCGCCAUGGCUCCUCCAGGUCGUCGGCCGUGAGCUGCUGCUGAAGAUGGACGGCAUCGUCGGCCGUCGCAGUGGCGCGGCGAAUGUCGGCGAAGAGGCCGAAUGUCGGCCCGGAGCGGAUGCACAGGGCCGCCCCGGCGGACUUGUCAGCGGAGGAAGCGAGGUCGGAGUCGCGACGGGACAGCGUCGGCCACGGUGUUAAGGCGGCCCGGCCGAUACUCGACGGAGAAGUCGAAGCCGAAGAGCUUGCUGAUCCACUGGUGCUGCGGCACGGUCGACAGCCGUUGGUCCAGCAAAAACUUCAGCUGUAGUGGUCGGUGCGAAUCUGGAAGGACCGUCCCCACAAGUACGGCCGCCAAUGACGAACAGCCUGUACAAGGCCAAUGAGCUCCCGCUCAUAUGCUGCCAGCUUAAGAUGACGCGGAGCGAAAGGCCGGCUGAAGAAGGCGAGGGGCCCAUUGCCCUGAUGAAGCACGGCGCCGAACCCUGCGCCCGAGGCGUCACAGUCCACCACAAACGGGCGGUCGAAGUCGGGCAUCUGGAGGACGGGGCCCGUCGUGAGGGCCCCCUUGAGGGCCUCGAACGCCGUCGUCGCCUCGUCGUCCCAGGCGAAAGCGUUGCGGCAAAGCAACCGCGUGAGGGUCGCCGCGAUAAGCCCGAACUCCCGGAUAAAUUUCCGGUAGUAGCCGGCGAGGCCGAGGAACCCGCGGAGAGCCCGCGGCGAGUGAGGGGUCGGCCAUGCGGAGACGGCUGCCACCUUGUCGGCGUCCAUAGCCACCCCGUCGGCUGAGAUGACGUGGCCCAAGUAGGCCACCGAAGGUGUCCCGAACGAGCACUUCGAGCGCUUAAGGUGGAGGUGGUGCGCUCGAAGCUCGUUGAAGACGAUGGCGAUGUGCUGGAGGUGCUCGGCCCAAGACGCACUGUAGAUUAGAAUAUCAUCAAAGAAAACGAGCACAAACCGGCGUAAGUAGGGCCUGAGGACGUCGUUCAUCAAAGCCUGGAAGGUCGCCGGGGCAUUGGUGAGGCCAAAGGGCAUCACCAAGAACUCGAAGUGGCCGUGAUGAGUCCGAAACGCCGUCUUAGCGAUGUCAUCCGGGUGCAUGCGCACCUGGUGGUACCCCGACCGGAGGUCAAGUUUGGUGAAGAAGCGCGCCCCGUGGAGCUCAUUGAGGAGCUCGUCGACCACCGGAAUAGGGAACUUGUCCUUAAGUGUGACAGCAUUAAGGGCAUGGUAGUCGAUGCAGAAACGCCAUGUGCCGUCUGACUUGCGGACGAGAAGCACCGGCGCGGUAAAUGGCGAAGUGGAGAGCCGGAUGAUGCCUGCCGCGAGCAUGAGCGCACACUGCCGCUCCAACUCAUCCUUCUGCAACUGUGGGUAGCGGUAAGGCCGUACCGCCACCGGCGCGGAGCCUGGCAGAAGAUGUAUACGGUGAUCGUACGUGCGGGCGGGCGGCAGCCCCUGUGGCUCGGUGAAGAUGUCCGCGUCCUGCUGGAGGAGGCUCUCCAAUAGUGGGUGCUCGGCCGUGGCGGUGGUCGCGGCCAGCUGGAGUGGAGUGGUUGGGGCGACACCUCCAAUGCCGUCCCACUGAAUGCGGCGGCCCAACAGCCAGAAGGUCAUCGUCAGCGCGUCGAAAUCCCAUAGAAUAGGACCAAGAGUGCGCAGGAAGUCGACGCCGAGGAUGAAGUCGAAGCAGCCCAAGUCGAUGCCGGCGCAGGUGAUGGUGAAGUGCUCGUUGCCGAUAGUGAUGGGCACGUCGCGGGCGAGCCCGUGGCAGCGGAGACGGUCGCCAUUAGCGACGGUGACUCGCAACUGCUCACCGCCGGUUGGCUGUAAUGCAAGGCGCCGCAUGGUGGUCUCCGGCAGAAAGUUAUGCGUGGACCCUGUAUCCACUAGGGCCACCAAGCGCUCGCCCUGGAUCAUGACCGGUAAGAGCAUCGUCCGUUCAUCACGGAUGCCGGCCAGCGCGUGUAGGGACACCACGAGGGCGGUGGCCGGGGUGGGCGCGGGUGCCGCUGCGGGCUCCGCAAGGGCUGGAGCGCCGAGGCCAUCCUCCAGUGUCUCCUCCUCAGACUCGUCUGUCGUCUCCAGGUAGAAGAGGCGGGGACAGACAUGGCCCAGUGCAUAGGGCGCAUCACAGUUGAAACACAAGCCCAGGCGCCGGCGUUCCAGCUGUUCCGCCUGAGUGAGGCGCCUGAAUGGCCGCGUCGGUGCCGGGGUGGGUGCCGGGGCGGCUGUGGACGACGCCAGUGCUGCCGGAGACGGCCGGGGAAGCUGUCGGCCCCCACGUGGCGCGGAUGGACGCGUUAAGGCCUGGGCGCGCUGCUCGAACGCCCGGGCAUAGUACAUGGCCGUCUGAAGGUCUUGGGGCCCCUUCAUCUCGACAUCCACGCGGAUGUGGUCGGGAAGGCCGCCGAUGAAAAGCUCCGCCUGCUGUAAGGCCGUCACACCGGGCGCGUGGCACGCCAGGGCCUGGAAGCGGUCGGCGAAGUCCUGCACCGUGGAGGUGAACGGCAAGCGGCCCAACUCGGCCAAGCGGCUCCCGCGGACCGGUGGCCUGAAAUGAAGAAGGCACAGCUCUCGGAAACGAUCCCACGGGGGCAUGCCGCCCUCGUCCUGCUCGAGGGCGUAGUACCAUGUCUGGGCGGCCCCGCGGAGAUGGUAGGAAGCCAGCCAAGUACGCUCCGACGCGGGUGUGCGCUGUCCGCGGAAGAACUGGUCAUACUGGUUGAGCCAGUUAAGAGGGUCGUCGGAGCCGUCGUAUGUGGCGAAGUCGAUCUUGGCGAACCGGGGCGGCUGCUGGUGUGGCGCUGGCCCACUGCCUCGGCGGUGCGUAGGGCGGAUGACGGUGCGCGGUCCAUGGUGGAAGGCCUGGCGUAGUUCCCGGUGGCGCCCGACGCCUCGGGCUGCAACGGGAAACAGGACGGCGGACGGGCCCUCGGGUAGGCCGAUGGCGGCCCGUGAAGCCAGUCGGGGAGUAGUGAUGGCGAUGACGAAAAGCGGACCUCCUGGAUCGGAAGCCCGCUCGGCGACGACCGGCCCAAGUUAGGGCUGGGAUGGGGCGGUGGAGGACCCUGUUCCGUGGCUGCUGGAAGUGAUGGCGCGGCGGGAGACGGCGCGGAUGGCGCGGUCCAGGUGGGCCACUGCUGCCCUGUGGUGGCGGCGAGUGGCGUGGUUGCCGUCGCGAGCGGCGGCGGCCACUGUGGCCACGGCGGCGGUGCGGCCGCCGGGGCGGGGAGCGCCGGGUAGCCUCCGGUGAUGGCCCCCGGUACCGAGUACCACGGCAGCGCCUGCGAACCCGCGGCCAUGGCGGGAUGUAGUGGUGGAGGCGGCCCGUACGGACUUGCCAGGUAGAGGCGGAUGNNNNNNNNNNNNNNNNNNNNNNNNNNNNNNNNNNNNNNNNNNNNNNNNNNNNNNNNNNNNNNNNNNNNNNNNNNNNNNNNNNNNNNNNNNNNNNNNNNNNNNNNNNNNNNNNNNNNNNNNNNNNNNNNNNNNNNNNNNNNNNNNNNNNNNNNNNNNNNNNNNNNNNNNNNNNNNNNNNNNNNNNNNNNNNNNNNNNNNNNNNNNNNNNNNNNNNNNNNNNNNNNNNNNNNNNNNNNNNNNNNNNNNNNNNNNNNNNNNNNNNNNNNNNNNNNNNNNNNNNNNNNNNNNNNNNNNNNNNNNNNNNNNNNNNNNNNNNNNNNNNNNNNNNNNNNNNNNNNNNNNNNNNNNNNNNNNNNNNNNNNNNNNNNNNNNNNNNNNNNNNNNNNNNNNNNNNNNNNNNNNNNNNNNNNNNNNNNNNNNNNNNNNNNNNNNNNNNNNNNNNNNNNNNNNNNNNNNNNNNNNNNNNNNNNNNNNNNNNNNNNNNNNNNNNNNNNNNNNNNNNNNNNNNNNNNCGAGGCCGUGACGCCCGGCGCGGAAGCGGCGGCGGUGGAGGAGUUGGCGGCAGCGGCGGUGGUGGAGUUGAUGGGCAGCGGCGGCGGCGGCGGCGGCGGAAUUGGAGGUGGCGAAGACAUGGUCGAAACCCGGGUACCUGAUACCAAAUUGGUAGGACUAGGGUUCCUACCGGCUCUACUCCGUAGGUUAUACGGGCAGAACAGCGAGGGUUGGGGGCGAGGGCGGGGGCUCCGGCGUGUUGGCGCCGUCGCGAGGGAGAAGAAGGGCGGCGGCGGCUAGGUGCGGCUAGGGUUUCCGGCUCCUCUGGAGCCGGGCAAUAUGAUAGAACUAUCUUUAUUGCUUGAUCUCAAACGAUGUCUUACAACUAGUAUUUAUAACUUUAGCCUAAGAUAACUUGCCUAAAAUAACUUGCCUAAGAUAACUUGUGGGUCAAGCUCCUAAUACUAAUGCCCGGUGGGCCUCUUCCUUGUAUAGACCAAACCGGUCAUAACAGCAACACCUCAAACCUGGGGGACUCUAUUUUAUUCUCAUUGCAAGUUCCCUAGAUUGGUGUUGUUAAUUCACGUGGGAUGAAACUUCCUCUCAAAUUCCCACUCCUGAUUCCCGCCAAACACCAAACGUGGGUUUGGGGACUAAUAAUCAACUUCCCAAGCCUAAUCCCGCAAUAAACCCCCACCUGUAAAUUCCCGUCCCCUUUCCCGAAAAUAGCCAUACACGCUGAGAGUAUUCAAGCCACAAACUUUUUUCUAUGUCGAUCUACAGUAGUUCAUUUUUAUUCUGAAGAUGUAAUUAUUCCUUGGCCAAUAUUCGGUAUCUGCAUGGUGUGCUUAUUUCUGUUGUUGGCAAUUUUACCCAUUGGAUAUAUUUGAUUAACCCCUGAGUAGCCAAUUGCAUCUCCUUUAGUGCAUUUUGUGAGUUUUUGCAGUUGGCAUUUUGUUAGAAAAAAUGACUGGUCAUUUGUAAAUAGACUGUACUUAGUAAACGAGAAUAUUUAGGCAAUGCGCCACACCUGGGGCGGCCCUCGUGUUACGUAUAUAUAGGAGUACAAGGGAGUUACAUGCCUUGGAGGCCAAGAGAGAUCACAACCAUAUCAUACAAAAUCAGGUAGGUUGAGAUAUUCCUAUACAUAAGAGAUACAAGGAGAUAUACUCUAACAUCCCCCCUCAGUUUGUGCGUCAGCUGGUAAGAGGCACAAACUGGACCGGAACUCCGAGAAGAGCUGCGAGGGUAAGCCUUUCGUCAUAAUGUCAGCAUACUGGCGAGAUGAUGGCACAUGAAGCACACGAACCUGACCAAGGGACACCUUCUCGCGAACAAAGUGAAUGUCGAUCUCGAUGUGUUUGGUACGGCGGUGUUGCACUGGGUUGGAGGCCAUGUACACUGAGCUGACAUUAUCGCAAAAAACGACCGUUGCAGUAGUCAAGGGAUGAUGGAGCUCUGUAAGAAGCUGACGGAUCCAGCAGCACUCUGGCAAUAGCGUGAGCGACAGCACGAUACUCCGCCUCAGCACUCGAUCUGGAAACCGUGGUCUGGCGCUUGGAGGACCAAGAGACCAGGGUGUCACCAAGAUAUACACAGUAACCUGAGGUAGACCGCCGAGUGUCAGGGCAACCGGCCCAGUCAGCGUCGGAGUAGGCCGUGAGAGAUAAGGUCGACGUCUGAGGAAUGUGCAAGCGGAGAUCCAGUGUACCCUUGAUGUAGCGAAGAAUACGCUUGACCAAGUGUAGAUGCGGCUCACGGGGAGCAUGCAUAUAAAGGCAGGCUUGCUGCACAGCAUAGGCGAUGUCCGGACGGGUGAGGGUGAGAUACUGUAAUGCACCAGCAUAACUCCGAUAGGUAGUAGCAUCAUCAAGCAAAGCACCAUCAGUGGCUGAGAGUUUGACCUUGACAUCAACAGGAGUAGGCGAGGGAUGACAGUCGGCCAUGCCCGCACGUUGAAGAAGAUCCAGGGCGUACUGUCGCUGAGAGAGAACCAGUCCAUGAGCGUCCCGAGUAACCGAGAUGCCGAGGAAAAAUGAGAGGUCUCCAAGAUCUGUCAUGGCAAACUCCGAGUGUAGCUGCUGCGUCAAAUGUUGAAGGAGUGCAAAUGUAGAAGCGGUGAUCACAAUAUCAUCAACGUACAGGAGGAUGUACGCGAGUUGAUCUCCAUGGCGGUAGAUGAACAGAGAGACGUCCGAUUUCGACGCAACAAAACCGAGGCGAUGAGCGUAGAGAGCGAACCGCUGGUACCAUGCACGGGGCGCCUGUUUGAGCCCAUAGAGCGACUUGUGAAGGCGGCACACAGAGUCGGGGCGACGGGCAUCAACAAAACCAGGCGGCUGCUGGCAAUAAACCUCCUCGUCAAGAUUGCCGUUGAGGAAGGCAUUCUUGACAUCAAGCUGGUGGAUCGGCCACGCACGGGAGACCGCAAUGGUGAGGACGAUGCGGAUGGUGGCCGGUUUGACAACCGGGCUGAACGUCUCGUCGAAGUCGAUGCCCGGCUGUUGGGAGUAGCCGCGGACCACCCACCGAGCCUUAUACCGAGCAAGCCGCCCAUCCGAAUGGAAUUUAUGCUUGAAGAUCCACUUCCCUGAAACAACAUGAGCAUGAGGUGGGCGUGGAACAAGUGACCACGUCCGGUUAGUGACAAGCGCCUCGAACUCAUCAUGCAUGGCACGACGCCAGUGUGGGUCGUUGAGAGCACCCCGGUGUGUUUUGGGAAGAGGAGAGACGGAGGAGUCGGAAGCCAUAAGGUUCAUGUGAUCGAUGGGCUGGAAGAGACCGCGCUUGGCGUGAGUCAGCAUCGUGUGGGUGUUGCUAGGGGAGGGUGGACGGUGUACGACAACAGGAGGAGAGGAUGUGCUUGGAGGAGACCCAGGGGAGGCGGGUGCGCUCGGCGGGUCAGCUACAGCGGGAGAGCGAGUAGGCGGGCUCGACGGCCCAGUGGGACUAGGCGGCGGGCUCGGUGGCCCAGCGUGGCUGGGUGCGUGGGCGGGCGAUCGGACAGAAGGGGGAGGGGAAGGUGGAGGGUCAGCAUGCAUAACGGGUGCAUGCAUAGCGGGUUGAACCGCAGGAGAUGGGGCAGGUGUGGUGUCGGUGGCGAUGAGGUGGAGGAGAAAAUCCAACGACGCAAGAGGGUUAGACGGGCGAUCCGGAGAGGAGGAGAAGGGAAAUAUCGUCUCGUCGAAGACGACAUGGUGAGAUAUGAUGACGCGACGUGUUUGAGGAUCUAGACACCGAUACCCUUUGUGGUUGGAGGGAUAACCUAAGAAUAUGCACGCGACGGAACGGGGCGCUAGCUUAUGUUUGGCGACGGAGGAUUGGUUAGGGUAGCAGAGACAUCCAAAGACACGGAGCAUGCUAUAGUGGAGACGGAUAUAGGGGAUGGCGAAUUCGAUGGACUGAGAGGGGCGUAUGUUGAUGAGAUGGGUGGCGGUGGCCAAGGCUUCCGCCCAAUAGGACGGUGGCAUCGAGGACUGAAAAAGGAGUGUGCGUGUAACAUCGUUGAGGGUGCGGAUGGCACGUUCGGCCUUGCCGUUUUGAGGGGAGGUGUAAGGGCAUGAAAGCCGAAGAUGAAUGCCGUGAGAGGCAAAGAAGGUGGUGACCGUGGAGUUGAGGAACUCGGUGCCGUUGUCGGACUGCAUUGCUACUAGUGGACGGGAGAAUUGUGUGCGGGCGUAGGCGACAAAAUUAAUAAGUGUGGUGGCGGUGUCGGAUUUGUUGCGAAGGGGAAACGUCCAUAGAUAAUGCGAGAAGUCGUCCACAAUAACAAGAUAGUACUUAAAACCAGAGUUGCUCAAAACAGGAGAUGUCCAAAGAUCACAAUGCACUAACUGAAACGGUUCGACAAAAUGCGAUGUAGACCUACUGAACGGCAAGCGCACAUGUUUGCCAAGUUGGCAAGCAUGGCAAACGUGUGGUGCCGGUUUAUUACAAGGAAUAGACGACUGUUUAUGAAGAUGCGACAUAGCGUCGCGACCUGGAUGUCCUAGACGACGAUGCCAAAGCUCGGUGGAGGUGGUGGCGAUGAGUCCUCGGGCGUGAUGGUUGAUGACCGAGGAGGGGAACACGUAGAGAUCUCCAUGGCUAUUGCAGCGAAGGAUCACGGCCUUGGUGCGAAGGUCCUUCACAGAGAAGCCGAAGGGGUCAAACUCAAUGGAACAUAAGUUGUCAGUAGUAAAACGACGAACAGAAAGUAAGUUUUUAACAAUGUGAGGUACGAGAAGAACAUUGUGAAGAAGAAGUGUGCGAGCGGAAGUAGGAAUAGAGGCGUCACCGGUGUGGGACACGGGUAAUGUGGAGCCAUUGCCAACAGUGACAGAGGAGUAGGAGGAGGCAGGAAGGAGAUGGCGAAGCAUACCGGGGUCGGAGGCCAUGUGGGAGGUGGCUCCGGAGUCCAUGACCCACUCACCGACGUUGGAGGCCGAUGCAGCGUUGUUCAAGGCGGCCAUCAGCGCGGCGCAGUCCCACUGAGGAGCCGGGUUGUAGCCAGGGACCGGGGGGGGGGCGUUGGUGCCGAAGGCCUGGCCGUGAAGGGGAGCCAGGGAGGUGAAAGCCUGGGCGGGUGGCAGCACCGGGGGACGCGGGCCUAGCAGGCCGGCGCCAUCGGUCGGUCGUGGCGUGGGAGCGCCCUGGGGCUGCAGCGGCUGGCCCGUGUAUGGGUUGAAGCAGAUCCACGGGCCUACCGCAGGCUGACCGCCUGCACCGACGCGGGAGCCGCCGGAGUUGCUGCCGCCGGAGCCGCCGCCUUGCCGCUUCUUGCGCCAGUUCCUGCCGUUGCGGUUGCCGCCACCACCGGAGUUGCCGCCACCACGGUUGCCGUCGCCGCGGUUAGAGUUGGCGCUGCCAAGGCCGGAGCCCUGGGAAGAGUGACCGCCGUACAGGGCGAUCUGGUUGGCCACGGCGGAGGUGUUGGCGAGCUGAGUCUCGCGGAGAACCAGCAGAGAGCGCGUCUGCCCGAAUGUCGGAAGCAGGUUCUGCAUGGUCACGAUCGUGGUGAUGUCGGCGAACCGCGGGUUGAGCCCGCGAAGGCAGUUGAGGACGAGGGUUUGGCCGUGACCGGAGUGUCGACGUCGGCAAGGGCGUCGGAGAGGGCCUUCAGGCGGUGGCAGUACGCGGUGACCGAGAGAUCGCCUUGGACGAGGCCGCGGAACUCGGCCUCGAGGUAGACCGCGUGCGUCAUCCGGUUGUCCAGGAAAAGGUUGGAGAUGAGAUUCCAAGCCUCAUGCGCCGUCUGAUCUUCCGCCAUGAUCAGAUCAAGAAUCUCGUCGGAGAUAGAGCCGUACAGCCAGGACCGGACGACGUAGUCCUCGCGGGUCCAGUCCGGCGUGCGGUCCGCCGCGGGCGUGACGGUGGUGAUGUGGGACAGCAGGUCGUACUUGCCGAGGAGGACGCGGAUGAGCAUCCGCCACUUGACGAAGUUGGAGGUGUUGAGAUCCAACAUGACGGGCACGUGGGUGCGCACACUGGCGACUUGCACAGCCGGCAAGGCGAAGGCGGGCAUGGUGGAGUUGAUGAGGGCGCCGGCGGUGGUGGAGUGGGAGGCGGGUAGGGAGGGAGAGGUGAGGGAGGAGGUGAUGGAGGCGCCGGUGCCAGACAUGGCGAGGGGACGGCGAUCGGGAGGGGGCUGGCGGCGGCGUGGUAGGGUUUAGGAGGAGGGGAUCGAUCUAUCUGAUACCAAGUAAACGAGAAUAUUUAGGCAAUGCGCCACACCUGGGGCGGCCCUCGUGUUACGUAUAUAUAGGAGUACAAGGGAGUUACAUGCCUUGGAGGCCAAGAGAGAUCACAACCAUAUCAUACAAAAUCAGGUAGGUUGAGAUAUUCCUAUACAUAAGAGAUACACGGAGAUAUACUCUAACAUACUUGCAUGGACUCCGUGCAAUGUUUAACAAAAAAUAUCCGCAUGUAAAUUUGUACUCCCUCGGUUCCAAAAUAAGUGUCGUGGUUUUAGUUCAAAUUUGAACUAAAAGUCUAAAACAAGGACACUUAUUUUGGAACGGAGGGAGUAAGCUCUAAGUUGUCAAUAUCGUUGAGAUUCUUGCUUGUACCAUCUUAUUCCUUGGUGCAUCACAAGUUUUGAAUGUUCUUACAAUCUACUUAUUUUCAUCUCCAAAUUAGCUGCACUUUAUUUGCUUUUGCACAAGUCAUAACAAAUCACUUGCGAACUUGCUUACUGUUUUUAUUCAUGUAUACAGAUUCUUGCAAGACAAUGAGCUGGGUGGAGCAGUUCCACAGAACUUGCUGAACAAAACAGGGUUGACUAGCAAGUAAGUUUCAUCUAAGGCUUUCCAGGAAAUCUUGAUCACUAACGAUUUCCCAUGUUCAUUGGACAUCUCGUAAUUGUAUUUCAUUUGAUUGUAGGUUUUGUCCGGGCAACCAGUUCACACAACCACAGUGCUGACUGACAGUCAAACACUUUGUUGAAUACAGUAGGAUGGUGUGUUUGUUCUUUUAGGAUGGCUAGAGCAAGAUUUUGUAACCAGUCAAAUGUAUGUACAGUAAAAUGAUUGGAAUCCAGUGAAACGAGUUGGCGGAAGCAGGUGAAGAUAAACAAUCCUGAUUGUACAGUGCCAAUUCUGUAGUUUACAUUGUCAGUGUGUAAUGCAAGGAGAAAAUGAAGCACUGUUGAAUUCUCUCAAACGAGCUUUGGACUGCGCCCCAACGAAACAUUACACCUUUUCUGCCCCGUCUCGUCUUCCCAGCCCCCACUACCAUGCAAAUUUUUGGGCGACCAGAGGGGAAAGCGGUCAGCUUCAAGAGCAACUGGUGAAGAAAAGAUAAAAGCGGAACAUGGAGCAUUUGAUCCCGAGCUCAUAUGCUCUCGCAUAAACAGUAAAAUCCAAAAAAAAAAAGAUUCAAAAAUUCUGAAUUUCUUUUGUGAUGAACAUUGAUAAUUUUUCUAACUGCAUGCAAAAUUUGAGGUUGAAAUGACAUUCGUGGAGGUCUGGGAAAAAAAAUUCCAUGGUUCAAAAUGACUAUUGUUGGAAGCAUUUUGCAGCAUCGAUUUUUCUUUUUUGCCCAGACCUCCAUGAAUGUCAUUUUGACCUGAAAUUUUGCAUGCAGUUAGAACAUUCAUCAAUGUUUAUCAUAAAAAAAAUCAUUUUUUUUUGAAAUUUUUACUAUGCGCUCAGGAUCAAAAGAGCACUUUCGAAAAGGCAAUCCUUUUGAUACCUCUGUGAAACUUUACAGUCUCGCAAACUUUCUUUUCGUUGAGAAGAAACCCCCACCGGCAUAUCUGACAAACGUCAAGAAACACACUGAAGACUCGAGCAAGAAAUAGAAAAUAUACCGUAGUCCCCAAAGUCGUUCCAAGUCAAUCUUUUUAGCCAGCCCAUGAAGAACGCUCUUGACCUUACCACCGAAGAAGAUUUUGCUUGUCAGAAAGAAGCGGUUGCAAAAAAAUGGCACCAGAAUCUCUAGCAACCACACACGCCACCUUGAGACAAGAACCUUGCCGAAUUAGAGGAAAAACCCUAUAGCUGCCUUGUUAUGGGACAAGAGAAGAACAGGGGAACUAAAAUGGCGGAUGCUUCGUUUUAGCCUCACAUACUUGGAUGAUUCGAAGGCACCAAGUGUAAAGUAAAUAGACAAGGAAUGCACGGCAGCACCAAACAGUAUAUUACGGCAAGUUGGAGCAACUCCUCAAUACAUAUAUCCAGGCACACCGGAUGAAAAGGCUACCAAACAAAACAGAAAACUCCACAAUGUGCUCAAAGCCCACCCACCUGGAAAUCUCUUCCAUUUGUUCACAGCUACUCAAAGACACACUCGGCAGUUUUCAAUGAGAAAACAAUUUAUUCGAGACGCAAAGCCGACCUUCAG
RNAcentral lists this long non-coding RNA (94340 nucleotides) under Triticum aestivum (bread wheat). RNAcentral's name for it is "long non-coding RNA (TAES_LNC006864)". Lineage: Eukaryota; Viridiplantae; Streptophyta; Magnoliopsida; Poales; Poaceae. The record is from RNAcentral.